AACCAAGCAUAUUGCUUUCCUCAAAUCCAUUAGUUGCUCGGGAAAGUUCAUCAUGUGAAAUUCUUUUCAAAGACAACAAAUCAUCUUUAAUUGGUAGAGUUGUACUCCUUCUUUGGCAUCUUCUAUACAUNNNNNNNNNNNNNNNNNNNNNNNNNNNNNNNNNNNNNNNNNNNNNNNNNNNNNNNNNNNNNNNNNNNNNNNNNNNNNNNNNNNNNNNNNNNNNNNNNNNNAUUUGGGAGUUUUUGUGGAUGUCGUUUUUGCAAGGUGGGACUAGCAAUCUAGGUGGACCACAAAGUGCAUAAUUCUUCAUGAAUGAUGUGCUAGAAAAGUUUGAAAAACAUCCUUUGCUGGGAAUUUCCCCUUCAAGUCUAUUGAAAGACACAUUAAAAUACUUUAGAUAUAAAAGCUUUUCCAAAGAUUUGGGAAUGACUCCAGAGAGAUUGUUAUUGCAUAAAUCCAAGAAUUCCAAACUAAUCAACCCAUCAAAUGAUUCAGGGAUAUGACCAUGUAGUAUAUUAUUUGAUAAAUCUAAUGAAACCAAAGUUUGAAGACCCCCAAAUGUGGAUAAGACAUCGCCCGUGAGAAGAUUCCUUGAUAAAUUUAGUUUCAGUAGACUCCUAAGAUUUCCAACAUCAAUAGCAUGUGAAUUGUGAAGAUGGUUUAAUGAUAAAUCUAUUUUUAAGAUAUCUUUGAGAUUCCACAAAGUUGAGGGUAUUGCAGAACUCAAUUUGUUGGAAGCAAAGUAAAGAUAUCCUAAAGAAGUAAUAUUACCCAAACAAGAGGGUAUGGAUCCAUGCAGCUUAUUCAACCCUAAAAACAAGUUGUAUAAUCUCUCCAAAUCACAAAGGCUUUCUGAGAUGGGCCCUCCUAAUUUAUUAGAGGAAAGACCUAGACUUUGGAGAUUCCGCAGUCCUCCUAUUGAUUUUGGAAUGAAUCCACUUAAUUUAUUAUAGCCAUGUUCUAAAACCAACAUGUUGCUUAAGUUACCUAUUUCCAUAGGAAUAGUGCCUUGAAGCUCACACUCUUCGGCAUAAAAGUAUUGAAGGGAUUUUGAAAGGUUCCCAAUAUAAGUAGGAAGAACGCCACUCAAUGGAUUUUCUGAAACUCCUAUGGUUUUCAAAUUCUUACAAUUCGUCAAAGAAGAAAGAAAGCUCCACUCAUGAUCAGUAGCAGAUCCUGUGAUCAAAUUAUUGUUUACGAUUCGGAACCAUUCAAGCUGUCUUAAGUUGCCAAGCGUUUUAGGGAUUGGGCCAGAGAAUAAGUUAUCUCCCAAGUCUAGUUUCUUAAGCAUGGAAGCAUUGGAGAUAGAGUUGGGAAUGUUUCCGCUAAGUUUAUUUCCCCCAAAAAAAAGAAACUCAAGCUUUGGAGCAUUGGUGAUGGGUGGUAAAUUACCUGUAAAAUAGCAUCUUUUAGUAUACAUAUUCAUUGAAUACCAAAUUCACAAAAUAUAUAAUACAUUAAAAUAAAAACUGUAAAACUUUAAAUCAAUUAAGAAUAGAAUUUUGGCAUGGAAAAAUGUGAUGAAAUCAAUUAGAAAGUUGAGACAUAAUAAGAAGUUUUGAGUAGUAAUUACUCAUGAUUUCUAUAGACAAAACAUAUAAUAGACUGAUAAUUUUUUUAAAAUAUUGUAAAACCUGAAAUAAAAUAAAAAAUAAAAGUUUGGCACGAGAAUGUAGCAUCUAAUCAUUCUUAAAAAUAAGACUAACACUGAAUAAUAAUUAGUUAUGAUUUGAGAAAAAAAUUUUAAAGAUGUAUGAUUUUUAUCUAUUGGGUUAAUUAUUUAUUUUAAUUAAAUUACAGUGUAAAAUUUAAAGAUUAUUAUUUGCUCAAAAUUUUUGUAUUUUUCGUAUAUUUGAAAUUUAAUCUUUAUAUUUUUUAUUUUCUGUGAUUUAGUCUCUUUACUUUUUGAAUUGAAAAUUUUAAGUUUAUUUAUUAACACUGUUAAAAGGUUUUUGUGUUAGUAUGGCAUUUUAAAAAAUAAAAUAAACUUGAUAUCUAUGUUUUUAAUUAUUCCAAAUACUGUUUUACUAUUCCAAGAUAAAUUAUUUGUGUCUAGACCAAUAUCUUAAGAACUAUUGUUGCAUGUUUAAUUAUUCUAAAGAAUUGUUGAUUGAGACUUAGUUGAAGUGCACUAUUUUCCUAUUUAUGAAUUGGGGAGUUGGUAAAGUACUAAAUUUUGAUAUAUUUUAAAAUAUUAAAAAUUUAUUAAAAUAUUUUUUUAUAAAAAUUGAUUCUACCACAUUAUACAAUUUUAAUAUCAAAUUUUUAAUUUUUUUAAAAUAUUAGCGACUACCACAUUAUACAAUUUUAAUAUCAAAUUUUUAAUUUUUUUAAAAUAUUAGCGAAUAUAUACUUUAUUUCAAGUUACACAAUUUUUACUAGUUUUUAACUUUUUUUUUAAAUUUUUAUCCUCUUUUAUAAUUUCUAAUAAUUUUUUAUAAUUUUUUACAAUAUUUACAAUUUCUAACAAUUUGUAAUAAUUUUAUUAUUUAUUACAAAUUUAAAAAUUAACAAGUUUUUAUUUUUAAAACAAUUAUAUAUUUAUAAUGUAGUUAUUUUUUUAUAAUUUUUUUUGAAAUUUUAAAGAUUUUUUUGGUUUUUUUUCUAGAUGAUGAUGCCAUCAUGAUGACAUCAUAUGCCACAUGGCAAUUUAUAAUUAGUUAAAUAUCUCAAUCUAUUUUUUAACGUCCAAUGGACUAAAACAAGAACACCUGAUAAUGUUAGAGACUACACUGGGAAUGUUUGAUAAUAUCAGGUACUAAAGUGGGCAAAAAAAUUAAGGACUAUAUUAAAAAUAUAUCUANNNNNNNNNNNNNNNNNNNNNNNNNNNNNNNNNNNNNNNNNNNNNNNNNNNNNNNNNNNNNNNNNNNNNNNNNNNNNNNNNNNNNNNNNNNNNNNNNNNNNNNNNNNNNNNNNNNNNNNNNNNNNNNNNNNNNNNNNNNNNNNNNNNNNNNNNNNNNNNNNNNNNNNNNNNNNNNNNNNNNNNNNNNNNNNNNNNNNNNNNNNNNNNNNNNNNNNNNNNNNNNNNNNNNNNNNNNNNNNNNNNNNNNNNNNNNNNNNNNNNNNNNNNNNNNNNNNNNNNNNNNNNNNNNNNNNNNNNNNNNNNNNNNNNNNNNNNNNNNNNNNNNNNNNNNNNNNNNNNNNNNNNNNNNNNNNNNNNNNNNNNNNNNNNNNNNNNNNNNNNNNNNNNNNNNNNNNNNNNNNNNNNNNNNNNNNNNNNNNNNNNNNNNNNNNNNNNNNNNNNNNNNNNNNNNNNNNNNNNNNNNNNNNNNNNNNNNNNNNNNNNNNNNNNNNNNNNNNNNNNNNNNNNNNNNNNNNNUACAAUUAUUUAUGAUGAUGUUGUUGUCAAUUCCUAAGUUAGUGUCGAGUUAAUUUGUGACAUCAUAAAUUUAAGUGAUAAAUUUAAGGUUUUAUGUAUUGAUGCGGAUUCAAAUAUCACCAUAAUUUUUUUUAAAUAAAAAACUAAAGUACCCUCAAAUAUUAUAACUUAUAUUAAAUAUGAAAGGGUAUUUUUGUAAUUUCUCUAACAAGUUGGUGCCCGGUUGACUCAUGACACCAACUCAAUCAAAAGCUUCAAUAAUAAUAUAGAUAUUCACGUUAAAAAAAAGUACUUUAGUUCCAAAUAAUUAUAUAACAAGUAAAUUUAUAAUUGAUGAAUAAAUUUAUAAAAAUAUAUUUAUAUGAUCUAAUACAUUAUAUUUAUAUUAAUUAUAUAUCAUCUACAAACUUUGAAGAUCAAUUCAUUAAGUAUCAAGAAAGGAAAAAAAUGAAAUUGAAUUAACACUAAAUCAAUUUUUAGAUUUUGUACAGAUGAUUUAAUGAUGAUAAAAAAAUUAUUAGCACUAUUUUUGAAUUAACAAAAAAUUAGUGAUAUAUUUUAAUUAUAUUUAUUAAUUAUUAUUUUUAAUAAUGUUUUUUUUAAUUAUAUAAAGUAAAAUUACAUUGUAUAGUAAAUAUGGUACAUAUACUUUAAAUAUAACUAGAAAAUUUAUUAUAUAAAUUAAUAUAUUUUAAUUAUAUUCAACCAUUUGAAUAACAAAUAAAAAAAUAAUUAGAAUAAUUUAUUUUUUAAAGUUUAAUGGAAAUUAAAAAACUAAAAAUUAAUCAAUUCAUAUAAAUUUUGUUNNNNNNNNNNNNNNNNNNNNNNNNNNNNNNNNNNNNNNNNNNNNNNNNNNNNNNNNNNNNNNNNNNNNNNNNNNNNNNNNNNNNNNNNNNNNNNNNNNNNAUCAGAUGAAAAUGAUAAAAGUAUAUGACAUAAAUAGAAGAAACAAAUUCAACACCAUGUUUUUGGAGUUUGGAAAAUAUUAAAGUGAAAAACAUACCUUCUAAUUUGUUGUCAUAUAGACCUAUUUUUUCGAGCGUAGUUGAAUUAAAAAUACUAGUCGAAAAUUGAAGUGAAAAACAUACCUUCUAAACUGUUCAACUAAAAAUACUUUAAGCAUUUUUUUUAGUAAAGCCCUUCAAGCUUAUUUUUUAGUAAAGCCCUUCAAGCUUGGGAAGAUGUUGACACAUAUCAUUAGGCAAAGACUAAUAGCCUUCAAAGAAGAAAUCUUGAAGAUGGAAGAUGGAACCUGACCAGAUAAUUGAUUGAAUCCUAAGCUCAAGAUCUCUAGAUUAGACAUGUUAACAAGUGUUUCAGGGAUUGUGCCUGUAAAUUAAGUUAUUAUUUUUCAUUUUCAGCCUUCGAACUCUCUGUAAGUUCCCAAGCCAUGAUGGAAUUUCCUGAUUAAGACGGUUGUAGCAUAAUUGAAGGAUCCUCAAACGAUGCAAUUGGCCCAAUUCUUUAGGGAGAUGGCCAUAGAAAUGGUUGCUACUCAAGUCGAGAGAGAGUAGAAAUGAAAGAUUUCCAAGGUGUGGAGGGAUAGUACCCCUAAGAUUCAUGCUUGUAAGAUUCAAAGCUGUAACUCUUUUAUGGAGGAUGCCACAAGAAACACCAAUCCAAUUGCAAACAGAGGUUGAGACCGUCCAAUUGUUUGGCAAGACAUUUUGAGGACCGGCGAUGCGAUCCUUAAACUCGAGAAGUGCAAACUGAUCGGAAUUGAGAUUCCUGACUGUCAUAGCCAAGCACGCAACAUGGUAUGAAUAAAGCUAAAAGAAGAUGAAAGCAAGUGUUGUAGUUCAUGAUUGCAAGACAGAAUAAGCAAAGAAAAUAAAAUAAAAAAAAGUAGGAAAAGGGAAGUUGAGUUAAUAAAAUAGUUUGGAUGAUGAAGAAAAGCCCAGACAGCAUGCUUUAAUAUGUUUGGAUGAUAAAUUUAAACUUGAUAAAUUUAAGACUACCCUAAAAAUACGUACAAAGAAAUUUCAAAUUUUCAAAAUAAAUACAUACAAAGAAGCGAAUUUUCAAAAUUUCUCCUAAAUUUCCUUCACAUUACUCCACAUAAUCCAUUAAAAAAACUUAAAAAAUAUAUUUUAUUAAUUACUAUAUAUUCUUUUAUUUUCAGAAUAAUAAAUUGUUUAAAAUAUGCUAUUAGUCCCUGUUAUUUAAAAGUUAAAAAAAUUCAAUCCUCCUAUUUUUCUAAUUUAAAAAUUCUAGUCCAAUCAAUUUUAAUUCCAUUAAAAAAUUUCAACUUAAUAGGUUUUUUAUUAUCAAUCAUAUGCAACAUUAUAUGAAGACAGUCUACUCAGCAUAUAUCCAAGUUUACAGAUUUUAAUAGAAAAUACUUACAAUCCUAAUGGUAGGACUAAGUUUUUUAAACUAGAAAAGUAAGAAGACUUAAUUUUUAACUUUUUAAGUACAAUGAUUAAAUUUUAAAUGUUGUCAAAGUACAAGCACUAACAAAAUAUUUUGAUCUAAUAAAUGUAAAAAACUUUUUAAACAAAAUAAGGUUGAAAUAAUCUAUUUUUCCUUGUACUUUGAUAAAAUUUGAGAUUUAGUCCUUAUAUUUAAAAAGUUAAAAAUUAAGUCUUAUUGUUUUUAUUUAAAAAUCUUAGUCCUAUCUUUAAUUUUAUUUUAUCAAAUUUUGUCAACUUUACAUAUUAAUUAAGUUUCCAUUAUAUGUCGUGGUAUCAAUCAAAACUUAAUUAACAUCCAUCAAUACGUCAUACAUAAAAAAUGCAAGCAUAAAAUGCAGUUAAAAGUAUUUGGGAUCUCGAGUGCAUCAAGUUCCUCCUUUUAUUAUUAAAUGUUUUAUUUUAGUUACUUUAAUCAAAUAUAUCCAAAUUGUAAUAGAGUUAACAUUUAUUGUGUAAAAAAUAUUUUAAACUUUUUGAAUUGUAGUUUAAUUCUAGAAGAAAUAUUUCAUUUAUAAAACUAUAAAACUUUAAAAAUAUUAACUCUGUUAAAUAAAAAUUAUUUUUUAAAAUAGUAAAUGUUAACUUUAUUAACACAAAUGGGUCUUUAGGGCUAAACUUCAGUAAUUGACGAGCUCUUCCACAAACCGUGGAUGAUUUGGGGAUAAAAACUUCAAUAAUUAUGGAGUUAUAGUGUAAAUUUGCCACUAUAUUAUAAGUGUAUUGAAAUUUAUCACUAUAUUUUAUUUGAUGUUUAUCAUUACACUUUGAAAAUAUAAGUAAAUUUACCAUUUAACUCAGGUUUAACUUUGCAAGUAAACUUAAAAUUUUAUUCAAUUUUGUCACUAAAUUUGAUUUGUUCAAUAUAGAUUUUGGUGACUUAAAACAAAAUUAAUAAAAAAUUAUUCUUCCGGAUAUCUUUUUAAUGUUUAAUAAUAAGUUAAUUUAUAAAAUAUACUUUCAUUGGACACAAGCCCCCAAGGCAGUGAAACACUGAUCAAAUUAAUUUGGAGUUAUCUUUUUUUCUAAAUAAAGUGAAUUUACGAGUUUUGUUUUCUUUUAAAAAUAAUUUUAAUAUUUUGGUGGAUAUCAAAAAUUAUUUCAGUAAGAAAUUUUAAUUCACUCGAAAAGUUAGUGUUUUAUUUCAAGGGUCAUAAUUAAUCAUUAGAUUUCUCAAUUUUAAAUUUUGAAUUUUUUGACAAUUGCGUAAUUAAUAAGUACCAAUUUUGAGUGUUGUAGGGCUAGUACAAUCUUCAUUACACAUACCCGACUCUUGAACUUACUCUUUUCUCUAGAAUUCAAUGUAGACCUCAAAUUUAUCUUUUGAAAAGAAUUUUAAAAUCGUAUAAAAGGUUUUUUUUGUGACCGAUCACACUUAACAAAAAUUUAAAAAUUAUUAAAAAAUAAUUUCUUUUUGAAAUUUAAAGUGAUCUAAAAACAUAUUUUUAAGUGUUUUGGACCAUCUAUUGCUGAUUUCCUUAUUAUAUUAAAUGUUUGCAAUCACUCCUAAAAUAUUAUGCGUGAGUUGUAACAGAGCAAAUCGUCAACGUGCCAUAUUGAUCAAUUGAUGCUGAAACUGAAGUUUUUGUUAUAUUGAUAGAGCUUGUCCUUCAACGCAUACAACGUGUUUAUUAUUUUUCUCCCUUCAAAUUGUAUGAUCUUAUUCAUUAAAUGAAUUAAUGAAUUUCCCUAUUAAAAAAGAUAUAUUUUUAAAAUUAAAUACUUAAAAAAAUUUUAAAACUAUUUAAAAGUUGUAAGCCUUAAAACAAUCAACAAAAUAUAUUUUUCUCUAAAAAAAAUCAAUAAAAAUAUGUUUAAAAUUUUUUAACAAUAAUAUAUUUUAAAAUUAUAGUAACGCUAUAAAAUAUAUAUAUUUACUAAUUAUAUACACCUUUCCAUACAUCCUUUUUCUACAUAGAAUUUCAAAAGUAAAUGUGAAUUAAUGUAGACGUGAGAAGACUUAGAGGUAAGUCACCCAACGAAAGUGUCCUAAACCGACUUACGGAAGAAUCAAACAAUAAUUUUGUAUCUUAUAAUAUAUUUAAUUACAUUUAUUAGUUUAUCAAUCAAAACUUAAUUAGAAUCCAUCAAUAUUUCACACAUCAAAAACCCAAACAUAAAAUUCACUUUUAAAUUAUUCGGGAAAUAUUUGUAUUAUAGGAAAUGGGUUAAAUUAGUUUUUUAUUAUUAAAUGUAUUAUCUUAAUUUUUGUAUUAGGUAUGAAUGAUAUCUCCUAGAUUGAAGCCAAAGCUAUUCUUGAAAGACUAAAAUUAGGAUUCAGAUGUGUUGAGAUGGAAAGUGGCAACACAAUGCUGAUUGAUACUAUUUGUAAUGGGUUAGCUACAAUAAGUCGUGCUGCUGAAGUAAAGCAAAUUUACGAUUGGUGUUCCAAAAAUUUGGGAAGUCAAAUUUCGACAUAUUCAGCGGAAUACCAAUAACGUUGUUGAUUGCAUAGCUAAGGCAAAUGGAGGCGUAAUUGAGCAGCUGGUUAUCUUGGAAGAUCCUCCGCAUUAUGUGAGAUGGUAGCUUGAAGAAGAUAUUAGAUAGUCACUGGUGAUUGAUGAUAAUUUUCAUUUGGACUGAUGAGCGCUUAAUUUUCUAAGCUUAUGUUCAACAAAAAAAAAAUUAAAUACGUCUAAAUUGUAAUAGAGUUAUCAUUUAGUGUUUAAAAAAUAUCUUAAAAAUUAUUUUUUCCAAUUGCAGUUCAAUUCCACAAAUAUUGACGAUGAGCCCGGACAUAAAAAUUACAAAAAAAAAAAAAACACAUCUAUUAUCAAACCAGCAAUCCAUGUCUAAACUUAAAUUAACAAAAUUCGCCACGCAACCCGGUACACUAUUAUAUAUAUAUAUACACACACUAGAUUUAUUCUAGAUGCACAUGUUUUAUUAUAUUUAAAAAUUAAAAUAUAUGGUUGACUAAGAUUUAGUUGAGUUAGUAUUGAUAUUAUUGUCAGUGUAGAAAAAUGUGAGUUUAAUCGUGCUCAAAUGUGUUUUAUCCUCCAAUUCAAGGGUUAGGAAAAGGUUAUUGAUAAUUAAAUUGUAUCAACUUUUAUGAUAUUAAAAAAAAAGGAUUUAUAAAUAAUAUAAGGAAAAGAAAAAAAGAGAGAAACAUAUUCAUAUUGAUGGGCUCUUUCAAUAUUAGACUUUUUUUUUCUAUCACAAGUAAAAAAAUCAAAGGUGAUAAUAAUUAAAUUAAAAUUUUUAAAUUAAAAAAAUAGGGGAUUGAAUUUAUAACUUUUAAAAUAUAAAGAAUGAAUUUAUAAGUAACAACAUAUUUUAACCACAUAAUAAAAGAAGUUAUGGAGAGGAUCAUGUAAAAUAAUGACCUGAAUAAUUUUAAACCUCUCAUCAUUGCAAAAAUGAAAUAAUAGAAAAGAAAUAAGUGUUGGGUGUAGUGGCAAGGUACAUUAUACUUCUAAGGGGAGAUCAGGGUUUUAGACAAGGGAAGAAUUUUAAACCUACUUUUUUCUCUAGAACUCAAUCCAAACCUCAAAUUUAUCUUUUUAAAAGAAUUUUAAAAUAUCUAUAUAAAAGGUGAUUUUUUUACGGAUCACACUUAACAAAAUUUUAAUUUUUUUUUGAAAUUUAAAGUGAUCUAAAAACAUAUUUUUAAGUGCUUUAGAUCAUCCUGUGCUAAUUUCUUUAUUAAAUUAAUUUGUUCAAUAUAGAUUUUGGUGACUUAAAACAAAAUUAAUAAAAAUUUAUUUUUUUCAGAUAUCUUUUUAAUGUUUAAUAAUAAGUUAAUUUAUAAAAUAUACUUUCAUUGGACGCAGGCCUCCAAGGCGGCGAACCACUGCUCAAAUUAAUUUAGAGAUACCUAAAUAUGUUUUCAUCAAUUAAGAAAUUAAAAAAAUUGUUGAGACCUCAUGAUUAUCUUUUAUAAUUUCAGGCUGAUCAACUAUUUUGAAAACAAAACGUCUUACACCAAAAACUAAAAAAUAAAAACGUCGACAUUAAAUUUGUUGGUAUGCAAUCAAUUUUAAGAUGGUUUUUGGAGUUAUAUAUCACCUUAGCAUUGACUUACUUUUCUACUCUUAGUCUUCUCCAACAAGUUAAAUAUUUCAAUUUUAACAACAUUGACAGGUAUUUGGGGUAGGGUCGAGCAAAAUUCAAUAGAAAUAGAUGAUAUACGUUGAGUUGGCUCGGCCAAGUCGAGUCGAGUUGUUCAAAUUAGUUAAAUUAGUAAAUUUUAGGGUGCAGUUAGAAUUUUUUGUUUUGAGAUGCUAAGAUUAAAAAAUUUCAGUUGCUAAAACAAAAAAUUUGUAUUUAAAAAGGCAUAAAUUAAAUAAUUAAGUUUUUCAAGUUUCCAUUUAAUCAAAGGUUAAAAGGACUAAAUUGAAGCUUUUUAUUUUUAAGAAAGGCUGAAUGCCAAAUUGCCCAAAGCCCAUGCCCCUAGCUAUACAACUAACUUUUCUAUGAUUAGUCCUUGGUUUGCUUUGGGUGGAAUCUUCCAACUAGCCUCAUCCUUGGUUUUACUUUCCAACAAUUAGUGUAUCACGAGUUUUGUUUUCUUUAAAAAAUAUUUUUGUGGAUAUUAGGAGAUAAUGAAAAUUAUUUUACUAUGAAAUUUUAAUAAAACUGGAAAAUAAGUAAUUUAUUUUAAGAGAUCACAAUUAAACGUUAGAUUUCCAAUUUUUAAAUUUUAAAUUUUUUUGACAAUUGCAUAAUAUUUUGAGCAUUGUAGGAUUGCCAUAACCUUCCCUACGCAUAAUCGACUCUUGAGCAUGAUGGAUCCUAGACCUUCUCCUCUAUUUGCGUACCACAAAUUGCUUCGAGUGUGGGUUCGGACAAUCACAAAUUAAACACAAAACCAGAAAUGAUUUAUUACUUUCAAUAGCAACGUAAUUCUCUCUCAAUAGAAACCAAUAAAAUUGUAAUUCCUAGAAAAUAAAAUUUAUUUUUUGAAAAUAUAUUCUCACUACUUUCUAGCAGAAUAACAAUAUGUGAAACUUAUGUCUUGUGUUAAUAGCUCUACCUGUACUAUCUAUUUAUAGGGAGAGACACGAGAAUCCUGGUUGAAUUAGUAAAACACAAAUAAUAUUUAUUUCAUAGAAAACAAUAUUCCACCCUAAGUGGAUCAAGUUUGUAUGACGCAUGGAUCGAAGCUCAAUCUAGGAGAAAAAAAUAAAGGAAUUUUCUUUGUAAAGAAAAUCUGAGAUUGUACUAUUUUCGAAGAUAUAAAUAAAAUUAUACGCCAAAUUUUCAAGUCAAUUUUCAACUCCAAUUUUGUAUGCACAAAUUUCUAAUACAGUUGGUGGGACAUUCUUUGACUUUUAUCUAUUCGCUCAAAAAGUUGAAGUUCAAAGUUGCAUUAAACUCAAAGAAGAUAAUCAUUAGUAAACCAGCUCACAAGCCUGCUCAAGCUAAUCCUACAACUCGUUCCACUUCAUCAUCAAACACCAAUGUUCUUGCUUAUCCUUAUGGAAUUAAACAGUCCUAUUUUUUGCAUUUUGGGUACACACCUAGUUUUGUUUGAUGCUAAAACAGUCCCCGAGCACUCCAAAGCCUAUAAUUGAACAAAUAACACUAAUUUAAUCUUACAUAACGUGAUCCCAAAUUGAACUUGUAUUGAGGUUUUAACCCAUAAGUGACUAAACCUUACCUUCAACCGAUGAACAGUAAUUACCACACAAACUAAGACUCCGAUUGGCGAUUACGAGCCCUUGAAUCCUCUCCUAAUUGGCAUAAACAAAACACUUCAGAAGAAAGUUAACAAACAUAGACAAAUCACUUAUCUAAAACUUAUCGAACAAUCACAGACAAACGUGGAGCGACACAAGGUAGAGUGGGAAAAGAAAAAUCAAGAGGAUGAAAGGUGAAAAAGAGCAGAAAUUCGGCAGCAAUGAAAAGAAAAACGGUAAAAGGGUGAAGGGAUUUUGGGGAAAGUAAAAAAAAAAAAAGAUGAACAGAAUAUUUGAUAACCACCCCAAUCCCUUAUUUCUCUCCAUCAAAUUCCCCACUAAAUCCACUACUCGAAUUUUUAGUCCAUCUCAAACUCUCCUAGACGAACAAGCAAAAAAUAAUGCCCAUGUCAAGAUUUGAGCACAGGACCUCCCUCACACCAACACUCCACUUAUCCACCAGACCAACAGACUCAUUCUUUUAAUUAUUUGCCAACUUUUACUUAAAAGCCUACUGACCAAAUAUAGGGCUUAUUCAUAAAAAUACCAAAUUUUGCCCAAGUCCUGGCUUGAACUUGCAACCUCCCAAACACACCUAGAACACAUAACCACUAAAGCAGACAAAAAUUUUGUGUCACACAUUCACAAUACCCAAAAUUAAAAAUUUGGGGCGUUACAAAGACACAUUAAAUAAUAUCGCAUAAAACAAUCACAGUCAAAUAACAGUUCAGAAUGUCGGCUUUACAAUUUAACCACCAAUAGUAUAACAGUAUUCACAGUUGUAAUUUCAGAAUAUCAGAUUUCCACAUCAUUCACAAUAUUCACACAUAUAUAAAUAUAUCACAAUAGAAUUCCAGAUUUGUAUGCACAUGAUUUAAAAGAUGCCAUACAAUUUUGGGUUUUAAUAGAAUAAAUCCUACCCCCUGUUACAUACCAUAAUGGGAGUUCCCCUAAACUCCCUUCUCCAACACACUAGAUUGUGGAUAAACCAUUAUUGUUUCACAAAUAAUAACUGCCAUUUGGCUGUGGACACACAGUAAGUUCCCACAAUUGGAUUCUAGAUUUGGUUGUGGGUUCACAGCAAAAAAAAUCCUACAAAUGAAGCCUGAUUUUGCCUGUAGAUUAUACAACAUAUACCCGCAGUUGGAACCUGUCUUUAGCUGUGGAUGCACUGUAACACCUCAAACCCGACCUGGACGUUAUGGCUGAAUCUUGAGGAUUUACUUUAACUCGCUAGAAAACCCACGAAUUUACUUUGAAAUCAUGUGGUUAAACUAGUGUUCACUUUGAUAAAUCGUUUUCCAGUUUUAGAGAAAAUUCUUGUUAAAACUGUUACUUUAUUACAAUAAAACAUUAAAGUAAUUGUAUCAUUUUGUAGUGGAAUCUACUAAGCUAUAAGGUUUUGAAAAUCGUGGUUUAGUUUGCAACAAACCAUUUUGCAAAUAGAGAUGUGUUACGAAAAAAAGUUUAUAAAACGACUUCAUUGUUAUUGGCAAAUCAUCAUAACCAUUAUUACUUAGUAUGUCUGAUUUGUUUGGAAAACUUAUUGAUAUACUUAUUUUAUUUAAAAUCAUUGCUCGCUUAUGCCUUUUUAUUAAACUGAAUGUUUUGCAGCGGAGUUUCUUUAAAACGUCAUAUUUUGGCAAAUCAAAUUGUUUCUUGAAAACCGUUAUUUUAGAAAAGUUUUCAUUUUCAGAAAAAUUAUUUUAUCAGUUGUUACGCUGAGAAAACCAACAUAAAAUCCAAAACCAAAAAUAGUCCCAAAAAGUCUAGAGUGUCCCAAAAUGACAAUACUCUCAAAACUAGACAAGUUUAAACUAAUUUUAAAAGAAUGAAAUUUUACAAAAAUGUGGUCACCACUGAGCUUCCAUCGCACCGACCCACCUAAAUCUGAGGGUUACUUGAACAGACCAAACAAACAGAGAGUGAGUUUUGAAACUUAGUGUGUAACGCGUAUAUAAACAAAAAUUCAGAAUCAAUCUCAUGCAGAACAGAUACAAAUGUAAACCUUUUAUAAAAUCAGAAUUAUACAAAUACAAAUAUAUAACAUCCUACCUCAUCCUCUACAUACCAACUCCGACCAUCCCAUUACACCACGUGGGGUAUAAAAUACCCAUCCAGCCCUACACAUCGUAUAGUGUUUAUAUGACACUUUUUUGAAUAAUCACAGCAGAGUUGCCAGUAUAUAGGCGAGAUAUCACCUCACACAGAACACUUCCUCCUCAUAAUACAAAUCCUGCCCCAUGGCCAGAUACAGACAGAAUAUCAUGUAAAACAAAUUAACAGAUACCAGAGUUAACAUAUCACGCGUGAGCGUAUAAUAGAUAUUACACAUGUUUAUGCAUAACAAAACAAAUCAUACAUACUGUAUUCCAUAAUACUCAUAUAAAUGUUAUUUACGUCAAUCUCAAUCUAACAGAGUAGCAGAUUUCAUUCUUUAACGCUUAUACCACACAUAUAGACCCUACGGAUGGCCCAUAGUCGAUCGAGACGACAUGCAUGUCCCUAGGGAAAAAAAUUGUAAUUUGGGCCCACAUGCCUAUAUGAGCCCACACGCCCAACAUGGCCUUGCCUAUGUGGCUCACCAACCUAGCACUCAGCCCAUACAGUCUAAAAUGGCCUAGUUCAUGUGUCACACACAGCCGUCUGUUGCACACGGCCUACCACAUAGCCAGUCACAAAACCGUUUGGAGUUGACAAGCCCAAUUUUUGGCUUUCGUCGAUCGUCGUUUUCUUGCGUUUUCAUUACACACCUGGUUUGAUUCUGACGCAAAAGCAACCCCAAGUCCACCGAAACCUAAAAAUAGCAUUCCAACGCCCAAUUUCAGUGAACAUUUACAAAACUCAAACAAAAACUAUCCAAAAAUAUAGCCUCACAAUAGCAUCCAACGCACUCGCACACUUACCGUCAACGAACAGGAAACACCCAAAACUCAAUUCGUUGGAGGAGAACCAAUUAUGAUAAUGCAAAAAUUUUAUUGAUUCUCAACACUAUCGAUCCGAAGGUAAGAUUGAUGCUUUCCAAUUAUGAUAAUGCGAAAAUUUUGUGGGAUGGUUUACCUGAAUUUUUUGUUGUUGUCAACGAUCAACGUAUUCAACAAUUAAAAGAAAAUAUUAGUCGUUGUGAGUAAAUCAAGACUAUGAGUGUUGUAGUUUUUUUCAGUAAAUUAAAGGUUUUGUGAGAUGAACUAGAUAAUAAUGAACCUUUGAUUUGUUGCAAGUGUGGACAAUGUUUAUGUAACUUAGGGAAGGCGCAUGAGCAACGUCGUGAGCAUGAUUGACUUCAUCAAUUACUUCUUGCUCUCUAUUCUAAUUGUUAUGCUCAAAUUAGGUCUACAUUGUUUUACCAAGAUCCUUUGCCUUCCUUAAAUCAGGCAUUCCAGCAAAUUACUUAGGAGGAACAUGUACGUGGAAUUACACUGAUUAAGGAAGAGAAGUCUGAUAUUUUAGGCUUUGCUGUGCGUACAGAGGGUCAUAACAAAGGUUGAGCUAAUUGUAUUGAUAAGUCAACCUUGUUGUGCACUCAUUGCCAUCGCAAAAGGCAUGAGUUGGCUACCUAUUUUGAAUUACAUAGCCACUUGGAUUGGUGGCUUAAGAAGUAUGGGAAGCCAGAGAUGAAAAGUGAUGAUCGUGGUGGUAAGACAAGUGCCACAUCUUCCACGUAAGUGUUUUAUUUCAAGGGAUCAAAAUUAAACAUUAGAUUUCUCAUUUUUAAUUUUUUUUUAUAUUUUCAACAACAACGUAAUUAACGAGUACCAAUUUUGGGUGUUGUAGGGGUUCUAUAACUUUCCCUAUAUGUAAUCGACUCUUGCACCCAUUUUUUUUUCUCUAGAAUUCAAUGCAAACCUUAAAUUAUCCUUUUAAAAGAAUUUUAAAAUCUCUUUAUAAAAGACAAUUUUUUUAGGUGACCAAUCACACUUAAGAAAAACAAAUCGAUGGCAACUCUUUUCCGAUAAGUGUAAAAAACUUUUAAACAAAAUAAGGUUGAAAUAAUCUAGUUGUCGUUAUACUUUGAUAAAGUUUUGGAUUUAGUCCUUAUACUUAAAAGGUUAAAAAUUAAGUCUUGUUUUUAUUUAAAAAUCUUAGUCCUAUAGUUAAUUUUUUUUUUUUGCAAAAUUUUUCAAGUUGACAUAUUAAUUAGGUUUCUCUUAUAUAUCGUGGUAUAUGACUAACACAAAAUAAACAAGUUGACAAAUUCUAUAAAAAAUAUCAAAGAUGAUAAUAGUUUAAUUAAAAUUUUUAAAUUGAAAAAGAAAGGGAUUAAAUUUAUAACUUUUAAAGUACAAAGAAUGAACUUAUUGAAAUACAAGAACUAACAACAUAUUUUAAAAUAUUACUAGUAAAUUAUAUAUCUACAACAAGAAUUGUAACCUCUUAUAUUAUAUUCUUGUAUCUAUUUUUGCAUCUUUCAUUAUAAUAUGAUUUAUUAAUAUUAAUAUUUUUAUAGAAUAAUAUACUUUAAAUAAUUUUUGUAUCAUUUAUAAAAAUUAUAAUAAACUUACAAAAUAAUUUAAUGAUAUUUAAUUAUUAACCGAAUAAAAUGAUAUCAUAUAUAUUCUGUAUAUAUUAAGAUUUCGAAUCAUUAAUUAUAUAUCUACACAUUAUAAUAAAUUCAUCUUUCAAAAUUUUCCUUCUAAUUAAAGCAUAAAUUAUAUUUAUAAUAUUAUAAAUAUAUUAUAUCAUAAAUAUUCUUUCAAAUAUUUUUUAAUGUUUAAUAAUAAGUUAAUCUAUAAAAUAUUCUUUUAGUAAAUUAACGUGAUGAGAUCGUUAGGUGCUUGGAUUUGGUGAAGAGGGAUGAAGAGAAAAGGGAUGGAAGUGAAUAAAAAUGUUGAGAAAUGGAAAGGGUUAGCGAGGGAAGCCGCCAUGAAAGGUGGUUCAAUGGAUAUAAACCUUCAAGCUUUUGUGGACGACGUUACUGAAGGUUGUUGCAAGUAAAUUUAAAAAAAAAAUUUAAAUUAUUUUUUUGUUAAAAAACAUUUUUUAUUUUUUAUGUGGCCCCAUAUGGAGUUGUUCUAAUCGCUGAAUGAUAGGUGGUAUUAUACCACCACUCAGCCAAUGGUAGCCAAGACACCCAUGUUGAUGGCUUUUCACCCACCAUACACUGUAGGUAACCUCCAAACACUUGUUCAAAAUUUCAGUCUGGCCAUCUGUUUAAGGGUGGUAAGAUGUUGACUUCUUCAGCUUGCUGCCCAUUUACUUAAACAAUUCCUUCCAAAAUUGACUCAAGAAGAUUUUUUCCUGAUCAGAAACAAUAGAGUUAGGAAUCCCAUGGAGUUUGUAUAGGUGGGUUAGGUACUCCUAAGCCACAGUAAGAGUAGUGAAAGGAUGAGCCAAUGCCACAAAGUGACCAUAUUAGGUCAAACAGUCAACCACGACAAAAUCUGUUGAUUUCCCUUGUGAUAGUGGCAGUCCUUUGACAAAAUCCAUACUAAUAUCUAUCCAAGCUCGUUCAGGAAUCGGUAAUGGUUGCAACAGACUAGGCGAGGCCGCAUUAUCGGGUUUGCAAUGCUGACAAAUAAUACAUUCUCGGACCCACUGUUUGAUGUCUGUAGAAAGUCCUUUCUAAUAAAACAAAGCAACUACCCAUUGGUGAGUGGCAUGAACCCCCGAAUGGCCACCCAUAGGAGUAUCAUGAAAAAUCCUAAAAAUAUGCUUACGUAGUGAAAUAUCAUCACCAACUACCACUUUGCCCCUCCUGCGCAAAUAGUUACCAUGCCAUGAGUAUUUUGAAUGUAAAUGUGGCUGAGUACGUACCUGAGUACUCAACCUAGAGAGCUUCUUAUCAAUUCCAUAUAUGGCUAUAAUUUGCUCCCAAACUUUUGACCUGACCAAAUCUGUACUCUCCUCACACUGAAGCAACUAACCUAUAGAGUCAAUGGGUUUCCUGGACAGUGCAUCUACAACAGCAUUUUAAGUCCCUUUGCAAUAAACAAUUGAAUAGUCAUAACCCAACAUUUUUGCCACCUAUUUCUGCUGAUAAGGAGUGAUGAAUUGUUGUUCAGACAAAAACUUCAAACUUUGAUGGUCUGUUUUAAUGAUAAAGUGUCUACCCACAAGGUAGGAGUGCCACUUCUUGACUGCCAACAACAUUGCCAUUAUUUCCUUAUCAUAGAUGGACAAGGCUUGGUUUUUAACUCCCAAUGACUUGCUAAAAAAGGCCACUGGUUUCCCAUUCUGUUGAAGAACUACCCCAACUCCCUGACCACUAGCGUCUAUUUUCACACAACAUAGCUCUUGAAAGUUUGGUAAGGUCAACACUGGAGCUUACCAAAUGGCUGUUUUGAGCUGCGCAAAAGCUGUUUGUUCUUGUUCUGCCUAAUGCUAGGAGACCUCCUUCCGUAAUAAGGCAGUAAGAGGUUUAGCCAUCAUCUCAUAUCCAUGUAUAAAUCACCUAUAUUACCUUGAUAACCUAAGAAACCCUCGUAAUUCCUUGACUAAACGAGGAGGAGGCCAGUCUAAAACAUUAUCGAGCUUAACUCGAUCCAUGCAAAUAGUACCUUGAGGGAUCACAUGUCCCAAGUACUCCACGUGUGUGGCUCCAAAAACACACUUGGACUUCUUAGCAUACAGUUGGUUUGUCCGUAACACUUGUAAAACCUCAUGCAAAUGACUUAAAUGAUCAGACCAACCUCGAAAGUACACAAGGAUAUCAUCAAAAAAUACAAUAACUGACAUUCUCAACAUGGAUCGAAAAUUUGAGUUUAUCAACGACUGAAAGCUUGAAAGGGCAUUGGUCAAGCCAAAUGGCAUGACCAAAAAUUCAUAAUGUCCCUCAUGGGUUUUGAAAGUUGUCUUGAAGAUACCUUGCUCACACAUACGAAUUUGAUGUUAUCCAGAACUUAAAUCCAGCUUAGAAAAAUAUUGAGCUUGCCCCAAUUCAUCCAGCAACUCUUUGAUAAUGAGAAUAGGGAACCUGUCCUUGACUGUUAACUAAUUAAGUUGCCUAUAGUCGAUACAGAGUCAACAACUUCCAUCCUUCUUCUUGACCAUGACCACUGGGAAGCAAAAUGACUAUUACUAUCCCGAAUAAUUCCAGCUUGCAACAUUUCCUAGACUAUCUUUUCUAUCUUAGUCUUUUGGACAGCCAAAUAUCUGUAAGCUCUCACUUUGACCACCUUAGAUUCGUCCACCAAGUGCAUUUUAUGGUCGUGUAAUCGAGGAGGGGGUAAAUGUGUAGGGACCUGAAAGAUAUCAUCAAAGUCAGGCAAAAGUCUUUGCAAGUUUGGUGGUAGCUCAGUUGAUUGCAUUGUGAGAAUAGUUUGAUCAUAGGAAGCCAGUAGCAUCGGACAUGGUCCAUUGCCCACCAAACUCAUACACUUAGAAAAUUCUCCACUAGGAUCAAUAUGCACUAAACCUGGUAUUGUACCUCUCAGCAUACAAGUCUAAUCCCCAUACUUGAAUUGCAUAGUUAAAUUGGAGAAGUCCCACACAAUUGGCCCCAACAAUAGCAACCAUUGAACACCAAGUACUAGGCCGAAUCCUUUUAUAGAUAACACUAAAAAGUUUGUAGUGCAUUUGUACCCCUAUGCCUCCCACAUUACAGCUCUGGAUAACCCCUGAGUAUAUUGUCUGACUACAUUGGCUACCAACACCCGCAAGCUUGGCUCGGGUUCAAUGGUCAAUUUCAGUCUUCUCGCCACCUUUAAGUCAAUGAAAUUAUGCGUGGUACCUGAGUCAACUAGGACCACCACUUGAGAUUGGUUAGUAACCGCUGGAAAUCUCAUAGUGGUAUGACCCUGUAAUCCUUGCAGCGCUCGUAAUGACAACACAGGUGUCGAAUUCCCUGGUAACACUUUUGUCGGUUCCAAUUGCUCGGUACAGUCCUGAAAUUCGUCAAGAGAAGGGCUCAUUGCUUCAGUUUCAAUAUCUCAUGAUGAUUCAACAAUCCACUGAUGCAUUUGGUAUUUCAAGCAUUUAUGGCUUGGUGACUAUUUUAGACCGUACCAAAAAUAAUGGCCUUUUUCCCUCCUAUCUUCUAAUUCCGUCUGAGACAAAGACUUAGAAGUAAUUCGAGAGCUUAAUUUCCCAUUCACUGUCUCACUCGCAAAACCAACACUACCACCUCCUUGUUGACCUCUAGGCAUGGGAAAUAAGGGCCGCACUAAGUUAGAUCCGUUGUUAAGAGUGCCUUCUUUUUUGAUCGGUCCAGCCACAAUAUUCUCCACUUGCCUUGCUGAAUGGUACCUUUCCACCAAUGUUUGAGGUUUAAACAACCUAAGAUAUUGGCCUAUUUUGGGUUUGAGGUUGCUAAGAAACCUCCCAAGACAGUUGAUCUAGGAACGAGUCUGCUUGAGAGACACUAACUCUGCCAUAGGAUCUAGGAACGAGUCUGACCCAAAACGUUCUCUAAGGCACCUCGAAUAAACCUCCCAAGACAGUUGAUGUACCCCCAUGCCUUCGCACAAAAAAAUGGUGCCAGUCAAGUGCCUUACCUUUGAGGUGUAGCAUGACUAUCUGGAUCUUUGAAUGGUCACCAAUUCCUUCUGCCUCAAAAUACUGUUCAAGCUUGGACCACUAACCAUAAAAAUGCUUACCAUUAAAAUGCGAACUGCCAACCCGAAAAGAGGAUCGUUCAGACUCCAUCAUAACUGCUCGUGAAGAUAUGCUUGAAUGGCUGAGAUCCACCAUUGGGGACACUAUUAAGUGUCCCUGAGUUCGAAACCCAAGUGGUGACCCCAAAACCCUUUUGCCCUUGCUGUUCACUGUAUUUCCUACAGUUGUUGGCUGUCCUUGUCCAAAAUACCGCUCGAACAAAGAAUGAAGCUCAGGACAGAGCUCUAAAUGUACCUCUGACUUGAUCUCUGCCUAAAGGUCUUUUAGUCGAGUGUCUAUCUGUGCAUCCAACUGAGACAACUCCAAUUGCAUGUGAGAAAGCUCACCUUGAAUCUACCCAAUUUCCUUCUACAUUCUAGUGGUUAUACCGUCACCAAUCAUGAGGAUCGGAAAGGUCUGAUACCUUUGUUAUGGCUUGGAUCUGGAGGAGACGAAGCAACAGAAACAGAAAAGAAAAUUUGAGAAGAAGGGAACUAGAGAGAAAUUUGAGAGAGAGACUGAGAAGUAAACAGUUAUCAAAUUCAUAUCUUUCUUCAGUUAGUUACAGACAAUAUAAUAACCCAGUAAUAGCAAUUCUUCUGACUAGCCAAAACGCACCCGUUUCAACUAGACGAAACUCAUCGUUUCAUUAACUCAUACGUAAAACGCAAUGUUUAACUAAUUAAUUUUUAACAGUCUUUAAGUAAAAUAUAAAAGGAAAAAUGAUCGUUGUUUAAAACCAUAACACAUUUAUUUUGUAGGUACAGUCAGUUGGAGGCGAAGAUACACGUGUGGGGAGAGCAGAGGCGCGUGGCGUGCGUGGGAGGGCCUGGUUCCAGCUGCGGCGCAGUCUAGUUAGGGUUUCCAAUUUUUUUGGGUUAUUGGGCUAGGGUGUAUUGGGCUAAUUGGUUUGUUUUGGGUCUAGGAUUGGGUUAUAUUUUGGGUUUAGGUUAUUAGGCUUUGGAUUUUGGGCCAUAAGGGCCUAUUGUAACUGGACUUUUAUGGUUUGUUUUUUAUUUGGUUUUAUUAUUUGUAUUUGUUGAAUUGGGCCCGGGCUAAAAUUAGGCCCUACAAUCGACAUGUUUUUUAGUAGGGUCGAUCAAAACCCAAUUAAAACCGAUGAUAUUGGCUUAGUUGACUCGGUCAAGUCUAUUAGAUUGAUAAAACCAAUUUACAUACGAUUAUUUAUUAUCAUAAAAGGUUAGUUUAAAUUUAAAGUAAUCUAAUAUGUUUAUUGAACUUCAACUAUUAAAUAAAGUAUAAGCUAAAUAUGUGUAAAUAUUCUAGAAACCAUUUCUAUAUGAUGAUAGGCUAAUUCGGAAUUAAGAUUAAUAUAUAAAAACUAGAUAGUAGGGUUAUAGUCCUCAAACUACACUUAAUUUAAUAACAUUUACAUUUUUUUUAGCNNNNNNNNNNNNNNNNNNNNNNNNNNNNNNNNNNNNNNNNNNNNNNNNNNNNNNNNNNNNNNNNNNNNNNNNNNNNNNNNNNNNNNNNNNNNNNNNNNNNAAAAAUUGGAAAAAUAUUUUAAAAUUUAAUUUUUUUUCGUAUUUUUAAUAACAUUUAUAGUUUUUUCUGUGGUUUGGUAACUUAUCAACUCGACUCUUAAUUGUAAUAAACUUUCUGACCAUUUUUGUAUUGUUAACCUAAGUCCCGUUACAACUUUCUUAAGACCUAUUGAUUGGUGUAUCAUCUCGAUUUGUUUUUAUAGUGGUGGAGAUUUGGUUUUCAAGCAAGCCUAUGAUAAUAACAUUUUUUGUUCAACUGUUGAGUACAUAGUACUUGAACCUUAAACACUUUGAGUGCUUUGAGUGAAUCUUAGUUAGGGUAUUGAUUAUUGUUAAGUUUGAAUUUCAGGUAAUUAUUGAGAUAGAGGAGACGCCUAUGUUUUUUGUGCUUUAAAAAUUUCUGCUUAGAUUGCUUUUAUUCUUUAGUGACAUGCUAGUUUCAAUUUCCAGUGCAUGAUUAUCUGUAGAUUAUUCCUAAGGCAUUGUCGGUGAAAACAAUAAAUUGAAGGAGAUUAACUUGAAUAAGGGUUGAGAAUUUUGCUUAAUGACAAACAAAUGCUUAAUUGUGGGGAUAUUUGAUAAGUGCUAAAUUGAUAUGUUUUAACCUUAUUCUUAAUGUGUUUUUGGUUGAUUAUUCGAUCUUAAUUAUGCUCCUAAUCCUUUCAAUACGUGUUUUUAUGCUUAAUAGAACAUUUGGGAGGAAAAUGAGCGAAAAAUGAGUGAAAAACAAAAAAUGGGGGAAAACAAUAGGACCCACACAGGCUGACCUAUUACACAUGUGGCAGGCCAUGCCGAUUUCGUAGAUUUACACUCUGAAUUGCAAAAAAUUUGAAUUUUAGGUUUUUUGAGCAUUUUAAGACGUAUAUAUCAGAAUUUAAUAAGAUAGGAGAGAACCUUGCUAGAAUAUUUAAGACACACCCAAGACACAACCCGACCUUAUAAAACCUCAAUCUCAUUUAAUUAUUAGUUAUUUAUUAAUGCAGAAGUAAAUUAUGAGUCAAUUUUAAAGUUUUCCUAGGUAAUUUAACCUAAGGGCAAUUUCAUCAUUUUACCACUUAUUGUAAAACUAACCUGAUUUUAGAUCUAAGUGUUUACCAUCCUUCUUUUAGUCAAAUUAUGCAAGCCUAAAAUUUUUGGCUUAAUUUGAUUUCGUUUACUUUGUCUAAUUCAAGUUUUAUUAUUAGGGACUAAAUCGUAACUUAGUCAAAUUAGAAUACCAAUUUAAAGAGACAAAAUUUCAAAAUCCCAAAACCCACAUGGGUGUGUGGGUAAGUGACAUGGGUGUGUGGAGACUGGAGCUAUCACACACAAGCGUGUGGGAUUGAAAUAUAUGAAAUAAAUUAAUCCACUCAAUUUUCCAACAACCAUGCUAUACUACCAAACCAAAUAACGCUUGAAGCUUUGAAUAGGGGCGAAUUUUUAAAAAGAAAAAUUUAGAGGAAUCAGAAUUAAAUUAUAAAAUUUUGAGAAGUUAGAAUAUAAUUUUGUCAUGUAUUAAUUUAUUAUUUUUUAAAGGGUCUUAAUAGAAAUUUUUUUUCCCAUUUUGGUUAGGCCAAUACCCCUGCCUACCUCUUUAAAUUUGCUCCAACCCUAAACCCAAUAUUUGAGUUGGAUUAACAACAAUAUAUAGGUUAGUAUUUGUGGAAGUUUGACGAAGAAAAUUUUUUUAGAGGUUUAAAUUAUAAUUUUUGGAAAGAUUAAAAUAAAUUUUUAUUUUUAAUUACCUUUCGGAUCAUACGGGUGAUUUUGAUGAUUUAAAAAUUAAAUACUUUAUAAAAUAUUUAAAACUAUUUAAAAAAUUGUAAGCCUUCAAACAAUCAACAAGAUAUAUUUUUCUCUAAAAGAUCAAUAAAAGUAUGUUUGAAAUUUUAUAUGAAUUUUUAAACUUUUUAACAAUAAUAUAUUUUAAAAUUAUAUACACCUUUCUUCACCUUUUUUAUAUAAACCUUUUUUCACCUUUUUUAUGUACACCUUUUUUAUAUUUUUUUCCUAACAUAUCAUUAUUUUCAACACUAUCGUAAUCCUUUUUUGAUAAUUCCCUUUCCAUACAUCCUUUUUCAACAUAGAAUUUCAAGAGAAAAUGUGAAUUAAUGUAGACGUGAGAAGACUUAGAGGUAAGUCACCCAAUGAAAGUGACCUAAACCGACUUAUGGAAUAAUCAAGAGUAUUAUUUUAGUCUUUGUCUUAGGUAUGAAUGAUAUCUUCUAGAUUGAAGCUAGAGCGAUUCUUAAAUGAUUGAAAUUGACUUGGAUUAAAGGAUUCAGAUGUGUUGAGAUGGAAAGUGACAGUGCAAUGUUGAUUGAAACUAUUCGUAAUGGGUUGGCCGCAGUAAGUAGUGUUGCUAAAGUAAGAUUGAUUCACGAUUGGUGUUCCAAAAAUUGGUAAGUCAAAUUAUUGACAUAUUCAGCAAAAUGCCAAUAAAGUUGUUGAUUGCAUAACUAAGGCAGAUGGAGGCGUAAUUGAGCAGCUGGUUAUCUUGAAAGAUCCUCCGCAUUAUGUGAGAUGCUAGCUUGAAGAAGAUAUUACACAGUUGCUGGUGAUUGAUGAUAGUUUUCAUUUGGACUGAUGCUCGCUUAAUUUUCUAAGCUUAUGUUCAACCAAAAAAAAAAAAGUCUAAAUUGUAAUAGAAUUAACAUUUAGUGUAUAAAAAAUAUCUUCAAAUUUUUUUUCAAUUGAAGUUUAAUUCCACAAAUAUCGAUGAUGAACCCUAAAAUGGACAUGAAAAUUACAAAAAGAAAAAGAAAAAACACAUCUAUUAUCAAACUAGCAAUCUAUGUCUAAACUUAAAUUAACAAAAUUCAUCAUGCAACCCAGUACACUAUUUUAUAUAAUAUAUAUGCUAGAUUUAUUCUAGAUGCACAUAUUUUAUUAUAUGUCUAUUACCAAAUUAGUAACCCAUCCCAAGGCUUAAACUAACAAAAUUCACCAUGCAACCGUGUAGACUAUUUUAUAUACAUAUAUACUAUAUUUAUUCUUCAUGCAAAUGUUUAUUAUAUUUAAAAAUUAAAAUAUAUGGUUGAUUGAGUUUUAGUUGAAUUAAUAUCGAUAUUGUUAUCAGUACAGAAGAACAUGAGUUCAAUCAUGUUUAAGCACGUUUUAUCUUUCAAUUUAGGAGUUGGAGAGGAUUCUCAAUAGUUAAAUUAUAUCAGUUUUUGUCUACUUAAAAAUGAUUUAUAAAUAAUAUAAGUAAAAAAAUUUUAAAAAUACAUAUUCAUAUUCAUGGGCUUUUUCAUUAUUAGACUUUUCUCCCCACAGGUAAAAGAAUUUAUGGACAGGAUGAUGUAAAAUUAUGACCUGAAUAAUUUUAAACCUUCCAUCACUGCAAAAAUGAAAUAAUAGAAAUGANNNNNNNNNNNNNNNNNNNNNNNNNNNNNNNNNNNNNNNNNNNNNNNNNNNNNNNNNNNNNNNNNNNNNNNNNNNNNNNNNNNNNNNNNNNNNNNNNNNNNNNNNNNNNNNNNNNNNNNNNNNNNNNNNNNNNNNNNNNNNNNNNNNNNNNNNNNNNNNNNNNNNNNNNNNNNNNNGGUUAUACUUUAAUUAUUGAGAACAUUUUCCACAAUUUGCCAUCAUUAUUUGUGAGUGAUUUGUGGGGUAAAAGGUUGAACACUUCUGGAUCACAUUGCGUUUAAGACGGGUCGUUGGAGUUAUGUGACACUUAAACAUAGACUGACUUUUCUAUAAUUAGUCUUUGCUUUACUUUGGGUGGAUUCGUCCAACCAGUCCAAGAAUUAUUGUAAAAUCACAAUUAAUCUUCUUAAAUGAGACUAACAUUUCAAAUUUGUCAUCACUAUUUGUGAGUGAUUUGGGGGUAAGAAGUUUAACACUUCUGGAUGACUUAAAGAAUUGUGGGUCUCUAUUUGAGCAAAACAAUUUCAACAUUUCCUCGUCUCGUUUAAUCCAAAUUCAUUUAGGAUUUUCUUAUAUCAUUUUAAUUUAUUGAUUGUUUCAAAAACGAUAAUAAAAAAUUUUCUGUUUCACAUUCAAUUUUUGGACAAGAAGAAUUUUCUAACCUAUUUUAUAUCAACUUCACUUCAAUUUUCAAUCACAAUCAAUUGCAUUCAAAAGAACCACAUAUUUUUGAAUGAAACAAAUAUUUCAAUUUUAAGAUAAACGGGUCUUUAGGGUUAUUAAUUGAGGGCCUUUUCCGCAAUUCCCAUCGUUAUUUGCUGAUUGGGUUACAACAAUCGUUUGAAGUGAAGAUAUUUCAAAAGAAGAUGAAUACUUUACUAAUAAGNNNNNNNNNNNNNNNNNNNNNNNNNNNNNNNNNNNNNNNNNNNNNNNNNNNNNNNNNNNNNNNNNNNNNNNNNNNNNNNNNNNNNNNNNNNNNNNNNNNNNNNNNNNNNNNNNNNNNNNNNNNNNNNNNNNNNNNNNNNNNNNNNNNNNNNNNNNNNNNNNNNNNNNNNNNNNNNNNNNNNNNNNNNNNNNNNNNNNNNNNNNNNNNNNNNNNNNNNNNNNNNNNNNNNNNNNNNNNNNNNNNNNNNNNNNNNNNNNNNNNNNNNNNNNNNNNNNNNNNNNNNNNNNNNNNNNNNNNNNNNNNNNNNNNNNNNNNNNNNNNNNNNNNNNNNNNNNNNNNNNNNNNNNNNNNNNNNNNNNNNNNNNNNNNNNNNNNNNNNNNNNNNNNNNNNNNNNNNNNNNNNNNNNNNNNNNNNNNNNNNNNNNNNNNNNNNNNNNNNNNNNNNNNNNNNNNNNNNNNNNNNNNNNNNNNNNNNNNNNNNNNNNNNNNNNNNNNNNNNNNNNCUUCUCUUAUGCUCCUUCCAGCUUCUUGCUUUUUGUGUGCUGAAAAUUCAAAGGAACAAAAUAUCAACCUACAUCAUAAGGCACGAAGGCCAGAACUUUAAUUUCUAGCCCGUCCGAUCCAAUGAAAGAAGAACAAAGAGUCUUGAGAUCUGACAACUUUAUUUCAUCUUCAUUUUCUCUGUUAUUUUCUAUGUUUCUUGUCAAAUACAAUGAAAGAAGAACAUAGAAAAAUGUUGCCUAUUUAUUUCCCAAUCAUCAUGAAAUUACUUGCCAUAGACUUAGAAUUUUCUCACCAAUUUUCAAGCAAUCUGACAUGAUUUCUCAAUCACAAAUAAUUGAAUUCAAGAUCUUUUUGGAUGACACAAACAUUUCAAUUUUAACACAAACCAAUAUUUAGGUUAUACUUCAGUGCUUGACAAGCACUUUCACAUUUGUGGGAUAAGAACCCUAGCAUUUUAGGAUCACAUUUAAUUCAAUUGCAUUUAAGACCUCAUGAUUUUAUUCUAUAAUUUCAGUCUUUUCAACCUUUUGGGAAAUAAUAAAAUAUCGACAUUAAACUUCUUGUUGAUGCAUUCAAUUUGAUUUUUUGAGGGGUCGUUGGAGUUAUACGUGACUUUAGCAUUGAUUGACUUUUUUAGAAUUAAUCUUUUAUACCAAUUUAAUAACAUCGACAUGCUGUAAUACCCAAUUUUGCCCCAGGCCUAUAUACUAAUAGAGUAAAACAAAAAAACAGUCCAUUUACAAAUAAAAUAAAUCCAAACCCAAUUGGCCCAAAUACAAAAAACCCUAGUGGCCCAAUAUGACCCAAAAAUUAAACAUUUUUCAGCAGCAAAAAAGGAAGGAAAACCCUAGCUGCCGCCGCCCUAACGGCAGCCAAGUCCUCCUCCGCGCAUGCCAAGCCCCCACGCGCGUGCGCCUCCUCUACAGCCUUCGUACCUGCGGAAAAAGUGGAUCCAAAUAGCAAGCAAACCGCAAAAAUCGCUAACAAUAGCGAGGCAACAGCAAAUAGGAUAGCAGAAAAAAUGGGAUAACAGACGAGAUUUUUGGGGAUUCAUUUUCUUUUAUUUUGUAUUUUCGGCUAUAAAAAGAGCCGAUUGAUUCAUUGUACUGGGGGGGAAGAAAAAAAUAAUCGAAAACAGAAAAAAAUUCCGAAGGUUUACUUCUACUUUCAUUUUAAUGUUUUAUUUUUAUUUUUUAUUUUUAUUCUAACUUUUUUUUUACAUACGAAAUAUAUAUAAAAAAAGGAGGAAAAAACUUACCCUUGAUUUCACCGAAAAAAAGGAGACUUUUGGCCUUCCGGCCGCAGUGGACGGCGGCGCCUUCACUGGCAAACGGCAGCCAACUCGGCAGUAGCUUAUCGGAGGAUGGCCGGCGUCUGGAGAAGUUGAGAGAGAAUUGAGAGUGUUUUUUCUAUUUUUUUUUUGAAGAGAAGAGAAAAUGAGUUUUUUUGUAAAAAAUUUGGCUUAUAUAAAGGUUCAAAACGGCGUCGUUUUGAGCUAGGAUUCCAAUAUCCCAAAACGGCAUCGUUUUGAGGCCGACCCACGCACCGACUCGAUCCGGUCCUAGAUCCGCGUGUUUUAUAGCGUGUGGGAAGUUUGUGGAAAUGAUCCCCUCAUUUUUAUAUCGCGUUUAGAUUGAUCCUUUUGCUUUCUUUAAAUUUAGCCACGCAUUUUAUUUUUAUUUCAAUUUCGUCCGUGCAAGACGCAGCGUUUUGGAUGGCAGGGAUUAUUUUCCCCUUUAGUCCUUCCCUGUUAUUCGCUCAUUCAGUGAAGUCCCUUUCUUUCCAUUUAUUUUCAGAUUUGCCUCAAACUUUUGUUUUUAAGCUUAAUUUAAUCCUUUUUUGUUAUUUGUGCUAUUUUAUUUUUUUUAGUUUAUUAUUAUUAUUAUUAUUAUUAUUGUUGUUGUUGUUGUUGUUAUUAGUAUUAUUACUAUUAUUAUUAUUAUUAUUAUUUUAUUUUUGUUUAUAUUUAUUUACCUAACUUUUUUUUUGUAUUAUGUACUUUUAUUUUAAGGGGUUUUUAUUAUUAUCAUCAUUUCAUUUUUUUUAUGUUAAUCCAAUAGAUUUUUUUUACUGGUUUUAUUUUGUAAAACAUAAUUUAUAUCAAAUUAUUUUCAUUUUGUAUGUUAUGGAUUUCAUAUUAUUAAAGCCAUUAAUUUUAAGUUCUUUCUUUAACAUAUUUGUAUAUAUAUAUUUGUUUAAAUCUAUCUUUAUAAAUAUCUAAUUUAUUUCUUUUAUAUAUUUCGUUAAUUUUAACUUUUAAAUAUAGUAUUAUAUAUAUUAUAAUUUAUAUUAAGUUUCCACUCCAUAUGUAUUAUUUUAAAAAAAAUUAAUAUAUGUAUAUUAUGUUAUGUAUUUUGAUUCUCUUUCUACAAUAUUUACUUUAAAAUGCAUUUCGAUACUUUUAUUUUAAGUAGUUUUUUUUUCUGAUUUAUUUCGAAUUUACAUAUAUGUAAAUACUAUUUGUUUUAAAACAUAAUUUAUUGAUUAUAAUUUCUUCUCUUGUUAUUAAUUUUUAAGUUUUUUUUUAAUUUGAUUAUUAAUUCAUUAAAUUUUUGAAUAUUGAUAUUGAUAUUGGCAUAAUGUAUGAUUGAGAUAAUUGUUGCUAUGCUUGUCUGUAUUUAUCUAUUGAUUAUUUGUUAUUCAUUGGUGUAUAUUAUUUACAAAUUAUCCUUUACGUUGUACGUUAUCAUUCACUCACAUUUUAUUUCAUUUAGAAGGUUGCAUUUGAUUAAAAUAUCGAAAUCAUUUUAUCCACAAGUUUUCAAAAUAUUCGGUAUCCAAGAUUCUCGAGAAGAUUGUGCCCUAACUUACUGGACUUCAAUUUUCCUUGUUGAAUUUAAAUAAACGAGUAUUUCUUUUUCAAUUAAAGCAUAAAAAUUCCAAAUCAAAGCUUAUCUCGACGAUUCAAAACUUUGUGUCCUAGCUCAUUCGAUAUGGCAUUUGGUUAUCUCGAGACGUGGUUUUUAAAUAAAAUCAAAUUCAUGUGUAGUCUUUGGAACUUCAAAGGAUCGUACCCUAACUUACGGCGGCCGAAAGGCCAAAAGUCUCCUUUUUUUUCCGGUGAAAUCAAGGGUAAGUUUUUUCCUCUUUUUUUUUAUAUUUCGUAUGUAAAAAAAUUAGAAUAAAAAUAAAAAUAAAAGAUUAAAAUGAAAGUAGAAGUAAACCUUCGGAAAUUUUUUUCUGUUUUUGAUUUAUUUUUUCUUUUUUUUCCCCCAAUACAAUGAAUCAAUUGGCUCUUUUUAUAGCCGAAAAUACAAAAUAAAAGAAAAUGAAUCCCCAAAAAUCUCGUCUGUUAUCCCAUUUUUUCUGUUAUCCUAUUUGCUAUUGCCUUGCUAUUGUUAGCGAUUUUUGUGGUUUGCUUGCUAUUUGGAUCCGCCUUUUUCGCAGGUACGGAGGCCGUGGAGGAGGCGCACGCGCGCGGGGGCUUGGCAUGCACGGAGGAGGACUUGGCUGCCCUUAGGGCGGCUACAGCUAGGGUUUUCCUUCCCUUUUUGCUGCUAAAAAUGUUUGAUUUUUAGGUCAUAUUGGGCCACUAGGAUUUUUUGUAUUUGGGCUAAUCGGGUUUGGAUUUAUUUUAUUUAUAAAUGGACUGUUUUUUUUGUUUUACUCUAUUAGUGUAUGGGCCUGGGGCAAAAUUGGGUAUUACACAUGUUUUUGGGUAGGGUCGAGCAAAACCCAAUUAAAACCGAUGAUAUUGGUUUAGUUGACUCGGUCAGGUCCAUUAGAUGGAUAAAAUCAAUUUUAAAAUCAGUUAUAAUGGAUUGAGGUAAUUAAUUAUCGAGUAAUGAAAUACAUAAUCAAAUCAAUUGAUUUUGUUAGAAACUACAAGAAAAUGGGAUAAGCUGAAAACUGAUUGCCCUUUAUUAAAAUUAAGGAAUCCGCCUUUUACAUGUUAGAUAAUAUGAACAUCCUAUAUAUAAUAAGAAAAAUUACGUACGAUUAUUUAUUAUUAUAAAUAGUUAGUUUAAAUUUAAAGUAAUCUAAUAUGUUUAUUGAACUUCAAGUAUUAAAUAAAGUAUAAGUUAAAUAUGUAUAAAUAUUCUAGAAAUCAUUUCUAAUUGAUGAUAGGCUAAUUCGGAAUUAAGAUUAAUAUAUAAAAACUAGGUAGUAAAGUUAUAGUCCUCAAACUACACCUCAUUUGAUUUUUCCGACAUUCUAUUUUUGAAAAAAGAAUCACCUUCUUUAAAAAAAAAAUAUGUACUAAUUUGAAAAAUUAAAACUAUCAUAUAUAUUAAUAAGUACCAACUAAGCAAUACUUAAAUAUAGGUGUGUUUUAUAAAAAAAAAAUUAUCAACUUAAAGAAGUUGCAACAAAAAUUUAAAAUUCAUUUAUCAAAUGAAUAUUUAAAACUUAUAAUCUAAACUGUGACAUGAUAAAAUACAUGAGCAUAACUUGGAUUUACCAAAAAUCUAUGUACUUUUCUAAAACUUAAAUUUUAGUCCCUGUACUUUAAUUUAGAGACAUUAAGUAACUAUACUUUUUUAUUUAAAAAUUUUGGUCCCUUCAUCAAUUUUAUCAUUAUAAUUGUUGAUUUAGUUGUUAUAAAAAAAGGUAGAAUAACUUUUUUAGCCUUAAACAUUUAUAGUUUCUGUUAAUUUGGUCCUUACUCUUUAAAAUUACAUAAAAAUGCAAAAACAUUUUAAAAAUUAAAUUUUUUUUUGUAUUUUUAAAAACAUUUAUAGUUUUUCAUUUUUGUGGUUUGGUAACUUAUCAACUCGACUCUUAAUUGUAACCAACUUUUCUGGCCUUUUUCGUACCCUUAACCUAACUCCCGUUACAAAUUUCUAAAGACCUCUUUAUUGGUGUACCGUCUCGAUUUGUUUUUAUAAUGGUGGAGAUUUGGUUUUUAAGCAAGCCUAUGAUAAUCACAUUUUUUGUUCAACUGUUGAGCACACAGUUUUGAACCUUAAACACUUAAAGUGCUUUGAGUGAAUCUUACUUAGGAUAUUGAUUAUUGUUGAGUUUGAAUUUCAUGUAAUUAUUGAGAUAGAGGAGACGCCUAUGUUUUUUGUGCUUUACAAAUUUCUGCUUAGAUUUCUUUUAUUAUUUAGUGUCAUGCUAGUUUCAAUUUCCUGUGCAUGAUUAUCUAUAUAUUAUUCCUAAGGAAUUGUCGGUGAAAACAAUAAAUUAAGGGAGAUUAACUUGAAUAAGGGUUGAGAAUUUUGCUUAAGGACAAAUAAAUGCUUAAGUGUGGGGGAUAUUUGAUAAGUGCUAAAAUUGAUAUGUUUUAACAUCAUUCUUAAUGUGUUUUUGGUUGAUUAUUAGAUGUUAAUUAUGCUCCUAAUCCUUUCAAUUCGUGUUUUUAUGCUUAAUAGAACAUUUGGGAGGAAAAUGAGUGAAAAUAAAAAAAUGGGGGCAAACUAUAGGAUGCGGGCUGACCUAUUCCAUAUAACCGUGUGACCCACACAGUUAUGUGGCAGGCCGUGUCGAUUUCGUAGAUUUUCCCUUUGAAUUGCGAAAAAAAUGCAAUUUUAGGUUUUCCGAGCAUUUUAAUAGUAUAUAUGGAAAAAAAUAAGAAGAUAGGAGAGAACCUUUCUAGAAUAUUUAAGAAAACAAUUCCAAAGACGCCAUUGAAGCCGACUCUGAAACAGAUUUUCAUCAAGAUUGAAGAUUCCCAGUUGAUUUCUUAAGAGAUUAUGAUGAGUUUCUUUAUUUCUUUUGGUUAUACUGCCCUUUGGAUGUUUUUAUUUUUAAGCAUGAACUAAUUUUCUAAAUACCUAAGAGAGAUGAACCUACGAUAGAUUGUGACACCCCAAACCCGAUCGGGAUAGACCGGCCUGAAUUCGAAGCAUUACAUAAGCCACAUAAGUGACUCUCCAGCUAACGACCACCCAAGACACACCCCUACCUCAUAACACCUCAAUCUUAUCUAAUUAUUAGCUAUUUAUUAAUGCAGAAGUAAAUUAUAAGCCAAUUUCAAACUUUUCCUAGGUAAUUUAACCUAAGGGUAAUUUUGUCAUUUUACCACGUAUUGUAAAACUAACUCGAUUAUAGAUCUAAGUGCUUACCAACCUUCUUUUAGUCAAAUUAUGCAACCUUCUUUUAGAUUUAAUAUUUGUUAAUAUCAUCUAUAUAAUCACAUGUUCGAAUUACUAAUGUUCAACAAAGCCAAAUUUCACGUACUUCAUCCAUAUUAAUGUUCGAACCACAUAACCCUGAUAUUAAUGGCAUUUGUAUACUUAAGCCAUAUCCCAACAUAUUUCAUUACAUUUCAUACAUUGAAAAUAUGUCAUCAUAUUUAUUUCAUUAAUUGAAUAUUAAACAUAACAUUUCAUAACUUCUGCACUAGCACCUAAUAAAACCAAUCAAACCAUAAUACAAUAAUAUGAUGCAAUCGCAUAUAUGCGACUUUCGUAACAUUACGACAUAGCCGAACAUGCUAGUGAUGCAUAUACAUGUAUAGUGCGCAAAAACAUUAAUCAACUGAACACAAAUAAUAUUCCCUUGCACACCUAAUUCGCAUGUAUAUAUAGAUUGUUAUACCUAGCUUCAUAUUUUAUCCUAUUAACUAAUCAUUGAAUCGAUCACACCAUGAUAAAGGUCAUAAGCUUACCAAAAUGAACCACAUAUCAAAUCUGAAUUUACAAGCACCCACAUGCGCAUACCUAUAAUAAUACUAAAAUCAACUUGAUACUUUUAACUACCCAUUAAAAGUUAACCAAAACAUGCCUAAUUCAUAAACAUCUUUUAUCAUUUGGAUCCAUACCAAAACAAUCAACCAAAACAAUUAUGAAACAUGUUCAUUUACUAUUUAACAACCGAACUUACAUGACUAAACAUUCAAGCAUAAUAUAUGUAUAUGCUUGUCACCACAACCAAUCAAAUCAACCAAACCACAAUUGAUCAUAAAACAUUUCCAUAAUUUGCCAUCACCAAUCAAAAUAAUGACAUAACCAUUACUUAACCUACGUUUCAUAUACCAUAAACACACUUUCAAAAAUAAGCUAAAUUCAUGGCCGAUUGUAAACCAAUCUUUUCAUCGCCCAAUACCGAAUCAUUUAUCAAAACAUCACAAGUAUAUAUAUAUAUCAUGACUGAAAAUGCAUAUACGUAAGCAUCGUCCCUAGCCAUUUUCGCAUGGCUUUAUAUACAAUUUCAAAAUUAACCAAAACAAAUAAUUGUCUAUACAUGCCAUAGGUUUAUAAUUCAAGCCUUAAAAAUACCGAAAUAAUGGUCGAUAGUGCGGCGAACUUCCUUGACGAUCCCCUAGCUAAUAACUAGCUUUUCUAAAUCUAUAAAACAACGAAUAAACACCCAAAGUAAGCUUGGAAAGCUUAGUAAGUCAUAAGCAAAUAAGGUAUAAUAAAGACGAUAACAACUUAUUUUUAUUUGGCCGAAUAUAACUAAACUCAUACAUAUAUAUACGGCCACCUUUCACAAGUUGUUUCACAUAGUCACAUAAUUGCAUCAAAACUUACCUUUUCAUUCGAAUCUAAUAUAAACAUAAAACAUACCUGAAUUAUUUAAACUGAACUCAUAUUCGAUCUUGCUUAUCUCUUCCUAUUAAAACAUUCGAAAUUAUUAAGGAUAUUUGGAUAGCUCAACAGUUCGUACAAUGCCAUCGUCCCAAAAGUGGACUUACAUGUAAUCAAAUAUCGAUGCCACUACCCCAGAUAGGGUCUUACACGAAGUCAUAUACGAUGCCAAUGUCUCAGACAUGGUCUUAUACGUAAAUCUCAAGUCGAUGCCAAUGUCCUAGACAUGGUCUUACACAAAAUCACAUACCAGAAUCAUAGGGUUUGUAUGGGGCUUUUGGAUGUCGUAAUUCAAUCGAUUCAUGCUUGUAACAAAUCAUUCCAUGCAAAAUUUCAUUCGGCAAUGUAGUUAUACGUACAUACAAUUAAAAUCGGCUAUGUACAAGAUAAAUUCAUACAAUUUAACAUCAUUUAUUUACUUACAAACUUACCUCAAACAAAGACGAACGGACCGAGACGACUAUUCGAUAACUUUUGAUUUCCCUCGUUCUAAAUCCAAUUUCUUCUUUUCUUGACCUAAAUUAAUACAAAUUUGACUCGUUUAAUCAUAUAUUUAUUCAAAUUCAUCCAAAAAUAAAUAAAUGGGAAAAUUACAUUUUAUCGUCUAACAUUCCACAUUUUUCACAAUUUAGUCCCUACUUCACAAAACACAAAAUAUUCAAAAUUUUACCACACCCAAGCUUGGCCAAAUUUCACUAAGGUCCCUAACAACCCAUUUCUUUCAUUUGUUUCACAUUUUGACCCUUAAAUUUUUAAAAUUCACAAUUUAAUCCUAAUUAGGCAUUUUUACUAAAAAUUACUUAAUUAAACUUGACAAUCUAACAACAUAUAUUUAUUUUUCAUCAUCAAACAACAAAAACCACAAGGUAUCAUCAAUGGCAAAUCAUGAAUACAUCAACAAAUUCAAAAAUUCCAACAUGGGCUAGCUAGUAUUCGAAGUAACGAUCUCAAAAACGUAAAAAUUUUCAAAAGUCGAGCUAAACACAUACCUUAAUCAAGCUUGGACAAUGCCGAACCUAGCUUGUUCUUUUUAUUUCUUUUUCUUUUGUAUUUUCGGCAAGAAUGAUUAACAAAUGCAUGGUUUUAUGUUUUUGUUUUAUUUAAUUUCAUUUUAACACCUAAUUUACUAUAUUAACCUUUAUAAAAUAAUAUGAAAACCUUAUAAAUUAAGCCCAAAACUGCCCAUGCUAAAGUUCAAUGGCUAAAUUACAACAUAAGGGCCCUACAUAAUAAAAGCCAUAGCAAUAUAGCACUUUAAAAAUUAGCUAGCCACUUUUGUAUUUUACGCGAUUAAGUCUUUUUUUUUAAAUCGAGUACACAAACGACAAAAUUUUCACACAUAUAAAUUAACAUGCUGUAGACACCAAAAAUAAUAUUGUUACAGACCCAUUUUGCCCCAAGGCCCAUUACAAAGUAAAUACCCAAAGCCCAUCUAAACCUAACGCAGACCCGAAGCCCACUUAGCCCAGGCCCGAUUUUAAAAAACUGAAACCCUAGGCGUCGCCCCUUGACUUUUGGCCUCCUGCCAUCGCCGCCACCGCCGCUGGACGUCCCAUCCGCGUCCAUCACCACCACCCAUCCACUUGCACCGUCACCUGCAAAGAAGAGAAACAAACAAAGGAAAAGACAACACAAACAGUGGCAAAGAUCGGCUAUAAAAGCCAACAAAAUGUAACCUUUCUUUUUUUCGGGUACUCUUUGUAACAAAACAGAGAUUAGCAAAAAGAAAUAAAAUACAAACUAAGUUUUAAGGUGCUUUCGAGUACUCUUCUUCAUUUUUUAUUUUAUUUCUUAUCUUUUUUUGUUUAUUUAUAUAUGUAAAAUAAAGAAAAGGAAAAAGAAAAAAACUCACCUGAUUCAUUUUUUGGUUGCGCCGCCGUUGGGAUCUACCCAUCGUUGAAAUCAGCCUCGAAAGGAUGAGUUAGAGGGUCUCUCCUUUGGAUCUUUCGGCUAAACGAGUCUAGCCUUUAAUUAGGCCUUGGAUCGGGGACUAAAUUGCCCUUUUACGCAACGCCAACCACCACGCAUGAUGGCGCUACAGCGGCACUGUGUGGGCUCAAAGUUCGGGCGUUUGAGAGGGGGAGGAGAAAGGUUUUCUUUUUUUUUUUGAUUUGUUUUUUUUUAAAAAAAGAAGUGAGAUGCUGAAUUUUUUUGAAAGAGUUUGGGUUUAAAUAACCCCCUAAAACGGUGCCGUUUGGGCUUAGGGUUCAGAGACCAAAAAAGGCGUCGUUUUGGUCUCUGACCCGCGCGGUGAACCGACCCGAGGGGAGGAUCCGCGUGUUUCUGACUCUUGGGUUAUUUGUGCAAUUAGUCCCUUUGAUUCUGUAGCGAUUUCAUGGAAGUCUUUCACAUAUUUGCAAUGUGGCCACAAAAUUUUAUUUUUGUCUCAAUUCGGUGCAUUACUACACAGCGUUUUGGGGCUUUGGUUUAUUUACCCUGUUAGUCCCCCCUCUUUCAGCAUGCGUUACGAUUUAGUCCCUCUUGUCCUUUUUUUAUUUUUGAUUUUGCCCCGUAUUUUCGUUUUUAUUUCGAUUUAGUCCAUAUUUUAGCAAUUUUAUUAUUUAGUUAUUAUUAUUAUUAUUAUUAUUAUUAUUAUCUUAACUAUUAUUAUUAUUAUAUUUAUUAACAUUAUUGUUAUUAUUAUGUCUUUUUUUUUUUAUAUUCACUUAUGAAACUUUUAGAUAUAUUUGUUUUAAUAUAUUAUUAUCAUGAUUGUUUUUAUAUACAUAUACGUAUAUAUAUAUUUUUCUAACUUAUUUAAUAUAUAAAUACUCAAUUUUAUAUACAUACCUAUAUAUAUAUGUUUUUAUAUAUUAAAAUAUGUAUAUUAUUUAUAUAUUUUAUUUUAUUUUAUUAUAUUUUAUAAUCCAUAUAUGUAUAUAUUUUCAUCUACAUACAUAUGUUCUUAUGUUUUGUAAUAUUUAUGUAUUCCUUUCUUAAUAUAUAUAUGUACAUAUUUUAACCUUUGUAAACACAUAUACAUAUACACGCAUAUUUUAAUUUAUGUCCAUAUAUAUCUCUUUACAUUUAAUUGUAUUUACUACUUAUUUAUUUCAUUUUCUUUAUUAUUUUGAAUGAAUGUUUUAAUUUAUUUGUUUAUAUACAUUGUUAUUUUAUACGAUUGUAGGUAUGACUUUUAUUUAUUUUAUAUUGUUGCUAUUACUCGUAUCAUUUUUAUACUUUUGUGUGUGUAUUAUGAUUUUACCACGCAUAACAACAAUGUAAUUUGUUUUCACAUUUUACUACGAUUUUCGUGUUUUAUUUUACUCGAUAUAACAAAAAUUAGUUUUAAAAAAAUAAUAAAAUAAAAUUUCGUGUUUAGAUUCGAGAGGAUCAUACCCUAACUUACUGGGUUUCGAUUUUCAUAAUAAAUCUAAAUAUACGAAUCUUUUCAAACUCAAGUUUUUAAACGAUCUCGGGAAUUAAGAAAAGAUCGUGUCCUAACUUACUGGGCAUGAUUCAUUUUUUAAACCCGAGAUAAUAAAAUAUCUUUUAAAUGAGUAAAUUUUCAGCAUUCGUUCGCGUAUCGGGAAUUUGAGAUAUUGUGUCCUAACUUACUGGAUGUGAUUCUCUUUCUUGAUUAACGUGAAAUAUGCCCAUUUUCCCAAAAUUUUUAACAUUUUAAUACAAGGAUCGUAUUUUUAAAAUUCUUUAAAGUUUUCAAUUUUCGAUAUCAAGACAUUAGCUAAUCAACUAGGUACCAAUUUCUGGGCGUUACGAGGGUGCUAAUCCUUCCUCGUACUUAACCGACUCCCGAACCCGAUUUCUGAAUUUCGUGGGCCAAAAUUGUUGUUUUAAUAAAAUCAAACCGUUUAUUAAAAACCACUUUUCGAGGUGAUCCAAUCACACCUCAUAAAAAGGGAUUGGUGGCGACUCCCCUUUCAUUUUUUCAAAACCCAAGUCAACCCCGUUUUUCAUCAAAAAAAUGGUGUCAACAGCUUGGCGACUCCGCUGGGGACAUCGAAUAAGUGAGUCGAGCCACGAUGUGAUUAUUUUUUGUCUUUUUUUCAAAAAUUAAAAACUUGGUUUAAAGUUACGAUCCUUGCACUGCACUUCAUUCAUCCUUAUUACGAUUUUCAUCGUUGUGGUUUAUGAUUGUUAUGUUUCGGUAUCUUUUUGCAUUGCAUUGCAUGAUCGUUGGUCACACCGUUUUAAGUGGGAGUGAGAAACUACGCCUUCGUGAGGUUUUCACCUCCGCAUAGGAUAGUGAAUCGCUUUCGGGAUACAUCUGUACCUAUGUCUUUGUGAGGUUUUCAUCUCCGUAUGGCCAUAGGGAAAUGUAUUCCCCUGAACUGAACUCGAUCAAUAUGAGCCUAUAAUGGGUGAGGAUCGAGGAAUCUGCCGGUUUGGGUACCUUUACUCUAGAACUAAACCACAUAUAGUGAGCCAUAGGAACCGACCUAGAUGGAACUACGCCAAACCUUAAGUGCUUACCCAAAUGGCUGCUUUAUUUAUUGUCAUUUACUCUAGAUCUUGUUCUGUGUUUAAUACUGAUUUGUUUGUUUCUGAUUGCAUGGCAUUUUCAUUCUAAAAGAGCUGUUGAUUCACGUUCAGUAUCUAGAUAGAAAGCUUAUCAUGGAAAAGGGGUUUUUUGAUAAAGUAGAAGAUAAUGCGGCUGUGUGAAUAUGGGCUAAGACGAUGCAACGGGAGAAAGGAUAUAGUCUUACCGAGGGGCAUAUGUCAGAAUUGUGGGAUUUCACCCGUAUUAGUGUAAUCUAGAAUGAUCUUCGAGAAAUGAAAGAAAUUUGGGAUCAAUGGGAUAACAAGACCAAACAGUUGUUCUAUUGUAACUACGGUGACCUACCUUAUCUGCUCAGUAUCAAAGUGGACAAGUAUUUAUUUCGAGCCCUUGCUCAAUUUUAGAAUCCUGCCUACAGUUGUUUCACCUUUGGAAAAGUGGACUUGACGCCUACUGUGGAGGAGUAUAUGACCUUGCUUCGGUGCCUAAAGAUUCAAGUCGACAAGGCUUAUUCUAGAGCUGCUGGUGCCCUUCCGUUGUUAAAGAAAUUAAUAAACAUCACUGGGAUGAGCGAGCGGUGGGUUGCUGCCCGAAUCCAGCAGAAAGGCGAUAGUAAAUGCGUUCCUUGGAAAAGCUUGCGAGAUUUGGUGCUAGUACAUCCUGAUAUAAAGAAAAGGGUCGAUGUCUUCGCUUUAGGUAUCUAUGGAUUAGUGGUCUUCCCCAAAGCAUUAGGACACAUAGACGAGGCUGUUUCUGAUUUAUUUGAUCGGCUCAGAAAAGGGGUUACUCCCGUUCCAGCAAUACUGGCUGAAACUUUCAGAUCCUUGAAUGCGUGUCGGAGAGCAGGUGAAGGAAGGUUUAUAGGGUGCGCGCAGCUCUUAUUGGCAUGGUUUCAUAGUCAUUUCUGGAAAGUGGAAAAAGUCUCUUAUCAGGUAUUCUCUGGUAGCUAUUCCCCUUUAGAAGAAUUAGUAGCUACGCCAAGGCGAGAUGAUGUUUCAGAGGAAAAAUGGAUGGCGAUACUCCAGAAUCUUCAAGAUGAAGAUGUUGAAUGGAGGGCUCCUUCGUUGAUUUCUGAUGAGAUUUUAUACCGGUGCGGGGAUUUUGACUGGGUUCCUCUGCUCGGAAUAUGGGGAGCUAUCGGAUAUGCUCCUCUACUCGUAUCAAGAUAGUUUAGAUCACGACAAUUCAUACCAGCAAUGCAAGGGUUGCCCAUUGUGAAUUUUCCUAUAAGGAGGACAAUUACAAGAAAAGGGUUCGAGAAAUGUCAAAUGCCUGAAACUAAACUCGCCGAAUGAAGAUCUUAGCUAUAGGUCCGGCAAUGACCCCCGAAUACAGUCAAUGGCAUGAUCAAAGGGUCAACGACAAUAUCCCGGUGUCAAAUCCAGAAACUGCUCGAUCUUUAGAGGAACACCUACAAGUAUUGCCCUCUGAGGUAGAAAUUAUCAAAAAAGAAUUUGAAAAAAGGAGCUUAGAGUUAGGGAAGAAAAUAGAGCAACUAGAGGAAGAAAAAAUGCAAUUAGGAUUGGAUGUGGACAUUCAAUAAUUAGAGGCUGACAAAUUGAGAAAAGGAAAGAACAAGGCAGAAGAAGAUUUAGACAGCCUGAAGAUGGACUACAAGAAGUUGCGUAGGUCAAUAAGAACUGCUGGCUUGGGUAAAACGUCAGAACAAUAGCGACAGGAAAUUCAGGAGGAAAAGAUGAAAACUAAUCAAUAGGAAAAGAUAUUUCAGGAUACUCGAGCUCGAGAAGUUGCUCUGGAAAAGAGUCUACUAGCCUGCCAAAACGAGAAGACAGAGCUGAAAGAUCGAGUAACUGAGCUAGAAAGGUCACUUCACCAGCAUCGUAGUCGUAAUUCUGCGGUUGAAUUAAAGGCAAGCUUGAACAAAAUUGAAGACUGAAAGGGACAAGUAGGGGAGCUCGAGGAUGCAUUGUAAAACAGCGAACUCCGAAUAGAGCUUCUGGAAAGAAAUAAUGAGCAGUGGCAAGGGCAAUUCCAUCGGUCUCAAGACCAUAUUAGAGAAAGAGAUUAUAUUAUGGGUGAGGCGGUGGCUCAAGUACACGAAGUAGCCGAGCACCUACAGACUCUAGCAGUCCAAGCAGAUGUGUUGAGUUUGAAGUAUGAGUCAGAAUCGAACCGGGGCUGAGACUUAGCUUGGCUUCUUAGGAAGGUUAAGGAUUUGGGUAUAAGGGCAAAGCCGUAUAUGUAAUCUAUUUUAUGUAAAGAAACUUCUUCUCUAGUAAAGUUUUCUAAUGAAGUUGAAUUAGAAUCUGUGCCUCUUUUUUUACAUUUAUUUCAUGCAUUGCAUCACAUCAUAUGCAUUAAUAACCAUUAAUGAACCUUAAUUGAAUAAAAUUAUUUCAGUUAACCUGGAAAAUCGACACUGUUACGGCACCCGUGCUAAGUCAAAAAUUAUGGAUCAAAGGUUGGAAAAGCUAGAGCGACUUCAAAAGGAAACGCAAGACCAGUUGCAGGCGCAAAUGAAAGAACAUAUGGAAAAGAUCUAGCAGGACAUGGUACAAAAGAUGAAGGAGUCUCAAGAUGACUUAAUGACUAAGUUGACGCAAUUAAUAACCAAAGGAGUAGAUAAAGGGAAAGGUCAUGUGAUUUACGAUGAAGAAGAAAACAAUGAUGAACCACUUUUUCCUCCAGGUUUUACGCUUCCGCAUGCGCAAGUUCAGACUGAACCACAUCCAUGGAGACCUUCUGUUUCGAUUAGACCUCAGCAUUUUCAAGGUGAUGUUUUAAUUCCAAAGAACCUUCAGGUCGGAUCUGGCUCUAAUCUUGGUGAUAAUCUAAUUAAUUUUGCUAUCCUGAAUUUUGAUGAAGUAGUUGAGAAGGACAAGGUGAAGGAAGAGUUUCCAAAGCAAUUUGAGGAGAAAUGGAAAUGGAUUGAAGAGAUGUUUAGGGCAAUAGAAAGCAUUGACAGCUAUCAUGGAAUAGAUGCAAAAGAUCUGAGCUUGGUUCCGGAUUUGGUGCUUCCUUACAAAUUUAAGAUGCCAAAAUUCGAGAAAUAUAAUGGGACCAGUUGUCCAGAAGCCCAUAUCACUAUGUUCUGUAGGAGAAUGACGGGGUAUAUUAAUAAUGAUCAAUUAUUAAUACACUGCUUUCAGGAUAGCCUUACAUGAGCGGCGUUAAAAUGGUACAAUCAGCUAAGCCAAACCAAAAUUGCUACUUGGAGAGAUUUGGCACAGGCAUUCAUGAAACAGUACAAUCAUGUCUCAGAAAUGAUGCCUGACAGGAUAACUCUGCAGAAUUUGGAGAAGAAAUCGAACGAAAGCUUCAGACAGUAUGCGUAGAGGUGGAGAGAAGUGGCGGUUCAGGUGCAACCACCGCUUUUGGAAAAAGAAAUGACGACGCUUUUUAUUAAAACAUUGAAAGCCCCGUUCAUCACUCACAUGUUGGGAAGUGCUUCAAAGAAUUUCUCAGAUAUAAUCAUGAACGGCGAAAUGAUCGAGCAUGCUAUUAAAAGUGGAAGAAUAGAUGGAGGGGAAAACAAUAGAAGGACAGCCCCGAGGAAAAGAGAAAAUGAAGUGAAUAAUGUGAAUGCCUACAGUAAGUCAAUUACCGUGAAUCAACCAAGGAAAGUGGUUGCUAAUCAGUAGGGCUCAUCGAAGCAAGAGUCGAGAAUGAGGCAAAAUACUGAGAAGCCUCAGUUCACACCCAUUCCAAUGACAUAUAAGGAGCUGUACCAGAAUUUAUUUAAUGCACAUGUUGUCGCUCCUCGUUACUUGAGUCCUCUACAACCCCCGUAUCCAAAAUGGUAUGACACGAACGCGCAAUGUGACUAUCAUGCUGGAAUUUCAGAACACUCAAUAGAAAAUUAUACUGCUUUCAAGAAGGUAGUGGAAGGACUUAUCAAAUUGGGUGUUGUUAAAUUUAGUGACUCACCCAACACAGAAAGUCCAUUGCCCAAUCAUGAUGAUAAGGGAGUGAAUAUGUUGAGCGAAUGUACGGGGAAAGGAGUCAAGACUGACAUUGCUGAAGUAAAAACUCCAUUGAAACGGGUCUGGAAAGAGAUGGCAAAAAGGGGGUUAGUUAUUUCAGAUUUUGAGGAAGGGUAUGAGAUGGGAAACUAUUAUGAAUUCCACGGUAAAACAGGGCACGAAAUCCAAAAAUGUGAAGGAUUCAGGGCUCUGGUUCAAAGUAUGAUGGAUAACAAGAAGAUGAGGUUCUAUGAAGAUACGGAAGAAAGGAAGAGCAUAUGUGUGACAGAAUCAGGAAUAGGGACUCUGAAAAUAAAUCCCUCUGUGGUCAUUAUCUCACACCCUAAGAGUAAUGAGGAUAGGCCUCAGGUAACACCAAAAAUUGUAAUCCAGAAACCAUCAAUUUUCUCAUAUAAGGAUAGCAAAAAGGUUCCGUGGAAUUAUGGGUGCAAUGUGACUAUCUUGGGAAGAGAAGCGGAAAGAAAUCAGGAAAUAGGAUCUUACACGAGCAAUGGGAAACGAUAUGACGCUCAAGCAGAAUCGUCAAGGGAAGAGAAUUUGAAGAAAGAGCAGAGGAAAGGGAAAAUAGUACAAGUUGAACCAUUGGUUAAUGAACCAUUAAAAGAAGAGGAGGCGGGGGAGUUUUUGAAGUUUUUGAAACACAGUGACUAUAGUGUUGUGGAGCAACUACACAAACAGCCCGCCCGCAUUUCUGUAUUAGCUCUACUCCUAAGCUCAGAAGCACAUCGGAAUGCAUUUUUGAAAGUACUAAAUGAAACAUAUGUGGCCAAUGAUGUUUCGGUAAACCAGGUGGAUCAGUUGGUCAAAAAUAUAGGUGCUGACAAUUUUAUUUUCUUCAAUGAUGAUGAAAUACCAUCUGGAGGAAGGGGUUCUACUAAAGCCCUGCAUGUUACUGUCCAAUGCAAAGGGUACACACUCCCGAGGGCCUUGGUUGAUAAUGGAUCUGCAUUGAAUGUAUUACCUUUAUCCACUCUUGGUCAGUUACCGACGGACAGUUCGCACAUGAAAGCAUGCCAGAGCAUAGUAAGGGCAUUUGAUGGAACGAAAAAGAGAGUUAUGGGAAGAAUUGAGGUACCGUUAAGGAUUGGCCCAAUUACUUAUGAGGUGGAUCUCUUGGUAAUGGAUAUUAAGCCUUCCUACAACUGUUUAUUGGGAAGGUCAUGGAUACACUCAGCCGGGGCAGUACCUUCAUCAUUACAUCAAAAGGUGAAGUUAGUGUCGGAGGGUCAGUUGGUAACAAUAGAUGCGAAGGAAGAUAUUAUCGCAACGGUAACUAGUGAUGCAUCUUAUGUGGAAAUUAGCGAUGAGGCACUGGAAUGUUCUUUUUGGUCAUUAGAAUUUGUGAAUGUGAUGUUUAUUGCUGAAGGAAGUAAAAUUUCGGUACCGAAAAUAUCCAGGACCACGGAAAUGGGGUUGCGAUUGAUGAUGGGAAGAGGAGCUUCACCAGGGAAAGGAUUGGGAAAAUAUCUUCAAGGAAAGAUUGAAGUACCGAUGCUGAGGGAAAAGUUUGAUAGUUUUGGCUUAGGAUACAAGCCAGACAUGAGGCAGAAGAAGAAAGAAGCACAGAAAAGACAAGAGAAAAGAAGGGCACGUUUGAAUGGAUAUGAAGCUAAGUGGGAACCUUUGACCUUUCCCUACUUAUCUGUAUCUUUUGUGUCGGGCGAAUUUAUUCAUCCUGAGCGUGGAAUGUCUAGUAACAAGGGUAUUGAAUAAAUGAGGGAAAACGUUCAUAUCAACACUAUAACGGAGGAAAGGGCUUUGUUGGAGAUCUGCCCUUACGAACCUGGGAGCGAGCUAAACAAUUGGACUGCGGAAGAAAUCCCUAUAGUCUUUCGGGCUUAUUCAGAGUAAUGCCCAGAACAUUCCUGUUGUUUUUGUCUAGAAAUGAUAUGAAAUCUUUUGUGAAAGAGGCUUGAGCCUAAAAUAUCAUUAUCCUAAUGAAAUAUACAUUUACAUUCAUUUUGAGCAAUCAUUCUUUUUUCUUUUCAUACAAGUAAAUAUCUUCCAUUUGAUUAAUUGUCUUCCAAAUAAUUUUUUCAUUUGUAACCUUAUUGUACAAAUAAUUAUUCAUAAAAUUUAUAUAUUCUUUGAUGCAUUCCAUCAUAGGUCCUCAGAUAUCAAUGACAUGAGUGAUGUUGCUUCAAACACGAAGUUUAUUUUUGAGCAAGAAAUGUGUUUGGAGGGAUCUCACGACUUUGAAAAUGAUGAAGACAAUGGUGUAUCCCCGGACUUGUUGAGGAUGGUGGAACAAGAGGACAAAUAGAUCCUACCUUAUAAGGAAUCUUUGGAAAUCGUGAGCCUAGAGGAAGGAAAAGAAGUGAAAAUUGGAACUGAAAUCACCGCAAAGACAAAACAGGACCUCAUUAAAUUGCUCCGAGAGUUCAAAGAUGUUUUUGCAUGGUCAUACCAAGAUAUGUCCGGGCUAAGCACUAGCAUUGUGGUACAUCGUCUGCCCAUAAAAGAGGAUUGUAAACCCGUUCAGCAGAAACGCAGGAGAAUGAGACCUGACAUUGUGUUGAAGAUAAAAGAAGAAGUUAAAAGGUAGUUCGACGCGGGAUUCUUACGAGAAAUCAAAUAUUCAGAUUGGGUAGCAAACAUCGUCCCCGUUCCCAAGAAGGAUGGAAAGGUGCGAAUGUGUGUGGAUUAUAGAGACUUGAACAAGGCUAGUCCAAAGGACAAUUUUCCACUACCUCACAUUGAUACUUUGGUAGAUAACACGGCAGACUACUUAUUAUUUUCUUUCAUGGAUGGCUUCUCUGGAUACAAUCAAAUAAAGAUACAUCCCGAAGACAUGAGGAAAACCACAUUCAUUACCUUAUAGGAAACAUUUUGUUAUAAGGUAAUGCCCUUUGGAUUGAAGAAUGCGGGACCAACAUAUCAAAGAGCUAUGGUGACUUUGUUUCAUGACAUGAUACAUAAGGAGAUCGAAGUCUAUGUUGAUGAUAUGAUUGCAAAGUUGAGAACUAAAGAAGAGCAUGUUCAAGUCUUAAAAAAGUUAUUUUUGAGAUUAAGGAAAUUUCAGCUCAAGCUUAACCCGGUAAAAUGCACGUUUGGAGCCAGAUCAGGGAAGUUAUUAGGCUUCAUAGUUAGCAGAAAUGGGAUUGAAGUUGACCCAGACAAAGUAAAAGCAAUACAAGAUUUGCCUCCCCUGCGCACUCAGAAGGAAGUUCGAGGUUUCCUUGGGAGAUUGAAUUAUAUUGCUCGGUUCAUCUCACAACUAACAGAGAAAUGUGAUCCAGUAUUUCAUCUUUUGAAGAAGCAUAAUCCGGGUGAAUGGAACGAUGGAUGUCAGAGGGCUUUUGACAAGAUAAAGCAAUACUUGGCUAAUACUCCAAUACUAUCGCCGCCAAGUCUGGAUAAGCCAUUGAUACUGUAUCUAACGGUGUUUGAGAAUUCCAUGGGAUGGGUAUUGGGCCAACAUGAUGAGACGGGAAAGAAAGAAAGGGCAAUAUACUAUCUCAGCAAGAAAAUUACUGAUUGCAAAAUGAGAUACUCGCCAAUUGAGAAGUUGUGUUGUGCUUUAAUCUGGGCAACCCGGAGACUAAGGCAGUAUAUGUUAUAUCACACAACUGGGCUGAUUUCAAAACUGGAUCCUUUAAAGUAUAUGAUGGAAUCAACUGCUUUAAAUGGGAGAAUAGCUAGAUGGCAGAUUCUGCUAUCUGAGUUUGACAUAGUAUAUGUAACUCAGAAGGCCGUAAAGGGCAGUGCGAUAGCUCACUUCUUAGUUAGUAGAGCUUUGGAGGAUUAUGAGUCUUUGGACUUCGAUUUCCCAAAUGAAGACCUGAUGUAUUUGGCAAACACUAAAGAAAAUCCUCAAAUAGAUCACGUAUGGAGGUUAAAUUUUGAUGGAGCUUCAAACUCUACGGGUAAUGGAAUCGGGGCAGUCUUGGUAUCCCCAAAUGGAGAUCAUUAUCCUGUUGCUAGCAAGUUGGACUUCGAUUGCACAAAUAAUAUGGCAGAAUAUGAAGCAUGUACUAUGGGCAUUCGCCCAGCCAUUGAGCGGAACAUCAAAGUGUUAAGAGUAUUUGGGGAUUCUGCAUUGGUGAUAUACCAACUCAAAGGGGAAUGGGAGACUAGAGACCCUAAGUUAAUCGGUUAUAGAAAACUGGUCCUCGAUUUAGCUGAUGAGUUUGACGAUAUCACCUUCUGUUAUCUCCCACGAGAGGAAAAUCAGAUGGCUGAUGCAUUGGCUACUCUAGCUUCAAUGUUUCAGGUGAACAGACUUGAGGCAAUAAGGCCUAUUCAGAUGAGUAUCUAUGAGACCCCAGCUCAUUGCUACAAUAUUGAGUAGGAGGGAAGAGAUGAUUGUCCUUAGUAUCAGAGUAUCCUACAGUAUGUGAAGAAUCGGGAGUACCCUAAUCGAGCAACAGAGAAUGACAAAAGAACUCUGAGAAGAAUGGCCAUUGAAUAUGUCUUAGAUGGGGAAGUAUUAUACAAAAGAAGGAAGGAUCAAGUACUGUUAAGAUGUGUGGAUGCCGUGGAAGCCAAGAAAAUUUUGGAGGAAGUCCAUGAAGGUAUUUGUGGGACGCACGCCAAUGGUUUCACGAUGGCUAGACAGAUCAUGAGAUUUGGGUACUAUUGGCCCACCAUGGAAGGAGAUUGCCUUGAUUAUGCCAAGAAGUGCCACAAAUGCCAAAUUUAUGGAGACAAAAUACAUGCGCCUCCUUCACCUUUUCACGUCAUGGCCUCUCCUUGGUCUUUUUCCAUGUGGGGUAUGGAUGUUAUUGGGCCGAUAUCACCAAAGGCCUCUAAUGGGCAUCGCUUCAUCUUCGUGGUUAUUGAUUAUUUUACCAAGUGGGUGGAAGCUGCUUCAUACGCAAACGUCACGAAAUCAACAGUCAGCAAAUUCUUAAAAAAGGAGAUCAUUUCUCGAUAUGGAAUGCCUGAGAAAAUCAUAUCCGACAAUACGUUGAAUUUGAACAAUAGCACAAUAGCUGAGGUUUGCAGCCAAUUUAAAAUCAAACAUCAUAAUUCAUCGCCGUAUCGUCCAAAAAUGAAUGGUACAGUUGAGGCGGCCAAUAAGAACAUUAAAAGGAUUGUGAGGAAAAUGACUGAAACUUACAAAGAUUGGCAUGAGAAGUUAUCAUUUGCUCUCCUUGCCUAUCGAACAUCUGUUAGAACUUCUACAGGGGCAACACCUGUUUCUCUAGUCUAUGGAAUGGAUUCAGUAUUACCCAUUGAAGUUGAGAUCCCUUCUCUACAGGUGUUAUCUGAACUACGGUUGGACGAGGCUGAAUGGGUCCAAUCUCAGUACGAUCAGUUGAACCUAAUAGAAGAAAAGAGGUUAAGAGCUAUUCACCAUGGGCGAAUGUACCAGAAACGAAUGAUGCGAGCCUAUAAUAAAAAGGUCCGCCUCAGAGAAUUUCGUGAAAGGGACUUGGUGCUAAAAAAGAUUCUUCCUAUGCAAAAGGAUUUGAGAGGAAAAUGGAUGCCAAAUUGGGAGGGUCCUUAUGUUGUAAAGAAGGCCUUUUCUGGUGGAGCUCUGAUUCUAAGUGAGAUGGAUGGUAAAAAUAUGCCAAACUCUGUAAACGCAGAUUCCAUCAAGAAAUACUUCACUUGAGGGAAAAUGAACCAAAAUGAAAACUCGCAAAGGGCGCUUUGCUUCCCUAAAAAAACUUUGGAGAGGCUAAGAGGAAAACCCGUAAAGGGCAUCUUAGACCAAAGGGGGCUUGAGUCGAAAACCCAAAAAAAGACGGCUCAAGUAUUGAUCAAAUUAGGGCAUGAGAUGAUUUGAGCGGGCCGAAUUUUAAUUGGGGCAUAUGAUGAUCUUGCUUUACUUGAACCAACAAGAAAGGGUACGUGACAUCUUGAAGCAUUGACCGAGUACUGCGGAUCUCCUAAACACAUAUCAAAAUCAGAAAGGCCUUCAGGAAGUUUGAACAAAGAAAUUCAAGCUGCGAUAACUGGGGCACUUAGUUCUUAUUAUUGAUUGUGUUAUCCUUGAAAAUACCUUUUAUUCUUGUUAAGAUACACAUUCUUAAUCAACUUUUUGUUAUUCUUCUUCCGCUAUCUUUGAUAUUUUUCUUUCGAGUUAUGAUCGGAGCCAGCUUUGUUCUUAUUCAUUGUUGUGACCUUUUUGCAAACAUGUUCCAUUGGAGUAAUGAUUAAUGGAUUAAUAAAACUUUCACAAAAGAAGUUUUGCAUAUUACUCUGAAAAGUUCUAAAUAAUAUAGGAACCUGAAACAGGACUAUUGUUUAGAACAUACCAAGUUUAAAGGUUGGAAAUUUGAGAAGGAAUAGUUUAAAUUUAGACUUUCUCUUUGGAUUUUUGUUGUCAAAAGCAUUGAUUGAACAAAAUGACAAAGAUGUCAUAUUAACGAUAAGGUUUCAAUAAAAGAGCAGGCAAUGAUCAUCAGGCAAUAGGAAGAGGUUGCCUCGGAGAGUAGAGCCUUCAUUUGCACAUGAGUCUUUGGUACGACACCUUGGGAAUGGUGUAAGGAACCAGAACGAUUCAGAUCUUGUACCCUUGAAUUGUGAUAGGAAAGGAUUGAGAACAGCCACAUAUUUAUUGGAUUACAAUGGGGGGUAACUUAGCUAAAUGUUUCUUUAGAAAAGUUAAUCAAACAAGAAAGUACUAUAACACAUCAGUCACAAAGCCUUAAUAAACUUCGAGUAACGAUAACCUAAGCGAGAUCAUUCAUGAAAAAUAAAAUUCUGCAUCCAUGCAAACACCAUUCACACAUGUCUAGUUAGGAGCAUUUGAUUCAUUUUGAUCAUGCCAUCUUAAUCAUUAGGCAUAAUUAGGUUCAUUAUACAGGUCUUAUUUCCCUGAGAUUAUGGUGGAACAGACCGAAGAAUUUCAAAUCUUAUCUCCCUGAGAUUACAGCGGAGCAGAUUGAAGCUAGUAAUCCUAUCUCCUUGAGAUUACAGUGGAGUGGAUUAAAAUAAAGGAUCUUAUCUCUCUGAAGUUACAGUAGAGUAGAUCGUAUCAGGUCCUAUCUCCCUGAGAUUACAGCGGAGCAGAUUGAAGCUAGUAAUCCUAUCUUCCUGAGAUUACAGUGGAGCGGAUUAAAAUAAAGGAUCUUAUCUCUCUGAAGUUACAGUAGAGUAGAUCAUAUCAGGUCUUAUCUCCCUGAGAUUACAGCGGAGCAGAUUGAAGCUAGUAAUCCUAUUUCCCUGAGAUUACAGUGGAACAGAUUAAAAUAAAGGAUCUUAUCUCUCUGAAGUUACAGUAGAGUAGAUCGUAUCAGGUCUUAUCUCCCUGAGAUUACAGCGGAGCAGAUUGAAGCUAGUAAUCCUAUCUCCCUGAGAAUACAGUAGAGCAGAUUAAAAUAAAGGAUCUUAUCUGUCUGAAGUUACAGUACAGUAGAUCGUAUCAAGUCUUAUCUCUCUGAGAUUACAGCGGAGCAGAUUGAAGCUAGUAAUCCUAUCUCCCUGAGAUUACAGUGGAGCGGAUUAAAAUAAAGGAUCUUAUCUCUCUGAAGUUACAGUAGAGUAGAUCGUAUCAGGUCUUAUUUCCCUGAGAUUACAGCGGAGCAGAUUGAAGCUAGUAAUCCUAUUUCCCUGAGAUUACAGUGGAACAGAUUAAAAUAAAGGAUCUUAUCUCUCUGAAGUUACAGUAGAGUAGAUCGUAUCAGGUCUUAUCUCCCUGAGAUUACAGCGGAGCAGAUUGAAGCUAGUAAUCCUAUCUCCCUGAGAUUACAGUAGAGCAGAUUAAAAUAAAGGAUCUUAUCUCUCUGAAUUUACAGUAGAGUAGAUCGUAUCAAGUCUUAUCUCUCUGAGAUUACAGCAGAGCAGAUUGAAGCUAGUAAUCCUAUCUCCCUGAGAUUACAGUGGAGCGGAUUAAAAUAAAGGAUCUUAUCUCUCUGAAGUUACAGUAGAGUAGAUCGCAUCAGGUCUUAUCUCCCUGAGAUUACAGUGGAACAGACCGAGGAAUUUCAGAUUUUAUCUCCCUAACGUUGCAGUGGAGCAGACUAAAACCAUAAACUUCGUCCCCCUGAAGUUGCUACGAAGAAGAUCGAAGCUACAAGUCAGAUCUUUCUGAAGUGCAGUGGAGUAGAUCGACGCAACAAGACAUAGUGGAUUGAAAUAAACCUAUUUGAAGAAGGGAAGCGUCAAAAGAAGUCGAAAUCCGGCGAAACCAGGCAAAAUUGGUCUUUCUUGGUCUUUGCUCUGUUCUCGUUACACAACAACGAGCAAAGAGGGGCAGCUGUUACAGACCCAUUUUGCCCCAAGGCCCAUUACAAAGUAAAAACCCAAAGCCCACCUAAACCUAACCCAGACCCGAGACCCACUUAUCCCAGGCCUGAUUUCAAAAAAGCCCCUUGACUUUUGGCCUCCUGCCAUCGCCGCCACCGCCACUAAACGUCCCAUCCGCGUCCAUCACCACCACCCAUCCACUUGCGCCGUCACCUGCAAAGAAGAGAAACAAACAAAGGAAAAGAUAACACAAACAGUGGCAAAGAUCGGCUAUAAAAGCCAACAAAAUGUAACCUUUCUUUUCUUCGGGUACUCUUUGUAACAAAAGAGAGAUUAGCAAAAAGAAAUAAAAUACAAACUAAGUUUUAAGGUGAUUUCGAGUACUCUUCUUCGUUUUUCAUUUUAUUUCUUAUCUUUUUUUUGUUUAUUUAUAUAUGUAAAAUAAAGAAAAGUAAAAGGAAAAAAAAACUCACCUGAUUCGUUUUUCGGUUGCGUCGCCGUUGGGAUCUACCCAUCGUUGAAAUCGGCCUCGAAAGGCUGAGUUAAGGGGUCUCUCCUUUGGAUCUUUCGGCUAAAUGAGUCUAGCCUUCAAUUAGGCCUAGGAUCGGGGACUAAAUAGCCCUUUUGCGCAACGCCGACCACCACGCAUGGUGGCGCUACGGCGGCGCUGUGUGGGCUCAAAGUUCGGGCGUUUGAGAGGGGGAGGAGAAAGGUUUUCUUUUUUUUGUUUUGUUUUUUUAAAAGAAAAGAAGUGAGAUGGUGAAUAUUUUUUGAAAGAGUUUGGGUUUAAAUAACCCCCUAAAACGGCGCCGUUUGGGCUUAGGGUUCAGAGACCAAAAACGGCGUCGUUUUGGUCUCUGACCCGCGCGGUGACCCGACCCGAGGGAAGGAUCCGCGUGUUUUUGACUCUUGGGUUAUUUGCGCAAUUAGUCCCUUUGAUUCUGUAGCGAUUUCAUGGAAGUUUUUCGCAUAUUUGCAAUUUGGCCACAAAAUUUUAUUUUUGUCUCAAUUCGGUCCAUUACUGCGCAGCGUUUUGGGGCUUUGGUUUAUUUACGCUGUUAGUCCCCCUCUUUCAGCACGCGUUACGAUUUAGUCCUUCUUGUCCUUUUUUAUUUUUUAUUUUGCCCCGUAUUUUCGCUUUUAUUUCGAUUUAGUCCAUAUUUUAGCAAUUUUAUUAUUUAGUUAUUAUUAUUAUUAUUAUCUUAACUAUUAUUAUUAUUAUAUUUAUUAACAUUAUUGUUAUUAUUAUGCCCUUUUUUUUAUAUUCACUUAUGAAACUUUUAGAUAUAUUUGUUUUAAUAUAUUAUUAUCAUGAUUGUUUUUAUAUACAUAUACGUAUAUAUAUAUUUUUCUCACUUAUUUAAUAUAUAAAUACUCAAUUUUAUAUACAUACCUAUAUAUAUAUAUAUAUGUUUUUAUAUAUUAAAAUAUGUAUAUUAUUUAUAUAUUUUAUUUUAUUUUGUUAUAUUUUAUAAUCCAUAUAUGUAUAUAUUUUCAUCUACAUACAUAUGUUCUUAUGUUUUGUAAUAUUUAUGUAUUCCUUUCUUAAUAUAUAUAUGUACAUAUUUUAACCUUUGUAAACACAUAUACAUAUACACGCAUAUUUUAAUUUAUGUCCAUAUAUAUCUCUUUACAUUUAAUUGUAUUUACUACUUAUUUAUUUCAUUUUCUUUAUUAUUUUGAAUGAAUGUUUUAAUUUAUUUGUUUAUAUACAUUGUUAUUUUAUACGAUUGUAGGUAUGACUUUUAUUUAUUUUAUAUUGUUGCUAUUACUCGUAUCAUUUUUAUACUUUUGUGUGUGUAUUAUGAUUUUACCACGCAUAACAACAAUGUAAUUUGCUUUCACAUUUUACUACGAUUUUCGUGUUUUAUUUUACUUGAUAUAACAAAAAUUAGUUUUAAAAAAAUAAUAAAAUAAAAUUUCAUGUUUAGAUUCGAGAGGAUCGUACCCUAACUUACUAGGUUUCGAUUUUCAUAAUAAAUUUAAAUAUACGAAUCUUUUCAAACUCAAGUUUUUAAACGAUCUUGGGAAUUAAGAAAAGAUCGUGUCCUAACAUACUGGGCAUGAUUCAUUUUUUUAAACCCGAGAUAAUAAAAUAUCUUUUAAAUGAGUAAAUUUUCAGCAUUCGUUCGUGUAUCGGGAAUUUGAGAUAUUGUGUCCUAACUUACUGGAUGUGAUUCUCUUUCUCGAUUAACGUGAAAUAUGCCCAUUUUCCCAAAAUUUUUAACAUUUUAAUACAAGGAUCGUAUUUUUAAUUAGGUACCAAUUUCUGGGCAUUACGAGGGUGCUAAUCCUUCCUCGUACGUAACCGACUGCCGAACCUGAUUUCUGAAUUUCGUGGACCAAAAUCGUUGUUUUAAUAAAAUCAAAUCGUUUAUUAAAACCACUUUUCGAGGUGAUCCAAUCGCACCUCAUAAAAAAGGGAUUGGUGGCGACUCCCCUUUCAUUUUUUUGAAACCCAAGUCGACCCCGUUUUUCAUCAAAAAAAUGGUGUCAACAAAUAUUAAAAUAUUUUUCUGACUCAGAUUUGUAGUCCCAAAACCACUGUCCGACUAGGGUCUAAACCGGGCUGUUACAAAAUUAAUUUUAAAAUCAGUUAAAAUGGAUUAAGGUAAUUAAUUAUUGAGUAAUGAAAUACAUAAUCAAAUCAAUUGAUUUUGCUAGAAACUAAAAGAAAAAGGGAUAAGCUAAAAACUGAUUGCCCUUUAUUAAAAUUAACGAAUCCGCCUUUUACAUAUUAGAUAAUAUGAACAUCGCAUAUAUAAUAAGAAAAAUUACGUACGAUUAUUUAUUAUCAUAAAAGGUUAGUUUAAAUUUAAAGUAAUCUAAUAUGUUUAUUGAACUUCAACUAUUAAAUAAAGUAUAAGCAAAAUAUGUGUAAAUAUUCUAGAAACCAUUUCUAACUAAUGAUAGGCUAAUUUGGAAUUAAGAUUAAUAUAUAAAAACUAGAUAGUAGGGUUAUAGUCCUCAAACUACACCUAAUUUAAUAACAUUUAUAUUUUUUUUAGCCUUAAACAUUUAUAGUUUUUGUUAAUUUGGUCCUUACUCUUUAAAAGUACAUAAAAUUGCAAAAAUAUUUUAAAAAUUGCAAGAAAACAACUCCAAUGACACUAUUGAAGCCGACUCUGAAGCAGAUGUUCAUCAAGAUUGAAGAUUCCAGUUGAUUUCUUAAGAGAUUAUCAUGAGUUUAUUUAUUUCUUUGGGUUAUACUACCCUUUGGAUGUUUUUAUUUUUAAGCAUAAACUAAUUUUCAAAAUAUUUAAGAGAGAUGAACCCUAUGAUAGAUUGUGACACCCUAAACCUGACCGAGAUAGAUUGGACCGAAUUCGAAGCAUUACAUUAGCCACAUAAGUGCCUCUCCAGCUAACGACCACCCAAGACACACCCCGACCUUAUAACACCUCAAUCUUAUCUAAUUAUUAGUUAUUUAUUAAUGCAGAAGUAAAUUAUAAGCCAAUUUUAAACUUUUCCUAGAUAAUUUAACCUAAGGGCAAUUUUGUCAUUUUAUCACCUACUGUAAAACUAACCUUUUUAGAUCUAAGUGAUUACCAACCUUCUUUUAGUCAAAUUAUGCAAGCCUAAAAUUUUGAGCUUAAUUUGAGUUCGUUUACUAUGUCUAAUUCAAGUUUUAUUAUUAAGGACUGAAUUGUAACUCAAACAAAUUAGAAUACUAAUUUAAAGAGACAAAAAUUCAAAACCCCAAAACCCACACGGGCAUGUGGGUAAGUGACAGGGGUGUGUGGAGACUGGAGCUAUCACACACAGGCUUGUGGGAUUGAAAAAUAUGAAAUAAAUUAAUCCACUCAAUUUUCCAACAACCAUGCUAUACUACCAAACCAAAAAACACUUGAAGAUUUGAAUAGGGGCGAAUCUAAAAAAAGAAGAAGAAGAAGAAUUAGAAUUAAAUUAUAAAUUUUUGAGAAGUUAAAAUAUAAUUUUAUCAUGUAUUAAUUUAUUAUUUUUUAAAGGGUCUCAAUAGAAUUUUUUUUUCCAUUUUGGUUGGGCCAAUACCCCUGCCUGCCUCUUUAAAUUUGCUCCAACCCUAUACCCAAUAUUUGAUUUGGAUUAACAACAAUAUAUAGGUUAGUAUUUGUGGGAGUUUGACGAAUCUUAGAUGUUUAAAUUAUAAAUUUUUGAAAGAUUAAAAUAAAUUUGUAUUUUUUAUUAACAAAAGAAAAAAGAAAAAAAAACAUGUGUAGACAAGUCAAGAGACCUUUGGGAUCAUACGGGUGAUUUUGAUGAAGUUAAUGGUUAUUUUGGUGGAGAGGGUGAAAAGGAAACAAAUGAUUCAUUAUAUAUAAUAUAAUUAUGAAAUUCAAGCCAUAUAUUGUAUGUUUCAUACAUAAAAAUUUCAUGGGACGUCCAAAGGUUAACAUAUCAAUUGAUUUAUGAGUUUACACUUUUUUUAUAAUGUUGUACUUUUGGUUUUUGUGCAAUAUGAUACAUAUAUUUGGUAAAAAGUUAUAUAUUUUGAUACUUAAAGGUAACAUUGUUAAUUUUUUAGUGUUUUAUCUGAAUUUUAGAGUUUAUUUAAUGAACAUUAAUUGUUAAUAUUGUUUUGUUUAUUUUUUUAUGAUUUUGUUAAUAAAAUAAAUUUCAUGUUAAUCUUGUUAUCUUUCUUAUUUUAGAAUUGAUUACAUGAAAGUUAAUUGCUAAUAUUAUUAGUUAACUAUUAGUUUUCUUCAAAUCAAAUUAAAACCCGAAAGGUCCCUCUUUUUUUAUAUUAGUUUUAGUUAUCCAUUAAAUUUGUUUCUUUGUAAUAAAAUUAAAUUAUAGAAAUAACAUUAAAAUUUUCAAUAAAAAUAAUUCACAAUAAUUAUACAGAAUUUAAUUUUCUUUCAAAUGCUACAGUUAAUAAGGAAAGUGAAUAUAGUACAUAUCAAUAAAACUUUUAAAAAAGAAAUAUUGUUUAAUUAGUUAAUUUAAAAAUUAGCGUCUAAAAACUGUCAGAAUGAAAUAUUAGAUUUUAUAAGAUUUCAUUAUUCUAAAAAAUAAAAUAUGACAAUGCUUAAAAAUUUUAUUAAAAAAGUUUUAAAUUUUAUAUAAAAUUUAAAAAAAUAUAAAAUAGUACUAAAAAUUUUUAUAAGCAAAUUUAAAUAUUAAUUAGUAAAUUAUUUUUGUAAUAUUUAUAUGUAUUUUCAUUUUUAUAAAUACUAUUAAAACUUAUUUAAAAAAAUUGAAUGCUAUUAUAUGAAAGUUAAAAUGAUCUAAAAACAUUUUUUAAAAUUUUAAAUACUUUAUAAAAUAUUUAAAAUAUUUUAAAUUAUAUCAUAUAUAUUCUACAUAUAUUAAGAUUCUGAAUCAUUAAUUAUAUAUCUACAUAUUAUAAUAAAUUCAUCUUUCAAAAUUUUCCUAAACUAUAUUCAUAAUAUUAUAAAUAUAUUAUAUCAUAAAUAUUCUUUCAAAUGUUUUUAAUGUUUAUUAAUAAGUUAAUUUAUAAAAUAUUCUUUCAGUAAAUUAACGUGAUGAGAUCGUUAGUUGCUUGGAUUUGGUGAUGGGGACGAGGAGAAAAGGGAUGGAAGUGAAGAGAAAUGUUGGGAAAUUGAAAGGGUUAGCGAGGGAGGCCUCCAUGAAAGGUGGUUCUAUGGAUAUGAACCUUCAAGCUUUUGUGGAUGAUGUUGCUCAAGGUUGUUGCAAGUAAAUUUAAAAAUGUUUUUUUAAUUAUUUUUUGUUAAAAAAUAUUUUUUCUAUGUGAUAACUUCUGAUGAUUUUUGUCUGUAACAUUAGACAGGUUAAUAGUUAAAUCGUUCAAACUGACAGAUUUCGCUAAAGGGAGAGGUCAAUUGAUUUUUUUUGGAAUCAUUGAGAACUCAAUUGGUGCACUUUUUUCAUAAAGACUAAAUUAAUUUUUUAAUUUGUUAUCGCUGAGGGCUACAGUAAUAAAAAAUUUUGAGGCAAAAAUGGAAUAACGUCCCAAAAAUCUAAUACUUAAUUUGUAAAAUUUUAUCAUUAAUAAAUAUUUGCCUUAGUGGUUAAGUAUUCAAGACGUGUCUAUAAUAUCUUGUAUUCAAGUCCUUAUGUGAAUGGAUUGUUAUUAUUUUUUUUGCGCGGGUCGGGUAGGAGGUUGAGUUUGAGUCCAGUUCGAACUCUGGAAAAAGGUGGUUAGUUAUCUGAGAUGGGGUUAGUGCUUAGUAGAUUUGGAUUUGGUUUAUUUUAAAAUUUAUUAAUUAAUUUGUUAAAAAAUUAAAUAGUUUUUUCCUAAUUUUUGGCUCACCAUUCUUUCUUUUGUUUUUCUUUAUGCUUUCUUUUUCUUUUCUUUUUCUGUUACCUUUCAAAUCACGUCGAUUUGUUCCUAUUUUGCUUUUGAGUUUUUCUUUUCUUUCCUUUACGCUCCUCUACGAUCGUGUCUUAAUUCCUUCAUUAUUUUCUCUUUGUUGGCGUUGCUCGUUCGAGAGUGGAUUAGUUUCCGUUUUGAUGUGUUUUUACGUGGUUAAUAAAAGAAAUGUGUUAAUUUUUGGAUUAUGGAGUUGAUCGUUUUUAAUCAAUUCUCCAGUAAGUUGACUCGUUUGCUGUUGUAAUGUGCUAGGGUAAGAGAUUAAUUCUGAUUUGGGCCUGUGUGGUUGUGUAGAUUUUCCAUGUGAAUUCGUUUGGUAUUUUUAGGUUAAAUCAUUCUUUAAAUCGUAUUGCUACCAUCGCUAAUGUGAUGUUUUAAUUUAUGCAUUUAGGAUCUGGUAGUCUUGUAGGUGUUUUCGCAUAAACAAUUCGAACCAUGUGUAACGAAAAACUCGACAAUAACGAGCGACGAAAGCUAAAAAAUUGCACUGUCGAUGCCACACGGUCAUGUGACAAGCCAUGUGCUAGACCGUGUGCAACACACGAUCUGGGCUAGUUGAGCCGUGUGGAACAAGAAACUAAGAAAAUCCAAUCUAACAAAGAAAAUAACUUGAUGUCCAAAAGCUACCAUGAACCGUAAUUCAUGGGAAGGCUUGUUGCUCAUUUUAUUGGUUUCCAUUUUGACUUUUGCAAAAGAAGUUUGAAUUUUGAAGAGAGCCUAGUACGUGAGAGCAAAAGAAAGAAUUCUAUAAAGAUUUUGAAUUUUGAAUUUUGAAUUUUGAAGCAAAUUUUCAUUAAGAUUGAAGAUUUGUAAUUGAUUUCUUAGGAGAUUAUCACGAGUUCCUUAAUUUUUUCAGUUAUAUUGCCCUUUGGAUGUUUUUAUUUUUAAUCAUGAACUAAUUUUCUAAAUACGUAAGAGAGAUGAACCCUAUGAUAGAUUGUGACACCCCAAAGCCGACCGGGAUAGACCGGCCCAAAUUCGAAGCAUUACAUUAGCAACCUAAGUGACUCACUAGCUAACGACCACCCAAAACACACCCCGACCUUAUAACACCUCAAUCUUAUUUAAUUAUUAGUUAUUUUAGAGAUUCUUAGCUUUGACAACUUCUCUCCACCACUUCUCUUACGCUCCUUCCAGGAUCUUGCUUUUUGUCUGUUGAAAACUCAAAUGAACAAAAUAAAGUGAAUUUAUGAGUUUUGUUUUCUUUUAAAAAUAUUUUUAAUAUUUUUGUGGAUAUCAAGAGAUACCAAAAAUUAUUUCAUUAAGAAAUUUUAAUUCACUCGAAAAGUUAGUGUUUUAUUUCAAGGGAUCAUAAUUAAUCAUUAGAUUUCUGAAUUUUAAAUUUUGAAUUUUUUGACAAUUGCGUAAUUAAUAAGUACCAAUUUUGAGUGUUGUAGGGCUAGUACANNNNNNNNNNNNNNNNNNNNNNNNNNNNNNNNNNNNNNNNNNNNNNNNNNNNNNNNNNNNNNNNNNNNNNNNNNNNNNNNNNNNNNNNNNNNNNNNNNNNAUUUGUCCUUAUACUUUGAUCUAAAUAUUUUGAUCUAAUAAAUGUAAAAAAACCUUUUAAACAAAAUAAGGUUGAAAUAAUCUAUUUGUCUUUAUACUUUGAUAAAAUUUAAGAUUUAGUCUGUAUACCUAAAAGGUUAAAAAUUAAGUCUUCUUGUUUUUAUUUAAAAAUCUUAGUCCUAUCGUUAAUUUUUUUUUGUUAAAAUUUAUCAACUUGACAUAUUAAUUAGGUUUCCCUUAUAUGUCGUGGUAUACGACUAACACAAAAUAAACAAGUUGACAAAUUCUGACAAAAAAUAUCAAAGAUGGUAAUAAUUUAAUUAAAAUUUUUAAAUUGAAAAAGUAGGGAAUUAAAUUUAUAACUUUUAAAGUACAAAAAAUGAACUUAUUGAAAUACAAGAACUAACAACAUAUGUUAAAAUAUUACUAGUAAAUUAUAUAUCUACAACAAGAAUUGUAAAAUUCUGCACCUUUCGUUAUAAUAUGAUUUAUUAAUUUUAAAUUUUUUACAGAAUAAUAUGCUUUAAACUAUUUUUUGUAUCAUUUAUAAAAAUUAUAAUAAACUUACAAAAUGAUUUCAUCAUAUUUAAUUAUUAACGGGAAAAAAUGAUACCAUAUAUAUUUUGUAUAUAUUAAGAUUCCGAAUCAUUAAUUAUAUAUCUACACAUUAUAAUAAAUUUAUCUUUCAAAAUUUUCCUUAUAAUUAAAUCAUAAAUUACAUUUAUAAUAUUAAAAAUAUAUUAUAUCAUAAAUAUUCUUUCAAAUAUUUUUUAAUGUUUAAUAAUAAGUUAAUUUAUAAAAUAUUCUUUCAAGAAAUUAACGUGAUGAGAUCAUUAGGUGCUUGGAUUUGGUGAUGGGGGAUGAAGAGAAAAGGGAUGGAAGUGAAGAAAAAUGUUGAGAAAUGGAAAGGGUUAGCGAGGGAAGCCGCCAUGAAAGUUUAUUGGUUCUAUGGAUAUGAACCUUCAAGCUUUUGUGGAUGAUGUUACUCAAAGGUUGUUGCAAGUAAAAUUUAAAAAAAAAAAGAGGUAAAAAGAAAAAAAUAUUAGAGCUAAAUUUGUCAUUAUGACUAAAAUGUAAAACCAAAAUUUUUUAAAAAUGGAAAAUUUACAAAUUUUGUCACUUAUGUUUGCUUAAAAUUAUAGUUUUGGUCACCAAUCUUUUAAAGUAAAUAUAUGGUCACCAAUAUUAUCCAUUUGUUACUUUGUAAUAACUCACCUUAAACUUCAGUAAUUGACGAGCGCUUUCACAAACUGUGGAUGACUUGGGGAUAAGAACUUCAACAAUUCUAGAGUUAAAGUGUAAAUUUACUAUUAUAUUAUAAGUAAAUAUUGAAAUUUAUCACUAUAAUUGAUACUUGUCAUUACACUUUGAAAAUAUAAAUAAAUUUACCAUUUAACUCAUAUGUGAUAGAACUUUACAAGUAAACUUAAAAUUUUAUUUAAUUUUGUCACUAAAUUUGAUUUAUUUAAUUAAAUUUACAACUCAAUAUAGAUUUUGGUGACUUAAAAUAAAAUUAAUAAAAAAAACUAUUCUUUCAGAUAAUUUUUUAAUGUUUAAUAAUAAGUUGAUUUAUAAAAUAUACUUUCAUUGGACACAAGCAUCCAAGGCGGUGAACAAACCACUUGUCAAAUUAAUUUGGAGAUGUCUUUUUUUCUAAAUCAAGUAAAUUUAUGAGUUUUGCAUUUUUUAUAAAAAUAUUUUUAAUAUUUUUGUGGAUACCAAGAGAUUAGGGGUGAGCAAAACUCGAUUCGACUNNNNNNNNNNNNNNNNNNNNNNNNNNNNNNNNNNNNNNNNNNNNNNNNNNNNNNNNNNNNNNNNNNNNNNNNNNNNNNNNNNNNNNNNNNNNNNNNNNNNUAUUUUUUAAUUCCAAAAUACAUAGUGACAAGAAUCUGAAGAUAAUUGAAACAACUAAGCAAGCAAAGAAGCUAAUCAGUAUAUAAAAAAUUAAUAAAUAAAUUAUGAGGUGAUGAAAGUUAAUAAAAAAUUUGAUUAAGGUAGACAAAUUUUAUUACGAUGGGUGACAGCGGUUACAAGGACCCAAAAUUAUUUUUUAAAAUUUAACUCGAAUAAAUAUAUUCGAUUCGAUUCGAUUCGAAUUCCAUCUCACUCGACUCGAUUCGAGAAAACUUCAAAUAAAGGUAGGAUGAUAAAAUAAGAUUUGAAAACUCGAUUAACUCGAAAAUUUUUGAUUCGAUUCGAUUCGAUUCGAUCGAAUGCUCACCCCUACAAGAGAUACCAAAAAUUAUUUCACUAAGGAAUAAAUUAGUGUUUUAUUUUAAGAGUUCACAAUUAAACAUUAAAUUUUUUAUUUUUAAAUUUAGAAUUUCUUGACAAACGCGUAAUUAAUAAGUACUAAUUUUGGGUGUUGUAGGGUUAUUACAAUCUUGCCUACACGUAACAGAUUCUUAAACCUACUUUUUUUUUCUAGAACUCAAUGCAAACCUCAAAUUUAUCUUUUUAAAAAAAUUUUAAAAUAUCUAUAUAAAAGGUGAUUUUUUUUAUCGAUCACACUUAAGAAAUUUUAAAAAUUAUUAAUUUUUUUGAAAUUUAAAUUGAUCUAAAAACAUAUUUUUAAGUGCUUUAACCAUCUGGUGCUAAUUUCUUUAUUAUAUUAAAUGCUUGCAAUCACUCCUGAUAUAUUAUACUUGAGUUGUGACAGAGCCAAUUAUCAACGUGCCAUAAUGUUCUAUUGGUGCUGAAACUGAAGUUUUAGUUAUAUUAAUAGAGCUUGUCCUUCAACGCGUAUAAUAAGUGUUUGUUAUUUUUUUCCUUCAAAUUGUAUGAUCUCAUUCAUUAAAUGAAUUAAUGAAUUUCUUUUUAAAAAUAUAAUUCUAAAAAUUAAAUACUUUAUAAAAUAUUUAAAACUAUUUAAAAAAUUGUAAGCGAUAAAACAAUCAACAAGAUAUAUUUUUCUCUAAAAAAAUCAAUAAAAAUAUGUUUGAAAUUUUAUAUGAAAUUUAAAAUUUUUUAACAAUAAUAUAUUUUAAAAUUAUUUACACCUUUUUUUUAUAUAUUUUUCCUAACAUAUCGUUAUUUUCAACACUAUCGCAAUCCUGUUUUGGUAAUUCCCUUUCCAUACAUCCUUUUUCUACAUAGAAUUUCGAAAGAAAAUGUGAAUUAAUGCAGACUUGAGAAGACUUAGUGGUAAGUCACCCAAUGAAAGUGACCUAAACCGACUUAUGGAACAAUCAAACAAUAAUUUUGUAUCUUAUAAUAUAUUUAAUUACAUUUAUUAGUUUAUCAAUCAAAACUUAAUUAGAAUCCAUCAAUAUUUCACACAUAGCAUAAAAUUCACUUUUAAAGUAUUUGGGUUGUAUUUAUAUUAUAGGAAAUAGACUUAUUCUUGAUGCACAUGUUUUAUUAUAUUUAAAAAUUAAAAUAUAUGAUUGAUUGGGUUUUAGUUGAGUUAGUAUUAGUAUUGUUAUCACUAUAUGAAAAAGUGAGCUCGAUCAUGCUCAAAUGCGUUUUAUCCUCCAAUUCAAGAGUUGAGAAAAAAUUAUUGAUAAUUAAAUUAUACAAUAUCUAAAAAGCAUUUAUAAAUAAUAUAAGAAAAAAAAAGAAAAAAAGAAGAGAAACAUAUUCAUAUCGAUGGGCUCUUUCAUUAUUAGAAUUUUAUUCUCUCACAAGUAAAAGUAUUUAUGGAGAGGAUCAUGUAAAAUAAUGACCUGAAUAAUUUUAAACGUUUCAUCAUUACAAAAAUGAAAUAAUAGAAAAGAAAGACUACCCAUUUUAUGAAAUAUAAAUUUUAAAUGAAUUUUAAAAUCUUUUUAUAGAAAGCUAUUUUUUUAGGUGAUUCACCAAAGAAUAAAAAGAUGGGAGGUGAUUCCUCCUUUUUAAUAAAACCUUGUGCUUUUACAAACACCAAAUUAUUCCUAAGCUUUACAUUAAUAUACAUGAUUUAUUUUUUCGUUAUUAUUAUUUCUAUGAUUAUAAUAUUAUACUUAUUGGACUAUAAUCAUAACCAUGUUUAUUAUCAUUCAAUAAAAAGAAAUAAGUGUUGGAUGUAAUGGCAAGGUACAUUACAAUCUUAAUAGGAGAUUAGGGUUUUGGACAAAGGAAGAAUAUGAUUUGAAUUUUGGAGACGACAUUCUUAAAAUGAGCAACCACGGGGCCCGAUUAUGAACCAUAAAAUGAACAUGAAAAGUACCCAAAAAAACACGUCUAUUAUCCAAUUAGUAAUCCAUCCCAAGGCUUAAAUUAACAAAAUUCACCAUGCAACCGUGUAGACUAUUUUAUGUAUAUACUAUAUUUAUUCUUCAUGCAAAUGUUUAUUAUAUUUAAAAAUUAAAAUAUAUGAUUGAUUGAGUUUUAGUUGAGUUAAUAUCGAUAUUGUUGUUAGUGCAAAAGAAUGUGAGUUCAAUCAUGUUUAAACGCGUUUUAUCUUCCAAUUUAGGAGUUGGAGAGGAUUCUCAAUAGUUAAAUUAUAUAAUUUUUUGUCUAUUUAAAAUUGGUUUAUAAAUAAUAUAAAUAAAAAGAUUUAAAAUAUAUAUAUUCAUAUUGAUCGGCGUUUUCAUUAUUAGACUUUUUUCCCUACAGGUAAAAGUAUUUAUGGACAGGAUGAUGUAAAAUUAUGACCUAAAUAAUUUUAAACCUUUCAUCAUUGCAAAAAUGAAAAUAAUAGAAAUGAAAGACUAGCCAUUGUAUGAAAUUUGGCAGGCCAUGUCAAUUUCGUAGAUUUGCACUCUGAACUGUGAAAAAAAUACAAAUUUUAGGUUUUUCAAGCAUUUUAAUUCGUAUAUAUGAAAAAAAAAAAAAAAGAAGAUAGGAGAGAACCUUCCUAGAAUAUUUAAGAAAACAGCUCCAAAGACACUAUUGAAGCCGACUCUAAAGCAGAUUUUCAUCAAGAUUGAAUAUUCCCAGUUGAUUUCUUAAGAGAUUAUCAUGAGUUUCUUUAUUUCUUUCGGUUAUACUGCCCUUUGGAUGUUUUAAUUUUUAAGCAUGAACUAAUUUUCUAAAUACCUAAGAGAGAUGAACCCUAUGAUAGAUUGUGGCACCCCAAACCCGAUCAGGAUAGAGCAGCUCGAAUUCGAAGCAUUACAUUAGCCACCUAAGUGACUCUCCAGCUAGCGACCACCCAGGACACACCCCAACCUUGUAACACCUCAAUCUUGUUUAAUUAUUAGUUAUUUAUUAUUGCAGAAGUAAAUUAUGAGCCAAUUUCAAACUUUUCCUAGGUAAUUUAACCAAAGGGCAAUUUUGUCAUUUUACCACCUAUUGUAAAACUAACUUGAUUUUAGAUCUAAGUGUUUACCAACCUUCUUUUACUCAAAUUAUGCAAGCCUAAAUUUUUUAGCUUAAUUUGAGUUUGUUUACUAUGUCUAAUUCAAGUUUUAUUAUUAAUGACUAAAUUGUAACUCAAACAAAUUAGAAUAUAAUUUAAAGAGAAAAAAAUUCCAAACCCCAAAACUAACACGGGCAUGUGGGUAAGUGACACGGGCAUGUGGAGACUGGAGCUAUCACACAUGGGCGAGUGGGAUUGAAAAAUAUGAAAUAAAUUAAUCCACUUAAUUUUCCAACUACCAUGCUAUACUACCAAACCAAAUAACGCUUGAAGUUUUGAAUAGGGGCGAAUCUAAAAAAUAUUAGAAGAAUUAUAAUUAAAUUAUAAAAUUUUGAGAAGUUAUCAUGUAUUAAUUUUUUAUUUUUAAAGGGUCUUCAUAGAAUUUUUUUUCACAUUUUGGUUGGGCCAAUACCCCUGUCUGCCUCUUUAAAUUUGCUUGAACCCUAAACCCAAUAUUCGAUUUGUUGUGGAAGUUUGAUGCAUAAAAAUUUCUUUUUUAGAGGUUUAAAUUAUAAAUUUUUGAAAGAUUAAAAUAAAUUUGUCUUUUUUUUAUUAACAAAAUAUAAAAAGAAAAAAAAAACAUGUUUAGACAAGCCAAGAAACCUUUGGGAUCAUACAGGUGAUUUUGAUGAUGUCUCAUCCAUAAAAAUAAUCUCUUUAUACUGUAGGCUUGCUGAAUUUCUUUGAAAGGCCCAAAGGUAAUUUAACAUUCACAAAAUAAUCUCUAAAUACUGUAAAGACAAAUCAAAUCCACAGCAGCAUUAGAGUUGAUUAAGCUAAGCAUUGGCAAAUAUUACUUUGAUUUUGCAUGCAAUAUUGGCAAAACCCCCUCCUACAUUAGAAAAACAACAUAAUCCAUGUAACAUUGAUAGCCCAAUACAAAUUUCAUCAAGAAAAAAGUCUCUUUGUUUAUUUGUAGAACAUGAUAGUAAAGAUAUGGAGUUUCGUACGUUCUUCUUGUUGUCCUCCUUUAGUUUCCCUUGAUCAACAACCACUAGCCAAAAACACAAUUAGAUUAGAUUAUGAAUGAUACUUUCAACUAUGACAAUAUUAAAUACAAAACACUCUAAAUAACUCUAAAUAAAUGGAAAGCAGCAAAUUACCUGAUAAGGCAAGUUAGCUGAAUUAAGACCAUUGUGUUAUACUUGUCUUUGAAUUGAAAAUUUUAGAAGAAAAUAAAGAGAAAAAGUUAGAAAAUACUUGAAAACAGAUAAAACUUAUAUGUCAUUGAUUGGAUAAACUACAAUCACCUAUAAUAGACCUUGUACUUGACUUUUGUUGAGGGAGAUCGACUCCUUUAGGAGAAGUCUUUUGAGUGUUGUUUGCUAGGCAAUCGGUGCUGCCCUCAACAACUAAUGGUAGUGUCCCCAUGUCGGGAUUUAAAAUUUAUAUUGAAUUACUUUAUACUUAAAUUUAUGAGAACCACGUAUUUAGAACUUAAAUUUGUGUUUUAAAAUAACUUAUGAUAAAUAAUGAAAUGUAUAAUUUGAAACUAUUUAAUAAUAACACAUAGCACAUCUACUAUGUUAAAAUAAAAAUAGAUUAAAUUGUAAGUAAAACAUAAUUUAAACAUAUGAAUACAUCAAAUUAAGAAUAAUAAAUGAAUACAGUUAUUUAUGAAGAGAGCAUACUACGUGAGAGCAAAAGAAAAAAUAUAGUUUAUUAAUUUUUACGAAUACCGACAUAUUAUAUAUACGAUUAAAAUUCAGAAUAGAUUAAAAAUGUUGAAUUAAACAUAAAAUUAAGUNNNNNNNNNNNNNNNNNNNNNNNNNNNNNNNNNNNNNNNNNNNNNNNNNNNNNNNNNNNNNNNNNNNNNNNNNNNNNNNNNNNNNNNNNNNNNNNNNNNNNNNNNNNNNNNNNNNNNNNNNNNNNNNNNNNNNNNNNNNNNNNNNNNNNNNNNNNNNNNNNNNNNNNNNNNNNNNNNNNNNNNNNNNNNNNNNNNNNNNNNNNNNNNNNNNNNNNNNNNNNNNNNNNNNNNNNNNNNNNNNNNNNNNNNNNNNNNNNNNNNNNNNNNNNNNNNNNNNNNNNNNNNNNNNNNNNNNNNNNNNNNNNNNNNNNNNNNNNNNNNNNNNNNNNNNNNNNNNNNNNNNNNNNNNNNNNNNNNNNNNNNNNNNNNNNNNNNNNNNNNNNNNNNNNNNNNNNNNNNNNNNNNNNNNNNNNNNNNNNNNNNNNNNNNNNNNNNNNNNNNNNNNNNNNNNNNNNNNNNNNNNNNNNNNNNNNNNNNNNNNNNNNNNNNNNNNNNNNNNNNNNNNNNNNNNNNNNNNNNNNNNNNNNNNNNNNNNNNNNNNNNNNNNNNNNNNNNNNNNNNNNNNNNNNNNNNNNNNNNNNNNNNNNNNNNNNNNNNNNNNNNNNNNNNNNNNNNNNNNNNNNNNNNNNNNNNNNNNNNNNNNNNNNNNNNNNNNNNNNNNNNNNNNNNNNNNNNNNNNNNNNNNNNNNNNNNNNNNNNNNNNNNNNNNNNNNNNNNNNNNNNNNNNNNNNNNNNNNNNNNNNNNNNNNNNNNNNNNNNNNNNNNNNNNNNNNNNNNNNNNNNNNNNNNNNNNNNNNNNNNNNNNNNNNNNNNNNNNNNNNNNNNNNNNNNNNNNNNNNNNNNNNNNNNNNNNNNNNNNNNNNNNNNNNNNNNNNNNNNNNNNNNNNNNNNNNNNNNNNNNNNNNNNNNNNNNNNNNNNNNNNNNNNNNNNNNNNNNNNNNNNNNNNNNNNNNNNNNNNNNNNNNNNNNNNNNNNNNNNNNNNNNNNNNNNNNNNNNNNNNNNNNNNNNNNNNNNNNNNNNNNNNNNNNNNNNNNNNNNNNNNNNNNNNNNNNNNNNNNNNNNNNNNNNNNNNNNNNNNNNNNNNNNNNNNNNNNNNNNNNNNNNNNNNNNNNNNNNNNNNNNNNNNNNNNNNNNNNNNNNNNNNNNNNNNNNNNNNNNNNNNNNNNNNNNNNNNNNNNNNNNNNNNNNNNNNNNNNNNNNNNNNNNNNNNNNNNNNNNNNNNNNNNNNNNNNNNNNNNNNNNNNNNNNNNNNNNNNNNNNNNNNNNNNNNNNNNNNNNNNNNNNNNNNNNNNNNNNNNNNNNNNNNNNNNNNNNNNNNNNNNNNNNNNNNNNNNNNNNNNNNNNNNCCAUUCCAUCUGAAAGCUCCCUUUAUAUACAUAUCCAAAACUCCUGAACCAAGCAUAUUGCUUUCCUCAAAUCAUAGUGCUCGUGAAAGUUCAGCAUGUGAAAUUCUUCUCGGUGUCUUCAAAGACAACAAAUCAUCUUUAAUUGGUAAAGCUGUACUCCUCCUUUGGCAUCUUCUAUACAUAAUAGUUAAGACUAUUAGUACUACGACAAUACCAAUUGUUGGUAAACCAUACCUAAAAGCAUGCAAUAUAAUCAUUUGAGAGUUCUUGUGGAUGUCGUUUUUGCAAGGUGGGACUAGCAAUCUAGGUGGACCACAAAGAGCAUAAUUCUUCAUGAAUGAUGUACUAGAAAAGUUUGAAAAACAUCCUUUGCUGGGAAUUUCCCCUUCAAGUCUAUUGGAAGACACAUUAAAAUACUUUAGAUGUAAAAGCUUUUCCAAAGAUUUGGGAAUGACUCCAGAGAGACUGUUAUUGCAUAAAUCCAAGAAUUCCAAACUAGUCAACCCAUCAAAUGAUUCAGGGAUAUGACCAUGUAGUAUAUUAUUUGAUAAAUCUAAUGAAACCAAAGUUUGAAGACCCCCAAAUGAGGAUAAGAUAUCGCCCGUGAGAAGAUUCCUUGAAAAAUUUAGUUUCAGUAGACUCCUCAAAUUUCCAACAUCAAUAGCAUGUGAAUUGUGAAGAUGGUUUGAUGAUAAAUCUAUUUCUAAGAUAUCUUUAAGAUUCCACAAAGUUGAGGGUAUUGUAGAACUCAAUUUGUUGGAAUCUAAGUAAAGAUAUCCCAAAGAAGUUAAAUUACCCAAACAAGAGGGUAUGGAUCCAUGCAGCUUAUUCAACCCUAAAGACAUCUCGUAUAGUCUCUCCAAAUCACAAAGGCUUUCUAAGAUGGGCCCUCCUAAUUUAUUAGAGGAAAGAUCUAGAGCUUGGAGAUUUCGCAGUCCUCCUAUUGAUGCUGGAAUGAAUCCACUUAAUUUAUUAUGGCGAAGUUGUAAAAGCAAAAGGUUGGUUAAGUUACCUAUUUCCAUAGGAAUAAUGCCUUGAAGCUCACAAUUAGAGGCAUAAAAGUAUUGAAGGGAUUUUGAAAGGUUCCCGAUAUAAGUAGGAAGAACGCCACUCAAUGGAUUUCCUGAAACAAUUAUUCUUUUCAAAUGCUUGCAAUUCGUCAAAGAAGAAAGAAAGCUCCACUCAUGAUCAGUAGCAGAUCCUGUGAUCAAAUUAUUGUUUACGAUUCGGAACCAUUCAAGGUGUCUUAAGUUGCCAAGCGUUUUAGGGAUUGGGCCAGAGAAUAAGUUAUCUCCCAAGUCUAGUUCCUUCAGCAUGGAAGCAUUGGAGAUAGAGUUGGGAAUGUUUCCUCUAAGUUUAUUUCCCCACAAUACAAGAAUCUCAAGCUUUGGAGCAUUGGUGAUGGGUGGUAAAUUACCUGUAAAAUAGCAUCUUUUAGUAUACAUAUUCACAAAAUAUAUAAUACACUAAUAAUUUUUUAAAAUAUUGUAAAACUUGAAAUAAAAUAAAAAUAAAAGUUUGGCAUGAGAAUAUGGCAUCUAAUCAAUCUUAAAAAUGAGAUUGAGACUGAAUAAUAAUUAGUUAUGAUUUGGGAAACAAAAAUGUUAAAGCCAUUAUUUAUCUUUAUUAAAUUAUAGUGUAAAAUUUAAAGAUUAUUAUUUGCUCAAAAUUUUUGUAUUUUUCGUAUGUUUGAAAUUUAAUCUUCAUAUUUUUUUAUUUUCUGUGAUUUAGUCUCUCUACUUUUUGAAUUGAAAAUUUUAGGUUCAUCUAUUAACACUGUUAAAAAGUUUUUGUGUUAGUAUGGCAUUUUGAAAAAUAAAACAAACUUGAUAUCUAUGUUUUUAAUUAUUCCAAAUAUUGUUUUACUAUUUCAAGAUAAAUUAUUUGUGUCUAGACCAAUAUCUUAAGAACUAUUGUUGUAUGUUUAAUUAUUCUAAAGAAUUGUCGAUUGAGUGUCAGCUUGAUUGGCAUGUACAUUGUUGCUAAUGUAGGAGAAUGUGGGUUUAAGUAUGCUGAAGUGCAUUAUCCCCCUAUUUAAGAAUUGGGGAGUUUGUAAAGUACUAAAUUUUGAUAUAUUUUUUAAAAUAUUAAAAUAUUAUUAAAAUAUUUUUUAUAAAAUUGAUUGUACCUCAAUAUACAAUUUUAAUAUCAAAUUUUUAAUUUUUUUAAAAAUAUUAGCGGAUAUAUACUUUAUUUCAAGUUACACAAUUUUUUUCCAGUUUUUAACCCUCUUUUUUUAAUUUUAAUUAUCUUUUAUAAUUUCUGAUAAUUUUUUACAAUAUUUAACAAUUUCUAACUAUUUUUAAUAAUUUUAUUAUUAAUCACAAAUUUAAAAAUUAACAAAUUUUUAUUUUUAAAAAAAUUAUAUAUUUAUAAUGUAGUUAUUUUUUAUAAUUUUAUUUGAAAUUUUAAAAAAAAAUUGGUUUUUUUAGAUGAUGAUGUCAUCAUGAUGUCAUCAUAUGACACUUGGCAAUUUAUGAUUAGUUGGAUAUCUCAAUCUAUUUUUUUAACGUCCAAUAGAUUAAACCGAGAAUACCUGAUAAUGUUAGAGACUACACUAGGAAUGUUUGAUAAUAUUAGGUACUAAAGUGGGCCAAAAAAAAAAAAGAGCAAUAUGGUGUAGGGAAUAAACUAUGCAUUAAGCCAUUAAAAAUAUAUCUAUAAUAUAUAUAAAUGCAUGGAUUUUGAGAAACUUUUGAACUGAUAAUUAUAUAGUCUUUCUUGUUUACUAUAUUAUUGAAUUUGUUAUUUUAAAUAUUUUUUAUUACUUUUAAGAUUUAUAUAAGAAUUGUGGUUUUACUAAAAUAUUUGGUUAAGUAAAUUCACUUCAUAAGAAAAUUUAGCAUCCUUAUAAAUAACAAUUUUGAUUCUAUUAAAAAUAUUAUUUUAAAAAAUAUAUAAUAAUAAAUUAAUUAUUUUUUUAAGCUUAAUGAUUUUUCGAGUUUCUCGUUACACUUCUAGUUCUAUUUUAACACGAAAGCAAACACAAGAUAACCAUUACCUAAUACGAAAACCAAAUCACCAAUUGAGACAAAUUUUCUGGAACCCGAUUUACAAAAUCAAUUUUACCAAUAACAAAGUUAAUGAUGAAAUUAAGUCCAAAUCUCCAACCUUGAUUCUUACCCUCAAGAAAAAGUAGUCCAAAUAACGAUUCUAAGUCGUCGAGUAACUAAUCGCCUUGUGAACUACACCUAAAACCAAAACAAUUGAUUAACAUCGAUAAAUCACACCAACCAGAACUCAAAAUAAUCGAAGCUAACGAAGGCAAGAUUCCAUAACAGAAGAGAAGUAGGCAAUACUUACGCACGAAUCAAAUUACACUCAACAUAGCAGAGUAUCCACCACCGAUUCGGAAAGGCAUAAAGAACAACAUUCAAGAAUGAACAAAAGAUUGAGAAAAGAACAAGAGCAGGAAAAAGAAACGAAAAUUGAGGGCCUUCUCUACUAAAAUCCACGUGAAAGAAACGAAAGUAAUAAAGAAAAAAAAAAAUAGAACCAGAAAGGGGAAAGAAAAAAAUGGAGAACAUGUAAACAAAUGGGAGCAAAAAUUGGGGAUUGGAAUUAUUUUAAUCAAUUAAUUCCCCACCAUUUAAAAAAACAAUAAAAUAAAAUAAAUAUCUUAAUAACCACCCACUAAACUUAGAUAAUUACCCAGAUUCUUUUCAAGAAUUUGAAUUUAAUCUAAACUUAUCCACUUGAACAACACAAAGCAUAAAAUAUUUCACUUGCUUGCAUGGAAGCUUGAAUACAUGACCAAAGAGUACUCAAGAAUUUAACCACUAAACCAGUAAAUUUAUUCUUGUCAUAGAUUUAACGAUAAUAAUAUUUAAGCUGGAUAAACAGAGAUAGACUUAGAAACAAAAAUAAUUGAAUUUUCCCAAAGAAGUGCAACUUAAACUCAAGACCUUAAACUCACAAUUAAGAGACUUCACCACUAAAACAAACACUUUCUAAUGACAAAUUUUAACAAAUUAUGUAUACGAAAUUUGGGAUGUUACACGGAAAGUGGAGGGAUGGGAGGAAGGAGUGAACAAGUGGAAAUAAAAUAAAUUGAGUAUGAUUAAUUGGAAAGAAAGUGAGAGGAAAGAAGAUAAGAGAAAUGAUCAUUUUCCAUUCCAAUGAAUAAAAAUGAAUCAUUCCAAAUUGGAAAGAUGAGAUGAGAGAAAAUGAUAAAUAUGUGUAUGUUAGUUUAAAAGAAUGCAUUUUUGAAAUGAUUUAUUUUCUUUCCUUUCAUUUUUUCAACUCUACCAAGCAUUGAAUGGAACUGGAAUAAAAAUUGAAAGUAGAAAACUAGAAGGAUGAAAAACAUAAUUUUUUAUUUUCAUUUUUCUAUUUUUCCUACCAAACACAACUAUGAAAUUUUCUACCCGUUAAAUCUUCCAUUCUUUCAAUUUUUGUUACACUCUAGACAGCAAAACUUAAAUGUUGAAAAUUUAAUUCCAUAGCAGAUAGAUUACGAAGUGAAACUAAACGCUAAAAUGAUUAUAUUAUGAAUAUGAAAUCUCCAUUAAUUCUGAAACUGUAUUACCAAUGAAGAAGUAUUGAUUUCUAAUUGUAAAAAUGUGACGACAACAGGUUUACUUUUACAAGUAAGAAUUUUUUGAGCAUCCUUCAUAUUUUUACAAUUAAAAGCCAACUCCAUAGCCAAUUUGCUUUGACAAUGAACUGUGUAUCUUCAAGACUUCCAGCUUCAGUACAGAUUAAGUUGAGCAUUGGAUGAACUUGCCAAGGCUUCUCAGACCAUUGCACUUCUUCCACUAUAUUCAGCAUUUCUUGGAAAUAUUCAUGCAAUACUAUUGGUAACAUGGCUCUUUGACAUUAGAAAAGUAGCAAAAUUUGUGGAACUUUGAUAGCCCCAUUGACAAUAAGGAAUGAUGGGUUCCAUUCUUCUUAUUAAUCUCCCUUUUUUCCCCUUGAUUAAGCACUGGUUAUUUGAAAGCAAAACACAUAGUUGGAUUAGAUUGUAAAAUUAGCACCUAAAAACAUAAUUUUCAUUUUAGCACAGGGUGAUUUAGAUGAAACAACUCUAAUUUUUAAAACAAAUGCUGAACACACAUUAACUGAAAGGAACAAACCUGAAGAGGCAAGGAAGCUCAACCAAGACCACUGUGAUCUAUUUGUCUCAACAUUAAACAAUUAAAGAAGAUUAGAUAGAAACUUAGAGAACACUUCCAAAGAUAUAAGCUUUCUUCAAUUCAUCAAACGAUUACAUAAAUUUCUUAAAUUGCAAUCAAACAUAACAAACCUUAUACUUGACUAAAAGUAAACCAGCUUCCUCAUCAUUUAGGCUUCUCUACCAAGCAAUGUUUCAAAUGUUACAAGGCUCAGCAUGGAACCCAUGGAUAGGUUUUAGGAGGCCUCUCUGAUACAGAAACAAUAUGAAGUGCAUUAACAGAUCAACAACUCCUAUUGGUAGGAAAUUCAAACAUCCUUAGUUUAAGAAAAUUACAUUUUAAUAGAUCAAAUUCAGUAUAGAAUAUCUUUACCUUGUUCUUAGCUUGGCGCCUUUGACUUGUCAGCCAUGUUACAAUACGAUUCAAUUGCUUUAACUCACCUUCUGGGGUUCGAUACCUCAAAAACUUUUAACGCCAAUGACAAGAUAACAAAUAAUUUAACAAGUAAAUGAAAUUGAAAUGCAUACCUUAAAACUCCUUUUUGGUACAAAAGUAAAAACACAUUUUACAGAAAAGAAAGCAAGGAAAAAUCCAAAUAUAGAAGUACAACAAUGUUGAAAUCCCAAGAAAAGAUAAAAGAACAUGAAAAUUAACUAACACAAGCAACUAAGUAGACAAAUAAUCAGUCUAACACAGAAAUAACUUAAUCCCCCAAUGCUAUCAUAGAGUGAAAUUGUUGGAAGGGUCUGCUUCUGCUACUACUUCUGCUGUUGAGAGACUUGCAAAGAGAUCCUAGUACAUAAGGGCAAAUGAGUGAGCAAAGAGUUUACGUAUUAUAUAUGGAACAUGAUUCAUCGAGGAUGAAUCUUAUAUAUAUAUAUAUAUGGUUAAAAUACAAAAAUAAAAUUAAAUAUGGAGUUAAACACGUUACCAAGAGUAAGUUAAUAACCACAAGCAUACUCAUCGUUCGAUGAUGUUUAGAAACCUUUGUUUGAUCUUUUUUAGCUCAACCACAACAUCCUUCAUAUCUUUUCUUUCUUCUGGCAACUCAGCUGAACAAUCCAAAGCUAACUCCAUGAUAGAAGAAAUACAAUUUGCUUUAAUAACAAAAUUCUCAUCCUCUCUUCUUAAUAAAUCAGCAUCCACAAUGUCUAUCAUUCCUUCAGAUAAUAAUCUUUUCACCCAAUGCCUUAUGGUCAUUUCAUCACCAAAAAUUUCAUCUGUUGGCUUUUUCCUAGUGAAAGUUUCUAUGAGGACAAUUCCAUAACUAUAGAUGUCACAUUUUAUAGAAACAAUUCCCGUUGAUCCAAAUUCUGCAUUUCAAGCAUAAGUAAUCCUGAAUUAUUUCUAAUAUGUUUACCACUAUAUAUAGACAUACACGAAAAAUAAUCAUUAAUUAAAAAACUCAAAAAUUCACCUGGUGCCAUAUAACUAAUAGUUGCAAGAGUCAUGGUUUGCUUCACUACAUCACCUUCUCCCAACAAUUUCGCAAUGCCAAAAUCUCCCACAUGAGCAACCAUGUCUUCAUCUAGUAGAAUAUUGCUUGGUUUUAGGUCACAAUGAAUUAUAGGUGUUGGAUGUCCAGUGUGGAGAUAUUCUAGAGCAGCCGCAACAUCUACCAUUAUGUUGAUCCUUUGUAUGAUAUCAAGGAAACAACUGUUUGAAUGUAACCAUUUCUCAAGAUUUCCAUUAGACAUGAAAUCAAGCACCAAGGCUUUGAAGUCAACAUUGGAGCAGCAAGUAAUGACCUUGACAAGAUUACGAUGAACUAUGUUACGCAUAGCUUCACAUUCAAUGUCAAAACUCCUAAAUGCUCCUUCUAUUUGCAAAUUGAAAACUUUUGUUGCAACUUCCAUUCCAUCCGAAAGCCUCCCUUUAUAUACAUAUCCAAAACUUCCUGAACCAAGCAUAUUGUGCUCCUCAAAUCCACUAGUUGCCCGUGAAAGUUCGUCAUGUGAAAUUCUUCUUCAUGUUCCCAAACGUAGUGAAUCAUCCGUAAUUGGUAGAGUUGUACUCCUAAUUCGGAAUCUUCUAUACAUAAUAACUAAGACUAGUAGUAACAUGACAAUACAAAUUAUUGGUAAACCGAACCUUAAAUCAUGCAAUACACCCAUCUUGGAAUUUUUGCGGAUGUCAUUUUUGCAAGGUGGGACUAGCAAUCUUGGUGGACCACAAAGUGCAUAAUUCUUCAUGAAUGAUGUGCUCGGAAAGUUUGGAAAACAUCCUUUGGUAGGAAUUUCCCCUUCAAGUCUAUUGAAAGACACGUUAAAAUACUUUAGAUAUAAAAGCUUUUCCAAAGAUUUGGGAAUAACUCCAGAGAGAUCGUUAUUGCAUAAAUUUAAAAAUGUCAAACUAACCAAACCACCAAAUGAUUCGGGGAUAUGACCAUGUAGUAUAUUAUUUGAUAAAUCUAAUAAAACCAAAGUUUCAAGACCUCCAAAUGUGGACAAGAUAUCUCCUGUGAAAAGAUUCCUUGAUAAAUUUAGUUUCAGCAGACUCCUCAAAUCUCCAACAUCAAGAGCAUGUGAAUCGUUAAGGCAGAUUGAUGAUAAAUCUACUUCUAAUAUAUGUUUAAGUUUCCACAAAGUUGAGGGUAUUGCCGAACUCAAUUUGUUGGAAUUUAAAUAAAGAUAUCUCAAAGAAGUAAUAUUACCCAAACAAGAGGGUAUGGAUCCAUCCAGCUUAUUCAACCCUAAAAACAUCUCGUAUAGUCUCUCCAAACCACGAGGCUUUUUAAGAUAGGUCCUCCUAAUUUAUUUGAGGAAAGAUCUAGAAUUUUUCAUUCCUCCAAUUGAUGUCGGAAUAAAACCACUUAAUUUAUUAUGGUCAAGUUGUAAAAGUAAUAGGUUGCUUAAGUUACCUAUUUCUAUUGGAAUAUUGCCUUUAAGCUCACAAUCAAUAGCGUAAAAGUAUAUAAGGGAUGCUGAAAGGUUCCCAAUAUUAGUAGGAAGAGUGCCAUUCAAAGGAUUUUCUGAAAUAUCUACUCUUGUCAAAUUCUUGCAAUUUGUCAAAGAAGAAAGAAAGGUCCACUCAUGAUUUAUAGUAGAUCCCAUGGUCAAAUAGUUGUUUGCUAUUCGGAACCAUUCAAGGUGUCGUAAGUUACCAAACGUUUCAGGAAUUGGGCCGGAGAAGAAGUUAUCUCCCAAGUCUAGAAGCUUAAGCAUGGAAGCAUUCAAGAUAGAGUUGGGAAUGUUUCCGCGAAGUUUAUUUCGAUGCAACGAAAGAACAUUCAGCUUUGGAGCCUCGAUCAUGGGUGGCAAGGUACCUGUAAAAGUUUCAUCUUUUAGUGUGUGUAUAUAUAUAUAUAUAUAUAUAUAUAUAUUCAUUCAAUACCAAAUUCUCGAUAUAUAUAAUAAACAAAUACAGUUUUAAAAGGAAAAUUGUAAAACUUCAAAUCAAAUAAAAAUAAAAAUUUCACAUGGAAAAAUGCAAUUAAAUCAAUAUUAAAAAUGACACAUAAUAAGAAGUUCUGAAUAGUAAUUAGUCACUUAUGAUUUGUAUUAAAUAAUAAAAAUAAAUAUAACCAUUUUUAAUAAAGUGUGCAUAAAAAAUUAAAAUAAAAUUUUGAUUAAUUGAUAAAUUUAAGGUUUUACAUAUUGAUGUGAGUUCAAAUCUCACCAUAAUUUUUUUUGCUUUUUUUAAAUAAAAAGUAUUAAAUACCUUUAAAUAAUAAAAUUUAUUUUAAAUACAAAAGAAUAUUAUUAUAAUUUCUCUAAUCGAGUUUGUGCUUGGUUAACUCUUGACACUUAACCAAGCACCAACUUAAUAAGACACUUAAAUUACAAUAUAGAUAUUCACAAUCACCAAAAAAGUAAAAACUUUAUAGUUUCUAAUAACAAAUUUUAAUGAUUUAUAUAACAAGAAACUUUCUAAUUCACAUAAUUUUUUUUAUAAAUAAUAUAUUUAUAUAAUCUAAUCUAUUAUAUUUAUAUUAAUUAUAUAUCAUCAGUAAAUUUUUAUGAUCAAUUUACUGAUUAUUAAGAAGAGUAAAAAAUUAAAUUAAAAUAAUGAAUAAUUUAAUUUACAAUAAACUAUUUUUUACAUUUUGUACAUAUGCUUUAUGAUGAUAAUUAAAAAAAUGUAUUAACACUAUUUCUGAAUUAACAAAAAUAAUUAAUAUAUUUUAAUUAUAUUUAUUAUUUAUUAUUUUGAAUAAUAUUGCUUUUUUUAAUUACAUGAAAUAAAAAUAUAUUAAUUAUAUAUUAAAUAUGAUACAUAUGCUUUAAUUAUGGCUUAAAUUUUAUUAAUAUAUUUGAACUAUUAAAUAAACUAAAAUAUUUUAAUUAUGUUUAGCCAUUUGAAUAAAAAACUAAUUAAAAAAUUUAUUUAAAAAAUUAAAUGUGUAAAAUCAAGUGGAAUAUCAUAAUCUAUAUAUAUAUAAAUUUAUAAUGUGAGAAAUGAUUAUAUGAAACUGAGAUAUCAUGCCAUUUGUAUUUCUAGUAAUUUAAUGUCAUUUUAUUAUUUUCAUUUUAAAUUUCAGCAUAUCGUGUUGGAUUGAAUUUUUUUUUCAGGAGAAAAAUGUUGAAAUGACAUUAAAUUAUUGAAAAUGAAUACAAAUGACAUGGUAUCUCAAUUUCAUAUAAUCUCUUUUCAUUUCAUGUAUAUGUAAUACGUGGUUGUUUCAAUUUUUAAAAUAAAAUAUAUUUUCCACAUUGGUUUCUUUUCUUCCAAAGAUUAAGUAUUUCUAAUAUUUUUAUAUUUGUUACUUAUAUAAAAUAGAUUAGUUUAUGCAAUAAAAAAUUAAUUACUUUUUUAAAGCUUAAUGGAAAUUAAAAGUUUUAAAAUAAAUCAAUUCAAUUAAAUUUUAUUGUUUAUUAUCAAAUUAAUAAAUUUUAAUGAAGUAUAUGAUCAAAAAAGAAGAAACAAAUGAAAGUGAAAAACCUACCUUCCAAAUUGUUGUCAUAUAGAUAUAUUCCUUCGAGCAUAGUUGAAUUAAAAAUGCUUUUCGGAAUCAGCCCACUGAAUUUAAUUUCUAAUAAACUUAGCAUCUGAAGCUUGUAACAUUCACCUAUACUUGAUGGAAUAUUACCAGAUAAUUCAUUUGCAUCCAAGUAAAGCCCUUCAAGCUUGGGACAAAGGUGACACAAAGCAUUAGGCAAACUACCUGCACAAAUAGUUGAAACAUCAGGGUGUUAAACUACAUAUUUUGUUAGCAUAAGUCAAAAGAGGUUUUCUUUUCUAUUCUAGAGUAAUUUGGAGAUGUUAGAUUUUAAUAUAAUUAAGUGUAGAUUUUCUCAUCAAGUUAACUAUUUUACCUUGAAUGAAAUAAAAUGUUCUUACUUUUGUUAUCCAUUACAAAUCAAACUCUUUUAUUAAAAAAAACUUUAAAUUAAAGAAAUCAAGGAAAUUCAGUACCUUCUAAGUUAUUCAACCCCAAAUCUAAUUCUUCAAGUCUAGUCAGAUUUCCAAUACUUUUUGGAAUGAUCCCCGUAAAUUGAUUGAAGUACAAUGAGAAAUAUUUAAGGUUGUUGCAUUUGCCUAAACUUGAUGGAAUGCUACCGGAUAAUCUAUUCAAACUCAAAUGAAGCACUUCAAGCUUGGGAAGAUGUCGACACAUAUCAUUAGGCAAACUACCUGAUAGGCUAUUUCUGAAGAGACUAAUAAACUUCAGAGAAGAAAUCUUGAAGAUGGAAGAUGGAGCCUAGCCAGAUAAUUGAUUCAAUCCCAUAUUCAAGAUCUCUAGAUUGGACAUGUUAACAAGUGUUUGAGGGAUUGUGCCUGAAAUGUUAUUAUUUUCCAUUUGCAACCUUCGAACUCUGUGUAAGUUCCCAAGCCAUGAUGGAAUUUCCCCAUUAAGACGGUUGUAGCUUAAUCGAAUGAUCCUCAAACGAUGCAAUUGGCCCAAUUCUUUAGGCAGAUGGCCAUAGAAAUUGUUGCUACUCAAGUCGAGAGAAAGUAGAAAUGAAAGAUUUCCAAGGUGUGGAGAGAUAGUACCGCUAAGAUUCAUGCUUGCAAGAUUCAAAGCUAUUACUCUUUUAUGGAGGAUGCCACAUGAAACACCAAUCCAAUUACAAACAGAGGUAGAGGCCGUCCAACUGUUUGCCAAGACAUUUUGAGGACCAGCAAUGCGAUCCUUAAACUCGAGAAGCGCAAACUGAUCGGAGUUUAGAUUCCUGGCUGUCAUAGCCAAGCAAAGUACGGAACAUGGUAUGAAAAAAGCUAAAACAAGAUGAAAGCAAGUGUUGUAGUUCAUGAUUGCAAGACGGAAUAAGGCAAGAAAAUAAAAAGUAGGAAAAGGGAAGUUGAAUUGAUAAAAUAGCCCAGAGAGCAUGCUUUAAUAUGUUUCAACCCUCCCACACUUCUCCUACAUUAAAUUCAGUGGUGUUACAACAUUAAUCCAGAUUUUACAUUUUAUCGUGGAACUUUAUAAAUUUUUAUGAUGAAAAAUGUAUUUCAUAAAUUUAAGACUACGCUAAAAAUUAGAAAGGAAAGCAAAUUUUUGCAGAAAUUUCAAAAUAAAUUUUCAAAAAUACGUACUAAGAAGCAAAUUUUCAAAAUUUCUCCUAAAUUUUCUUCACAAUAGUCCACAUAAUCCAUAAAAAAAUUAAGAAAUAUAAUAUUUUUAAUUACUAUAUAUUCUUUUAUUUUUUUCACAAUAACAAAUUGGUUAAAAUAUGCUAUUAAUCCCAAUACUUUUUCAAUUUAAAAAUUCUAGUCCAAUCUAGGCCUGUUUUUGACAUUUUUGGAGCCCUAGCCGAAACUAUAAAUCAGAUCUUUUAAAAAAAUAUAAAAUGUAAUACAAUAAAAUAAAUCAAAUACUUGUAAUUUCAUUAAAAUAAUACGUUUUAUGACAUUAAGCAAAUAAUAUAUUUUUCUAACAAAAUUUUAAAUUUUUUUUCAUUCAACCUACUCCUAUGUCAUCAAUUACAAAACACAAAAAAUUAUAAAAAAAUAUGUUCUACGAGAAUUCUGAGAUGCAAAAUCAUUAAUGAUAACAUCAACAUCAAUAUUUUCCGAAAAAUCCUUCUUGGUUGAUAAUAUUGUCAGACCAUUCAACAGUUCUUGCGACAUUGACAACUUCAAGAUUCAUUUCUCUAAUAGGCUCCUUUUCGACUAAAAUGUCUCUAGUUUUGUUAUCAAGAUUAGCCCAAUUUCUAGGAUGACAAAUAUCCAAAGAAGGAAUCGUUUGUUCUUCAUCAAUGUCAAUGUCAUGAGGAAUUGCUUGUUCUUAAUUAAGAUCAAGAUUUUCAAGAUUUGAUAUAUUUGGCACAUUAUUAUGCUCAUUUGGAUCAUUAAUUUCAUCAUUCUUGUUGACAUCAUUGUGCAAACUCUCAUUUGAUUGAUCCAAAUUUACUAAAAACUACAUUUUUAAAAACGAAUUUAUCAAUAGGACCUUUCUGUGAUAUUUUUUUUAACUCUUCAGCAUGUUUUCUCUUUUUCUUUUUUUUCACUUUUAGAUAAAUGCUUUUUAGGCAACACUAUAUAUAAAAGAUAAAUCAAUUACUUAAGUAACACAAGAAAAUAAACAAUAGCACCUGAUAAAAGAUUCUAAGUUGAAUAUUUGCUUUCACAUUUGGUAAUUCCAAAACUCAAAUCGAGCGACUGUAAUUCUUUAAAGGCUUAAGGGUGCAAAAAGCCCUCAAACUUUUUCAAAAAGAGUAAUUAAGCACUUGCUUUUUUUUUUUUUACACUCAUUUGGUUACUUGAACUUUCAAAAAUACAUAAAAAAAAACCCUUAAACUGUAACACACCAAAAUUUAUAAUUUUGUUAUUGUGAAAAUUUGCCACACAAAUAUCUGUUAGCUAUAGUGGUUACUUGUUUUGGGAGUGUUUGGGAGGUCCCAAGUUCAAGCAUUUGCUUGGGAAAAUUUUGGUAUUUUGAAUGAAUUAGGCCUUACUCUUGUUCAAUGGGCUUUUAUUUGAUUGUUGGGUAAAUUACAUUAGAAUGGGUCUAUUGGUUUGGUGGUUAAAUGGUGUGUUAUUAUGGUGGAGGUAUUGUGUUCAAAUCCCUAUGCAGGCAAGGGUAUUAUUAUUAUUUGCUCAGAUUUCGGGAUAGAGUUGCGUAAUAGGUGGAUUUUGAGUAGUGGAUAUGUAGUGAGAAUUAGGGGAGAAGAUUAAGGGAUUUUAGGGGUUAUCGAGAUUUUAAUUUAUUUUUUCCAUAACCGAAUUUUGACUCUUUUUUCCAAAAAAAUUUUGCCGUCUAUUUUUCUUCCUCUCCUCUUGCCAAAAAUCUCUGAAUUUUUCCAUCUUUCUCUUCUUUUUCUUAUUCUUGAUUUUUCCCUAAUGCAUUUAUUUUCCUUCGUUUUCGCACGCGGUUAGUGCUACCUUAGUUCUGGUAAGUAUUUCUCUUCGUUUCUGUCAUGAAUCUCCUAUCGACUGAAGUGGUAAUGUUUUUUCUCUAUGAUUUGGGCGUAGGGGGCUCUACUGGUGAAUUCAGUGUUUUUGUCUUAACAAUAGUUAAACAGAGGGUUAUUGUUGGUAGUAAGUUGGGUUUCUGGUCGUUCUUGGUUGUCAAUUUGCUUGUAAAUCCGUUAAAUUGAUAUUGAGUAUCUUGAUUAUAGGAUUUGGAGUGCUCGAGGACUAUUUUAGAAUCAAACAAAACCAGGUGUGUACCAAAAAUGCAAAAAAAAGGAUUCGACAAAAAGUCAAAAUUGUUUGCUGUUUGGACAGCAACAGUAGGCUAAAUUUAUAAAAUUGUCAUAAAUUGUGGAAAUAGAAUUAGAGGAUGAACAAAAUAUGGAAUUCAAGCUUAUUUAGUAUAGUUUCUCAUAAAAGAAACAGUGUAAGUAAUGAAACUAUAAAUCAUGAGUUAUAAUAAACUUUGUGAGACAAGAUCAAAAUGAAUUCGGGUUCCCCUAUUUUGACUUUGGAAAAUCAUUAAAAAUUGGAGAAAAAUAAUUAGGGCUUAAAAUUUACAUGUUUAAAUUAUUAAUGAGUCUAUUUUCAAUAGAAAAAGAUGGAAACUUCAUCCAAAUUUUUUACAAAAAGAUAAUUAAUUUUUAGCAAAGAAUGGUCAAAGCUAGCAAACAAAAAAUAGUGGUAAGUUUGAAGAUUUUACUAUACGUAUUGGCUGAAGCAAAAAUUCUUAAAAUUUUAUGGUGGAAAGGUAUCUAAGUCUAGUUUCAAAAACAUUAAGAAAAUUUUAAUUUAAAAUUCUGUAGCUCAAGAUAUAAAUAAUUUAGUAACAGUGACUCAAGUAGACAGCUUUGAAGGAACACACAAUUAAAUAGUGAAAACAUAUAUGAAUAUUUAACUAGCACGGGUUACAUUAAAAAUGGAUCACGUGACCAAGGCCAAUUUGUGCUGAGUGGGCCACAUGGAUAUGUGAACCCAUUUUUUUGAAAAGUUUUGUAAGGUUGUACGGGUCGCCCAAGUCGACUGUGGACCUACUAUAGGGUCGGUAAGAUUUACUUAGAUCCCUAUAUAUGUGAUCUAUCUGUUUGAUUUCUAUACCGAGCAUGACUUAUGAUAUCUGAAUGUAUGUACUAUUAAUUGCAUAAUGGCAUGACAUAUUUUGUAUGUUGCAUUGCAUCGGGGUGGGUUGAUGAUAUUUGGACGAAGUGUCUAAAAGGCUAUUAAGCAUGUUAUCUGGUAGCUCAGCUGCAACAUUCUAAUUAUGUGCCGCAUUUUAGUACAACAUUGUGUGUAGGGAUGGAUGGAUUGAUUUAAUCCCCAUAUGAUGUGUAGGGUUGGACGGAGAUGGUGUGUAGAGGCUGGUGGGUGACGGAGAUGGUGUGUAGAGGCUAGUAGGUAGGAUUCUAAGUUACUGUAUCUGAUAUGGGCUAAGGCCGUAAUGUAUUUCUUAGACUGUAUCUGAACGGGCUAAAGCCCAAACUAAUUCUUUGACGGGCCUAGGCCCCAGACUGUAUCUAACUGAACUCUGUUGAUUAUUUGUAUGUAUGUUUUUCGUGGAGAUUACACACAGAGUUUGCAAAAACUCACCCUUUCUUUGUUUAAUCUAUACAGGUAAUCCCCAGACUUUACGGGUUAGUGUAGCGGAGGACUCGACGGUGCCACACGUAAGUUUCUGACUGUUUUUCGCUAAUUCCUAGAAUUUAUUACUUAUUUGGGGUUUUGAUGUAUCUUCUGGAUUAUGAAUUGGUUGGCUUUAAAUUUGAGACUUUAUGCUAUUUUUACUUUUUUUAAACUGCAACUCCACAAAACACGAUUUUUUUCUAAAAAUUAAUGAUUUUCGUAAAUAGAAGUGAUUUUUCGUAAAUUAAUUGGUUACAAAAGUUUCCGCUAAGAGACAAGUUUUAAAGCAAAUCAACUAGUUUUUUUUCGAAUUAAAUAAAAGCUAACUUACUAUAACGGUUUUUAAACUCAACAAUCUUCUCUUCAAAUUUACUGUAACAGUUUUUAAACUCAACAAUCUUCUCUUCAAAUCCCUUUCUAUGUGACAUUGCCAGAUUCGACCAUAACGUCUAGAUUGGGUUUGUGAUGUUAGAUUUAGUGGUAUGAGAGCCAGAUUAGAAAACUCAGUUGUGGGUUUGGGUUUUAAAACUUUGUUUUAAAGAAAUGAUUUUUAAAUGGUUUGAAAUAUUUUUAACUUACUAUGUGAUACACUGAGUCUCCAGUGCCGAUUCUGUAAGUGUUCUAAAAACUGUGAUAAGUUUUUGAAAAUAUGAGUAGUAUAUUCUAAAACUACUAUAAGUAGUACAUUGUACUGAGAACACUAUAGAUAGUGUAUACUGAAAAGAGUAACGAAACUGAAAACUGUAGUAAGACUGCGAUUUGUGAUAACAAACUCUAAACUUCUGAUACUAUUUUGCAUAAAAUAUAUACUAAUAGAUAUAGAAACUAUAACUAAUUCAUAAAACUGUUAGUGUUACAAAUUCUACGAUGAGCGCACGAGGUAUCCGCGGACGGGGUACUAGAGGCCGAGGUAGAGGUCGUAGAAGGGUUCGAGCUGAGUCUUCAUUGUUAGACAGCAUGCUGAAUAUGGAUACAAGUGAGAUGCCAGUUUUACCUGCUACAUAGACUGGGUCUCAUAAUCAUAUGGCUGGGGACGUCGCCUUGUCCCAGGCUAUGCUGAGGAUACUAGAGAGGGUCAGUGGGCCUAACACUGGAUCUAGAGGUCGACGGUCAGUUACGGACUUUGGUCUAAUGUGGAUGAACUAUUCAGUGGUUUCAUCGGAGUCACCCCUAACGUGGCCGAGUAUUAGAUGGAGGCCACAAAAAGAAUCAUGGAUGACCUGGACUUUACCCCUGAACAGAAAUUGAAAGAGGCUGUUUCUUUACUUUGUGAUAAAGCAUACCAAUGGCGGCUGACCGUUAAGGAGGGCACUUAGCCCGAACGACUAACUUAGGAUUUUUAUAAGUCUAAUUUUCAAAGUAAAUAUGAGGUCGAGUUUUUGAGAUUGAACCGCUAUGUGUGAGGCAUGGUGGUGAUUGAAUAUGAGCAUUGUGUCCACUUCGAGGAUGGACUUAGGGAUAGUUUGAGAGCUCUGAUAGCUCUGCAAAGGGAGUGUGACUUUUAACACUAGUAGAUAAGGCUUAGACCACAGAGGAGGUGAAGCGUGCUGAGUGUCAAAACUGGGAUAAGAAGAGAGGGAAGAAUAAGAGGAAUUCAGAGCCCUCAAAUUCUAUGAUGAGGCCUAAAAAAUGUCAGAUUUGGUGGGCCAGUUAGAGUUGGGGCACUUUUGCACCUAUUAGGAUCACGCAUUGUGGGCAUUCUGGAAGACAUCAUCCGAGCAAAUGUUGGAGGACGACUGGAGCUUAUUUAAGAUGUGGGUCUACUGAGUACUGUGUUCAAGAAGUCUGCUGAGGGCCAAUCAGGUGCAAGCUCUGGGCUCUAGUACUACACAACCACUAAGGGUAGUUCAGUAGCCACUUAGGGGCCGUGGUCAAGCUAGAGGUGGUAAUGGUAUGGGUUGUGGGUAGAGAGCAUUGGGCAGAGGUGCUGGACAGGCUAGGGAGAGACAGUCGACCCUGCUACUCAUCAUCGAGAGGAUAGAGAUGCUUCAAACAUCAUCACGGGUACGUUUCUUAUUUUUGGUGUGCUUUACACUGCAUUGAUAGAUAUAGGAUCUACACAUUCCUAUGUUGUUUGUUCUGUUUCCAAAAACCUAGGGAUUUCAGUUGAGAGUACUUCUAGUUAGGUGACUAUGUUGAACCUGCUGGGUUAAUCUGUUAGAGUUAGCAAAUAGUAUAGGGAUGUUCAUUAAGAGGUUCAAUAGAUGAAAUUUCUGGAUGAUUUGAUAGAGCUUUCAUUUGGGGAGUUCGAUAUGAUAUUGGGGAUGGACUGGUUAGUCAAGCACCAUGUCAUUUUAGAUUGUACGACUGAGAGGGUCGUAUUGAGAACUGAAGGGGGUAAUGAAGUAGUUGUGAUUGGAAAAUAUCGAAAUUACUUGGCUAAUGUGAUCUCUACAUUGGUAGUUGAGAAACUGGUUUGCAAGGGAUGUGAGAUGUAUUUGGCCUACAUAAGUGUUUUUACUUCUAAGGACUCUACUGUUAAGGACAUCAGAACUGUAAGGGAUUUUCUGGAAGUCUUUCCUGAGGAGCUACCAGGUUUACCUUUGAAUCGAGAAGUGGAGUUUGGGAUUGAGCUUUUCCUUGGUGCAACUUCAGUGUCUAUCGCUCCUUAUCGAAUGGCACCAAAGGAGCUUAUAGAGCUCAAGGCUCAAAUUCGGGAGUUAUUGGAUCGUGGGUUCAUCCACCCUACUAUGUCUCCAUGGGGGCACUGGUACUAUUUAUUAAGAAAAAGAAUAGAUCCAUGAGGAUAUGUUUAGACUACUGAUAACUAAAUAAGUUGACUAUUAAGAACAAGCAUCCACUUUUGUUGACUGAUGAUUUGUUUGACCAGUUUCGAGGGGCAUCUGUGUUCUCCAAAAUUAACUUACAUUCUGGGUAUCAUCAGUUGAGGGUUAAGGAGACUGAUGUACAUAAGACGAUAUUUAGGACUCGUUAUGGUCACUAUGAAUACCUAGAUCAGUUUGCAGUGGUGUUCAUCGAUGACAUAUUGUUUAUUCGAGGACUGAGGAUGAGUAUGAUGAGUACCUUAGGAUUAUUCUUUAGAUUUUAAGGGAAAAAUAGCUCGAUGCCAAGUUCAGCAAGUGCGAGUUUUGGUUACGUGAAGUAACAUUUUAGGGUCAUGUGGUGUCUGCUAAGGGGAUUCAAGUCGAUCCUCAAAAAAUUAAGGUUGUAUUGGAUUGGAAGCAAGCUAAGAAUGUGUUUGAGAUCCACGCUUUUUGGGGCUAGUAGGUUAUUGCCAACGGUUUGCGGAAGGAUUUCACUGAUCGCAACACCCUUGACUAAGCUAUUACGUAAAGGUGUACCUUUUGACUAGACUAAUACGUAGCAAAAGAGCUUUGAGAAGCUUAAAACUGUACUGACUGAGGCUCUUAUUUUGGUACAGCCUGAACCUGGAAAGGAGUUCACGGCUUAUAGUGAUGCAUCACAUGUCAGUUUGGGAUGUGUGUUGAUGCAGGAUGGUAAGUUGGUUGUAUAUAUGUCUCAUCAGCUUAAGGCUCACGAGAUGAACUAUUCGAUGCACGAUUUAGAGUUGGCCACUGUAGUCUUUGUAUAAGAAUCUGGAGGCAUUAUCUGUACAAUGAGAAGUGUAUUAUCUACACCGAUCAUAAAAGCCUCAAGUAUCUCUUCACUCAGAAGGAGUUAAAUCUUAGGCAGCGUAGAUGAGUUGAGCUGCUUAAGGAAUAUGAUUGUACCAUUGAGUACAAUCCCGGUAAGGCCGAUGUGGUGGCUGAUGCAUUGAGCAGUAGGGCUAUGACAGAUGUAAGAGCCUUGUUAGCUCGACUUAGCCUACUCGACGAUAGAAGUCUAUUGGUAGAACUUUAGGUUAAACAGACAUGGAUUGAACAGAUUCGAGGUAAACAGUUAGGGGACAAGUCUCUCAGGUUGCAUUUCCAUCCUGUUGAGAAUUGUGAUACUACUGAUUUUGAGAUAAACAGUGAUGGGGUACUUCGUUUCUGCGGUCAGAUUUGUGUACCAAAUGAUAAGGAUUUAAGGCAGUCGAUUCUGAAGGAGGCGUAUGGUAGUCCCUAUACUAUGCAUCCUGGCAGGAACAAGAUGUAUCAAGAUCUUUAGAAAUUAUACUAGUAGCUAGGGUUGAAGUGUGAUAUUACUAACUUCAUCGCUCGCUGUUUGACUUGUUAGCAGGUUAAGUCUGACCAUCUGUUACCUUCGGGUUUGCUACAGCCAGUUAAGAUACUGUUAUGGAAAUGGGAGCGAGUAACGAUGGACUUUGUUAGUGGGUUACCUCUAACACCCACUAAAAAGGAUUCUAUGUAGGUCAUCAUAGAUCGAUUGAUCAAGUCUGCUCACUUCAUCCCAGUAAUGACAGACAUUUCUCUUCAGAAAUUAGUUAAGCUCUAUAUAUCAGAAAUAAUAAGACUACAUGGGGUACCUGUCUCGAUUAUUUUCGAUAGGGAUCCUCGUUUCACGUUUUAAUUUUGAAAGAGGCUUCAUGAGGCUCUGGGUUCAAUAUUAGAUUUCAGUACUGCUUUCCAUCCUCAGACAGAUGGUCAGUCAGAGAGGGUGAUUCAGAUACUGGAGAACAUGUUGAGGAGUUAUGUUAUUGAUAUCUGAGGUAGUUGGGAGGAGUACUUACUGUUAGCAGAGUUUACCUACAAUAAUAGCUUCCAAUCUAGCAUCCAGAUGGUACCUUACAAGGCACUGUAUGGUCGUAAGUGCCGCACUCUUUUAUGUUAGACUGAGUUGGAGCGACGUGUUCUAGGUCCUGAGUUGGUGUCUGAGACAGAGGAUAAUGUUAGAUUGAUUUGGGAUCGUUUGAAAGCGGCUUCUGAUAGGCAAAAAUCUUAUGCGGAUUUGAAGAGGUGUGAGAUCGAGAAUCCUGUGGGGGACUUAGUUUUUCUUAAGGUCCUUCCAUGGAAAAAGGUUCUGAGGUUCAAUUGCUAGGGCAAUCUGAGCCCACAAUUUAUUGGACCUUAUCACAUUUUGAAACAUGUGGGACCUGUCACUUAUCAAUUAGAGUUACCUACGGAGUUAGACUACAUUCAUGAUGUUUUUCACGUUUUGAUGUUAAGGCAUUACCGCUCUGAUCUUGCAUGUUGUUUCUGUUGAGGAGAUUGAGGUUAGGCCAGACUUGACUUUCGAAGAUGAGCCGGUUCAGAUUCUGGAGCGUGAUGUAAAGGUCCUUCAGAAAAAGUCUAUUCCCUUAAUGAAGGUUAUUUGGCAUAAUAAUAGCACUAAGGACGCCACGUAGGAGCCUGAGGAUAUGAUGUGUCAGCAAUAUCUUCAUAUAUUUUGAUCAGGUAAAAUUUCAAGGAUGAAAUUUUCUUUUAGGAGGUAGGGUUAUAACGCCCCAAAAUUUUUAAUUUCAUUAUUGUAAAAAUAUGACACAAAUAUCUGUCAGUUUUAGUGGUUACGUGUUCUGGGAGUGUUUGGGAGGUCCCAAGUUCAAGCUUUCGCUUGGGAAAAUUUUGAAAUUUUGAAUGAAUUAGGCCUUACUCUUGUUCAGUAGGCUUUUAUUUGAUUGUUGGGUAAGUUACAUCAGAAUGGGUCUGCUGGUCUAGUGGUUAAAUGGUAUGUUAUUAUGGUGGAGGUUUUGUGUUCGAAUCACUAUGCAGGCAAGGGUAUUAUAAUUUUUUGAUCAAAUUUCAAGAUAGAUUUGUGUUAUUAUGGAGUGCUCAGGGCUGUUUUAGCAUUAAACAAAACCAAGUGUGUACCUGAAAUGCAAAAAAAAGGAUUCAGCGAAAAGUAGAAAUUGGUUGCUGUUUGGACAACAACAAUAGGCUAAAUUUGAAAAAUCUCCAUAAAUUAUGGAAAUCAAAUUAAAGGAUAAAAAAAUAUUGAAUUAAAGCUUAUUGAGUCUAGUUUCUCAUAGAAGAAACAGUGUAAGUAAUGGAAUUGUAAAUCGUGAGUUAUAAUAAACUUUGUGAGACAAGGUCAGAAUGAAUUCGAGUUCUUCUGUUUUGGAUUUGGAAAAUCAUCAAAAAUUGGAGAAAAAUAUAAAAUUUACAUGUUUAAAUUAGUAACGAGUCUAUUUUCAAUAGAAACAAAUGAAAACUUCAUCCAAAUUUUGUACUAAAAGAUAAUUAAUUUUUAGCAAAGAAUGGUCAAAGUUGUCAAAUAGCAAAACAGAGGUAAGUUUGAAGAUUUUACUGUACGUAUUGAUUGAACCAAAAAUUCUAAAAAUUUUAUGAUGGAAAGGUAUCUGAGUCUAGUUUCAAAGACAUCAAGCGGAGUUUAAUUUGGAAUUUUGUAGCUCAAGAUAGAAAUAAGUUAGUAACAGUGUCUCAAGUAGACAGCUUUGAAGGAAUACACAAGUAAAUAGUGAAAACAUAUAUGAAUAUUUAACUAGCAUAGGUUACAUUAAAAAUGGAUCAUGUGGCCAAGGCUAAUUUGGGCCGACUGGGCCAUAUAGAUAUGUGAGCCUAUUUUUUUGAAAAGUUCUAUAGGUUACACGGGUCGCCCAAGUCAACUAUGGACCUACUGUAGGGUCGGUAAGCUUUACUUAGACUCCUAUAUAUGUGACCUAUCUGUUUGAUUUCCAUACCGAGCAUGACUUAUGAUAUCUGAAUGUAUGUACUAUUAAUUGCAUAAUGGCAUGACAUAUUUUGUAUGUUGCAUUGCAUCGAGGUGGGUUGAUGAUAUUUGGAGGAAGUGUUUGAAAGGCUAUUAAGCCUGUUACUUGGCAGCUCAGCUGUAACCUUCUAAUUAUGUGCCGCAGUUCGGUACAGCAUGGUGUGUAGGGAUGGGUGAGUUGAUUUAAUCCCCACAUGAUGUGUAGGGUUGGCCGGAGAUGGUGCGUAGAGGCUGGUGGGUGAUGGAGAUGGUGUGUAGAGGCUGGUUGGUAAGAUUCUAAUUUACUGUAUCUACAUUCUGUAUCUGAUAUGGGCUAAGGCCGUAAUGUAUUUCUGAGACUGUAUCUGAACGGGCUAAGGCCCAAACUAAUUCUGUGACAUGCCCAGGCCCCAGACUGUAUCUAACUGAAUUCUGUUGAUUAUCUAUAUGUAGGUUUUUUGUGGGGAUUACACACUGAGUUUGCGAAAACUCACUCUUUCUCUGUUUAAUCUGUACAUGAACGGGUCGGUACAGCGGAGGAUUCGGCGGUGGCCACACGUAAAUUUCGGACUGUUUUCCGCUAAUGCCUAGAAUUUAUUACUUAUUUGGGGUUUUUUAUGUAUCUUCUAGACUAUGGACUGGUUGGCUUUAAAUUUGAGAUUUAUACUUUUUUAUGGUUUUUUUUAAACUGCAGCUCCAAAAAAAACACGAUUUUUUCCUAAAACUAAGGAUUUUCAUAAAUAGAAAUGAUUUUCCGUAAAUUAAUUGGUUGUAAAAGUUUCUGCUAAGAGACAAGUUUUAAAGCAAAUCAACUAGUUUUUUUCCCGAACUAAAUAAAAGCUAACUUAAUGUAACAGUUUUUAAACUCAACAAUCUUGUCUUCAAUUCCCUUUUCAUGUGACAUCGCCAGAUUCGAUCAUAAUGUCUAGACCAGGUUUGGGGUGUUACACAAACCUUUUCAAAAAAAGCAAUUAAGCCCUGCUUUUUUUUUCUACACUCAAUUGGGUUCUUGAACUUUCAAAAUGCAUCAAAAACAACCUCAAACUUUUUCAGAAAAAGCAAUUAAGCUCUUCGUUUUAUUAAAAAAUAGAAAAAAAUUAUAAAAAAAUAAAAUCAAUAAAAAUUAUACAUAUACAUAUGAUGUGGAAAAAAAAAGAUGAUGUGUGAUCUUUUAAUUGGACAGGACCGUGGAUGAUGUGAUGGAAAAGAUCUAUAAAAUAAUUUUUCCUAAUUUAAGGGUUAGAGAGGGUUACUAUAGUUAAAUUAUAUCAAUUUUUUAAAUAUUUAAAAAGGAUUUAUAAAUAAUAUAAGUAAAAGAUAAAAAAAGAAAGAAACAUAUUCAUAUUUAUCGGCUUUUUCAUUAUAAACUUUUUUUGUUCAUGUAAAAUUAGGACGUGAAUAAUUUUAAACGUUUCAUCAUUGCAAAAAUGAAAUAAUAGAAAAAAAAAAAAAAAGACUAUAUGAAUUUGCAUUUGGUUCUUUCUUUUAAUACUUGUCAUGGGUGUAGAAUUCUCUCACCAGUUUCCAACAACUUGACGUGAUUUCUCAAUCACAAUUAAUGUUUUUGAAUGAGACAAACAUUUGAAUGGGUCUUUAGGGUUAUAAUUAGUCCUUGCUUUACUUCGGGUGGAUUCUUCCAACUAGUCCAAGAAUUAUUGUACAAUCACAAUUAGUCUUUUUGAAUGAGACAAACAGUUCAAAUGUAACAUAAACGGGUCUUUAGGGUUAUACUUUAGUUAUUAAGAGCCUUUCUACAAUUUGUGAUUGAUUUGAGGGACAAGAGGUUGAGAUUGCAUUUAACAUGGACUGACUUUUCUAUAAUUAGUCCUUGCUUUACUUUGGGUGGGUUCUUUUUAAAUGAUUUCUCAAUCACAAACAAACUUUUUAAAUGAGACAAACAUUUCAAUUUUAACAUAACGGGUCUUUAGGGUUAUUCUUUCAGUUAUUGAGAAUAUUUUCCACAAUUUGUCAUUACUAUUUGUGAGUGAUUUCUGGAUCACAUUGCAUUUAAGACGGUUCUUUGGAGCUUUUCGUAUCUUUAACGUAGACUGACUUUUCUAUAAUGAGUCCUUGGUUUGCUUUGCAUGGAUUCUUCCAACUAGUGUGAUCCUUGGCAUUACUUUUCAAACACUGACGAAAUUAAUUUGAAGAUAUCUGUUUUUUUUUUUUUUUCAAUAGAGUGAAUUCACAAGUUCUAUUUUCUUUUAAUUGUUUUUUUAGUAUUUUCAUGGAUUUCAGGAGAUAUUGAAAAUUAUUUUACCAUGAAAUUUUAAGUCAUCGAAAAGUAAGUGUUUUAUUUCAAGGGAUCACAAUUAAACAUUAGAUUUUCCACUUUUAACUUUUUAAUAUUUUUAUAAUUAUAUAAUUGACGAAGUACUAAUUUUGGACAUUGUAGAGGUGUUAUAACAUUCUUUAUGCAUAACCGACUAUUAAACUCACUUUUUUCUCUAGAAUUUAACACAAAAUUCAAAUUUAUCUUUUUAAAAGAAUUUUAAAUCCCUUUACAAAAAAAAAAGAAGUGAUUUUUAAGUGAUGAAUUGUACUUAACAAAAAAAUCAAUGGUGACUCCCUUUUAAAAAAAAACCCUUUUUAAAAGAAUUUUAAAAUCUCUUUACAAAGGAAAAAAAAAAAGCUAUUUUUAAGUGAUGAAUCACACUUAACAAAAAUAUAAAUGGUGACUCCCUUUUAAUAAAACCUUCUGUUUUUUUUGGAAAGACCAAAAUUUCAUUCCCCAGCUAUUUAAUUUGUUCUAUUUUAAUAAUCUAAACUGUUAGCUAACUUUUCCACAAUUCUACAUCUCUAUUUGUGAGUGGGCACAAAAACUUGGACAUUUCUUGAUGAAAUUUAAUUCAAUUGCAUUUAGUAUCACAUGAUUUUCUUUUAUCAUUUUAAUCUAUAAACUGUUUCAAAAACAAUACCACGUCGACAUUAAAUUUGCUACUACAUAUUCAAUUUUUAGACGGGACGUUGAAAUAUUAAUUUCACUAUGAACCAAGGGAGAUAUAAAUGUUUUCAUUGGUUUGAAAGUAAGAUUCUCUCAACAAUUAAUUAUAGAUAAUUCAUAAAUGAAUAAAAUUUUAAUUAAUAUUUUAUAAAUAUAUCAAAUGUGUUAAUUAAUUAUGAUUUUAGGUACUUUUUUGUGUGAAUUAAGUGAAAUAAGCGACAUAAACAAUAAAAAAGAACUAGAUCUUCAAUGGGGAAACUUCAAAAAUUUGAAGACCUUCUCUCCUAUCUUUAACUUGUCUUGUGAUUCUAUCAACUUCUCCAUUAUGUUCCCUAGGGAUAUGUUGAAUGCCCUAAUGUCUUACUCUGGAUAAAUUUUGGUGAAUUCUCUUGAUUAGAGUAGAGUCUAACUCAUUACAGGCCUCAUUUUGAAUUGCUAUGACUAUCUCCAUGUUGUCAGUUUAAAUUAUCAUGCUGCCGUAUUUCCACUCCAAAAGAAGCGUUACUCCAUCUAAGAUGUCCCAGAAUUCAGUUUCUAUAAUAGAGCGAAAGCCCAAGUACCUGUUGUAACCUAGAAUCCAUCCUCCAUUCUGAUCUCGAAAAACACCCACGACUGCAGCAAAACCGGUUCCCUCAUGAACAAAACCAUCAGGUCUUAAGCAAACCCAAUUAAUUGUCCAAGAUCGAAGGUGGUAUUGGGAUAUGCAAAGCCUCCUUAGUUACCUUAUUAUUAGAGAAUCCAUAGUGUUUAGCCUAACUAUAUGAUACUUUGAUGAUAUCAUUUUAACACCAUGGAAUACCCAGAAAUAAAAGUAAAUUAUGAUUUUUCCAUAUCUGCUACACUGUAAGACAAAAGAAACAUUGCCAAUCAAUAUCCCCUAGAUGUAUUUGAUGAUGAUUUUUCAUAUUCGAAGCUAGCCACUCUAUUAGGUCUCGUGAGAAGAAUAGAGGUAUCUUAUCCGCAGGGACAAUGAUCUCCCAAAUAUCUCUAGCUGCAGAACAAUCUCAAGGCAUGUACCACAUCUUCAACCUUGAUAUUACAGUACCAAUACUAUCCAUACUAAUAUGCCUCCUCAUUCUUUCCAUAUUAGUUAGCUGACGUUGCUAGAUGGCAAGCCAAAUGAAGUAUUUAACCUUUUGAGGUCCCUAGAAUUUCCACGAAAGUUGCUAAACACUCUUUUUUUGGGUAACCAUGUAAGUGGGCAAUCCAUCGCCAAAUUAAAAUGAGAUGGGAUAAGCUUACAGAGAGGACAAACGUUAGGAAUCCAAGGAUCUUUCUAGCAUUUAAUACUGCAACCAUCUCCCAUUGACCAAAUUAAGUUUUCUCAAAUCAGUGGCCAAACUUUCGCCAGACUUCUCCAAAGAAAGGAACCACUACUUUGAGCCAAGGUUUCUGGUAAGCCAUUCUGGACUCUAUAUUUAUACUUCAGGACACGACCCAUAUAUCUUCCAAGUCUAAUACGAUUUUAAAGCUAAUUUUCAUCAUGAAAGCCAUGUUAUGAUCUUGUACUUGCCUUAACCUCAAACCACCAGUUAGUUAUCGCUGACUAACUGAAUCCCAACAAACCAACACCUUUUUCUACCUCUAUUAGAAGGUUCCCAUAUAAAUUGUCUUACCAAACACUCAACCUCAUCACAAAUAACUUUGGGAAUCAUCAUAGACUGCAUAAAAAAACUUAAUAUCAUUAGAAGCACUGAUUGAGCAAGUGUAGCCCCUCCAGCCAAAGAAAGUUUCCACGCAUCCAAACUAUCCAACUUGCAACAAAUCUUGUCCUCCAUGAACCUUAGGGUGCCAUUUGUAACUCGCUCAUGGAAGAUUGGUACACCUAAAUAAGUUUCCAAAUUAUUCACUUUAUGAAACCCUAAAAAGUUACUAAUCUCCCAAGCUAAAUCCUCAUCAACCCCUUUAAAGAGAAUCAUGUUGGUCUUUUUCACAUUUAUUCAAUGUCUAGAAAACUAACAAAAACUGUUCAAUACACCCUUGGGAAUGUGGGCUUGUUGAACAUUGGCUUGACCAAAAAUAAUGAGGUCAUCUGGAAAAAAAAGUGAGAAAGAGGUGGACCCAAACGGGUCAAUCUAAUCGGAACCCAAAGUUUUGAGUCAAUGUGGGCCUGAAUGCUAUGACCAAGCCACUCCAUACACAAGACAAAUAAGCACAGAGAUAGAGGUCAACCUUGACAAACCACUUUAGCCGGCUUAAAUUUUGUGUAGGAAUGCCAUUCUAAAGAAUCUGUAAGGUAGAGUUAGUAAUAGCAGACAUAAUUACAUUAAUGAGAGAAUUCGGGAUGCCUACAACCUAUAAAGAAUAAUGAAAAUCAUGAAAUAUUAAUAUAUAAUAAUAUAUUAUAAUGAUAAAAAUAGAUAAUAAAACUAAAUAUUAAUAUAUAGUAAUGAUAUGAAGACUUAAAAUCAUGAAAUAUAAUAAAAUGAUAUAUACAAAAAUAGAUAAAUGAAAGUAUAAACAAUAUAAAAAUAACAGGAAUAUUAAUAAUGGCAAUAAUAAUAAUAACCAAAAGGACUAAAUUAUAAUUUAAAGAAGCUUAAGUCUAAAUUUUAAAAUAAAAAUAGAAAUAGCAAUCUGAAGGGUCAGGAUGAAACGCGCAAAAAGAUAUAGGGACUGAUUGGGAAAUUAAUUCCUGUUUCUCUAAACGACGCCGUUCCAUUGAGGGAUUAAAAUGAAACACGCAAAUUAUAUGAGGGAAAGUAAUCUGUCUCCCCAAAACACUGUGUUUUACGCAGGAUUAAAAUGAAUAAAUUAAAACUAAACAAGGUAAAUUUAAAAGAACAAACCAACAAAAUUGCAACACUGAGAAGAUAUGGGGGCAAUUGUGAAAUAUCCCCUGUGGACCCAAAACACGCGGAUCUGGUAGUGAUCGGGUCGGGUCUCAGGUCAAUGGCCUAUACGACGUCAUUUUGAGGUCAUGAAGCAGGCCUCAAACGACGUCGUUUCACAGAAGUUAUAAAACCCCAAAAGAAAUUUUGAAUAUUUACCUGCCAUUUCAAAAUAGAAAAGUGGUAAAAACCUUGACCAUAUUCUCAAUUCUCUCCCAGAUAAUGUCUCUAAAAGUGGUGGUUUCUUUACUGCCACCGCUGGCCAAGACUCCAACAAAGCUUACGCUCUUGGGCUGUGCAGUGGAGACUUAAAUCCACACGAUUGUUAUGGCCUUGUGAAAUCCGCGGUUCCUGAUCUCAGAGAUAAAUUUCCCGAUCAGAAAGAAGUCAUUUCAUGGUCAGGUGAUCCCGCAUGUACUGUACGAUUUGCAAAUCGCCCCUUUUUUGGAAUCCUGGAGCUAGAGCCUACUACUGCUGGCACUAUCACGCACGACGUCGGCUCCAACUUACGACGAUUUGAUACGAUUUGGGAGAGUUUAACAGACGGUUUGGUGAGAAACGCUUCCAACGGCUCUUCUAGUCGUAAAUAUGCAACUGGCGAAGCAUAUUUUAUAGUAUCUCAAAACAUAGACGCACAAAUGCAGUGAACUCCAGACAUAUCACAGGAGGAAUGUGAUUCCUUCCUAUUGACACCAUUUUCUUGACGAAAAACGGGGUCGACUUGGGUUUUGGAAAAUGAAAACGAAAAUGGGAGUCGCCACCGAUCCUUUUUGAUGAGGUGUGAUCGGAUCACCUCGAAAAGUGGUUGUUUUUAAUAAACGGUUUGAUUUUAUUAAAACAACAAGUUUGGUACAUGAAAUUCAGAAAAACAAGUUCGGGAGUCGGUUACGCACGAGGAAGGAUUAGCACCCUCGAUACGCCCAAAAUUGGUACCUAGUUUAUUUGUUAAUGUCUUAAUGUCGAUCCUUGUAUUAAAACGUUGAAAAAUUUUCAGGAAAAUGGGCAUAUUUCACGUUAUUCGAGAAAGAGAAUCAUAUCCAGUAAGUUAGGGUACAAUGUCUCGAAUUCCCGAUAUGCGAAUGAAAAAUGCUUAUUUAAAAGAUAUUUAACUAUCUUGGAUUUAAAAAAGGGAUCACGACUAGUAAGUUAGGACACGAUCCUUUUUUAAUUCCCGAUAUCGUUUAAAACUUGAGUUUGAAAAGACUCGUGUAAUAAAGUUUAAAAGAAUAUUCAAUUAUUUAAAUCAAAUGAAGAAAUCGCAACCCAAUACCUUAGGGCACAAUUUCUCAAAAUAUUAAACAUUGAAUAUUGCAUUUAUUUCAAAAAAUCCUCGUUUCGAGAAAACAACGUGUCACAUCCAAUGCGUUAGGACACAACAUAUUGAAUUCUCGAUAACGAGCUUUUUAUCAUUUUUAAAAGAGUAAUCUCGAUUAUUUAAGUUCAACGAAGAAAGUCGGAACCCAAUACGUUAGGGCUCAAUUCUCUCGAAGAUCCAAAAUACCGAAUAUUACUUAUUUCUAAAAUUUCUUUUUCGAAAUCUAAAUAAAAAUGGGUGUAAUGGAAUAACGAUGAUAAUGAUGUAAGUAAAAUAAUAAUACGAGCAAUAGCAUCAAAGAUAAUAUAAAUAAAAAAGGACAAAUCAAUAGCAUCAAAAUAAAUAUAUAAGCAAAAUAAUACAAGCAAAGGCUACGAAGUAAAAUAAAUACAGAGACGAACUAAUGUAAUACACAAUCACAAGCAUAUGAGCAAUAAAGUUAAAACAUUCAUUCUAAAUAAUGAAAAUAUAAAUAAUGAAAUAAACAAAGAAAAUGUAUAAAAAUAUAAAAAAAUAAAAGAUAUAUAUAUGUGUAUAGAUAUAAAUUAAUGAAAUACGAAAAAAUAUAUGUAUUUACAUAUAGUUUUAAGUUAUGAAACAAAAUAAAAACAUAUGUGUAUAUAUAAUUUUAAGAUAUAAAAUCUAUUAAGGUAAAUAUAUAAAGCUUUUAAGUUUUAUAAUAAUAAAAAAUAUGCGUAUAUAUUUAGUAUUAAAAAAAAGAAAUAUACAUAUGCAUGGAAAUAGUUUUAAGUUACAAAAUAUAAAAAAAUAUGUAUAUGUACAUGCACGUAUAUAAAGACUAUAAAAGGUAUGCAAAAGUAUAUAUGUAUAUAUAUAUAUAUAAGCUAUUAUGUAAUAAUAAUAUGAUAAGUAACAAUAAUAUAAAUAAUAAUAAUAGAAAUAAUAAUAAUAAUAAUAAAAUUACUGAAAAAAGGGACUAGAUCGAAAUAAAAAAUACUGGGAGAAUUCGAAUUAAAUAAAAAGACUAAAAGGACUAAAUUGUGACACGCGCCGAAAGAGGGGGCCAAAAAGGAAAAAUAAGUCAAAGUCCCAAAACGCAGCACUGAAAUGGACCAAAUGAAACAAAAAUAAAAAAUUGCAGGGCUAAAUUAAAAAUAAGAGAAAAUAACGAAAAAGGAUCAAAUUGUAAUACACUGCAAAAUUAGGGGGACUGCACGCGCAAUUAAUCCAUUAGGAGAAAACACACGGAUCCUCCCCUUCGGGUCGGGUUGACGCGCGGAUCUCCCUCACUAAAACGGCGUCGUUUCAUGUUUAAUAUAAAUACUAAAAAUAAGCUUAAAAAAAGCAGUUUCAUCAUUUUUUAAAAAAGUACAGAGAGAAAACUCUCUUUUUCUCUCUCUCAAACCCCAAUUUCGGCCAUGGUUCGACCAAGGAUUCCGGCCAGCCUCCGCCAUAGCGCCACCGUGUGUGGCUGUUGGAGGUUCAAAAUCAGACCUUUUUGGUCCCUUUUUUAAGCCAAACGUCUCUAGGACGUGAACCCAAGGCCAAAUCCCCGGAAAAAGGAGCCCAAAACCUGAAGAACGAGAAGAACCGUUCAUCUCCUCUUCCUCUGGCGCGGCGCAGGUAAGGUUUUCUUCCCCUUUUUUUUGAUUUUUUUAAAGAAAUAAAGUCGAAAUAAAUACUAAUGAAACAGAAAAAUAAAAGAGAAACAGAGAAAUAAAAGUUGAAAUCACCUUAGUUUUUUUAAACUUUAAAUGAGUGUGUAAAAAAGGAGAGAACCCCCAUUUACAGUGUUCGGCUUUUGCCGAAAGAGAAAGAAGAAAAAAAAUCCAGAAAAAUCCCCCCUUUUUGUUGUUGAAGUUCGGCCCUUUUUAUCUAGCCAAAGAAAAGAAAAAUAAAAGACUAAAAAGCUACUGUCCAUUGCUUUGUUUUCUUUUCUGUUUCUAUUUCCUUUUCGUGUUUGCAGGUGGCUGAACAGUGCAGGCACCGAUGGGACGUGCGGCAGUGGCGGCAGGUCAAGUGGCCGACCCUAGGUUGUGGCGCUAGGCUAGGCUAGGGUUUCAGAAAACUGAAACCCUAGUUUGAAAUUUGGGCCUGAUUUGGAUGUUGGGCCUGGUUGGGCUUCGGGUUUGGGUUCAAUUGUAAAUAGGUUUUGGGUUUGUUUGGGUGUAUUCCGGGUUUUUGGGCCGGUGUUUAGGGGGUUGGGUUAUUUAAUUUUGGUAAUGGGCCCGGGCAAAAAUGGGCUUGUACAGCUGCCCCUCUUUGCUUAUUGUCGUGUAACGAGAACAAAGCAAAGACUAAGAAAGACCAAUUUUUGCCCGGUCCUGCUGAUUCUUGACUUGUUCAACGCCUCUCUUUUCAAGUAGCUAUAUUUCAGUCCACUAUGUCUUGUCACUUCAAUCCACUCCACUCCACUUCAGAAAGACAAGACUUGUAGCUUCAAUCCACUCUGUUGUAACUUUAGGGGGUGAGAUCUGCUGUUGUAGCUUCAAUAUUUUUAAUUGCAAUGUCAGGGAAGUAAGAUCCGCUAUUGUAGCUUCAAUCUGUUCCACUGCAAUGCUAGGAAAGUAAGAUCCGCUGUUGUAGCUUCAAUCUUUUUAAUUGCAAUGUCAGGGAAGUAAGAUCCGCUGUUGUAACUUCAAUCUGUUCCACUGCAACGCUAGGAAAGUAAGAUCCGCUGUUGUAGCUUCAAUCUUUUGAAUUGCAAUGUCAGGGAAGUAAGAUCCGCUGUUAUAGCUUCAAUCUGUUCCACUGCAACGCUAGGAAAGUAAGAUUCGCUGUUGUAGCUUCAAUCUUUUGAAUUACAAUGUCGGGAAAGUGAGAUCCGCUGUUGUAGCUUCAAUCUGUUCCACUGCAACACUAGGAAAGUAAGAUCCGCUGUUGUAGCUUCAAUCUUUUAAACUGCAAUGUCAGGGAAGUAAGAUCCGCUGUUGUAGCUUCAAUCUGUUCCACUGCAACACUAGGAAAGUAAGAUCCGCUAUUGUAGCUUCAAUCUUUUGAACUGCCAUGUCAGGGAAGUAAGAUCCGCUGUUGUAGCUUCAAUCUGUUCCACUGCAAUUCUAGGAAGGUAAGAUUCGCCGUUGUGGCCUCAAUAUUUUAAUUGCAAUGUCGGGGAAGUGAGAUUUGCCGUUGUAGCUUCAAUCUAUUCCGCUGCAUCGCCUGGGAAGUAAGAUUCAUCGUUGUGGCUUCAAUCUUUUAAAUUGCAAACUAUGGUUUCUUCGAUCUGCUUCGCUGUCAGUACAGGAAGGCAAGAUCUGCUAUCUCAUUGGUCUGUUCUCUAGGGAACAUGACCUGUAUAAUCCAUUUGAUGGACCUAUUUAUGCCUAGUGAUUAGGAUGAAAUGAUCAGAAUGAAUCAAAUGCUCCUAACUAGAUGUGUAUGAAUGACAUUUGAUUGAAUGCAAAAUGUCAUGAAAAUGAUUCCUUAAUGCUUAGGUUAUCAUCACGCAAAAGCUUAUUAAGGCUUUAUCACUGACGUGCUACAACGCCUUCUUGUUCGGCUGGCAUAUCCAAAGAAACACUUAAUCUGAUUGCCCCUUACUGUGAACGUUGAAGUUCAAUCCACUGGGACAUAAAAUUUGUACCAUCAAUCUCCCACUGUAACCCAAGGGUAGAAAUAUAUGGCUUUUCUUAAUCUUCUCCUAUCGCAAUUCAAGGAUACAAAAUGUGAAGCUCUUUGGUCCUUUACCUCAUUCCUAGGUGUCAUACCAAAUGCUCAUGCACAAUUGCAAAAUUUUCUUCUCCCAGAAAACCUUUUCUUAUCACUCGGUAAUCCUUGCUUGUUUGUUCAUUGAAGCUUUGUCACCAACACGGCAUCUUGUCAUUUUGUUCAAUGUUUGGACAACAAAAUCUAAAAGGAUAGUCUUUAACUUAGACCCUUCCUUCUUAGAUAUUUCACCCUUUAAACUUGGUGUUUUCUGAACAAUAGUCCUAUUUCAGGUUCCUAUAUUAUUUAGAAACUUCUAGAGUAAUAUGCAAAACUUCCAUUGUGAAAGUAUUAUUAGUCCAUUAAUCAUUAUUCUAAUGCAACAUGCUUGCAAAAGAUCAUAACGAUAGAUAAAAUAGAAUUGAUUUGAGAGCAUAACUCGAAAUGAAUAAAGUAUCAAGGAUAGCAAGAAUAAAAAGAGGAAUUGAUUGGAACAUGUAUCUUGAAAAAGAAUGAAGUAUUCCAAGAACAACAAAUUCAAUAAAUAGUAUGAAGGUUAGGUGCCCCAGAUAUCGCAGCUUGAACUUCUCUUUACAAACUUUCUGAAGACCUUUCUGAGUUUGACAUGUGUUUAGAAGAUCUACAGGACUUUGCCGAUGCCCCAAGACAUCGCCUUACCCUUUCAGGUAUAGCAAGAUCACCACAUGCCCUAAUCUGAUCACUUCAUGCCCCAUUCUGAUCAAUAUUUGAGCCGCCCUUCGGGUUUUCAACUCAAAUCCCCUUUGGCCUAAGGUGCCCUUUGCGGGUUUUCCCCUUAGCCUCUUCAUUUUUAUGAAUUAUAGAGCAUGCUCCACCGCAGUGAAUCAAAUUCGGUGGAGUGGAGGACUUUUUUUCACUACUUUAUGCUCUAUGCUCCAAGUUUUGUAUUCUUCUUCCGAGACCUGCAAUGGGAAAAUAAAAAAAAUAAGAAACAAGUCUGAAUUAACUUUGAAAAUUAGAAAUUUUCAACAAAAUUGAAAUAAAAUAUAAUUAAUCCACAAAAACUAUAAAAUGCAAUGAAAACGAACCUAAAUACUAAAAUUACCACCUAAAAUGCUAUAGAUACUAUAAUAACUCUAAAUAUGAUAGUUAUCAGAAGCGACCUGAAGAAGCCAAUCGUGUAGAUGAUUUCAACUAUUGCAAAUACCAUCCAUCGAUUAGGCAUCCUCUUCAGAAGAUCACCGAGUUUAAAGAAAAAAUCAUACAACUCCAUGAAGAAGAAAAAAAUCAUGUUUGAAAAAGAAGUGGCAUUAUCAAACUUGACUUCAAUGCUUUGGUUUCUCAAUACAAUAUUAUGGACAGAUUCAUCAAAUUUGGCUCUUUCAAUCCUAUUACACUAGCUCUAAGUAGAAGUAAGAUGGUGAAUUUCGAAGGGAUUGGGGGCAAUCAUCUAUUUUUGGAAUAUCAGAAUGGUCAUGAUUGGACUCUAGCCACAUGUCAAAGAAGCCAAUGAAAAGCAUCUCUCCUAGGUAUAAGCUUAUAUUGUCACAUUGCUCCUAAGCACGAACUUCAUCCAAAAUGAUGAUGCUGCUAAGCAUGACCUUAAACUGUUCAUCUAAUGCUCCUAAUAAGGAGCCUAAACUAUUCAACCCAGACGGUCAUGCUUUAAGCACAAUCUUAAACUAUUCAUAAAAACUAAAUGAUGAUCCAAUGAAGCACGAGCUUAAACUAUUCAUACGAAAUAAAUGAUGACCUCCUAAGCAUGAAUUUAAAUUGUUUAGACAUAAUAAAUGAUGAUACUCCUAAGCACGAGCUUAAAUUACAGUCCAAAAAAAUUUAAACUACGUUAUAACUUGAUCUUUUAAAAAAGAAGGUACAUAGAUAGCCUGGUUUCAUUGCCAAGUUCAGUCUAUAUGAAAAUAAUAAAAUUGAGGGUGACCUUUGAAACAAAUUCUUCAAAGUAGGAAGCAAAUAAAAUUUCAAGACUUGUCCCCUUUCUACGCCCAACAAAAUUCAGAAUUCAUCAUUUGUUAUUACUGUAAUAAUAUCUCUUACUAAAUUAAUGAAAGGAUAAAUCAAAAAAUUAAAUCCUUUUAGAACUCUCUUAGAAAGAAACCAUAUUCUUUAAGGAUUACUUUAUCUCUAAUUAAUUAAAUUAAUAAAAAAUGAAUAAUAAUAAUAGAGUUAAAUUUCUACAAGAACUCUUAUAUCAAAGUGAUUGACACUAUAAAAAUGGGUCACCUCUAAGUCAUCCUACACAUUCACAAGUUCAAGAAGUUGAAAAAUUCAUUACAAAAAUAUUUGAAGAAAUUAAAGUAGAAGAAAUUCUGAUGAACAUCAUAUCAAUUGAGAGGAGGAUGACAACAGAAGAGAAGAAUCAAAAGGAGUUUUGUUUGUAAAGAAAUUCAAAACUUGUACAGUCUUCGAAAUUAUAAAUAAAAUUUGACGUAAAAUUUUCAAGUAAAUUUUCAACUUGAAAUUUGUGUGUACAAUAUAUAUGGGAAAGAAUCCAUUUACAUUAUAUAAAACUAGUGUAUGUAUAAUACAGAAAUAUUUAGUACAUUAUCAAUAAAGUUUUUAAACUAUGCACCUGUGAUUAAAACCAAAAUAAUAAUAAUAAUAAUAAUAAUAAUAAUAACCAAUCACUUUAUUUGACUAAUUUUUCCCUACAAGUCUUUAGUAUGGAGAGAAAUCAGUUUAAUCAGUCUUUGGAGCUAUUAACUGACUUUUCCACCAUUGAUUUGAAAAUCAUAACCCAUCAAUUCGCUUUAAAUGAAACGAGAUCCACGAGUGUUUGGUGUUAUAUUUUUAAAAUGUAUUUACAUGAUUGUUUAUUAAUUUUAUUUCUUUAUAUUUAAAUCAAAUGUAAUAAAUUGUUGAAUUUAUAUACUUCUUAUUAUAACAAUAUAUGGACUAUCUUUCUACUUCUCUUUUUAAUUUAAUUUUUUGUAACUCUUCACAAUUUAUUUUGAAAAACAUUGAAAAAACUCAAUUGGAAAAAGUCUUUAAAUUAUUUUUAAAUUGUAACAAAUAUUAUUAUUAUUAAGAUGUUUUUCUUUUUAUAUUUUUUAUAAAAUAUAUUAAAAAACAAUUAGAAUAAUUUUAAGAGAAAAAAACUCAUACACGGUAGAAUUUAAUCUAACGAUAUCAAAGUUUUAAAGCCUCAACUUUAACAUUUCAACCGAAAUUCCAUUAGUAUAUAAAUAUUUUACAAAUAUAGAUUUUAUAUAAAAAUAUUUAUGUAAACUUUUUUUUUAACCCGCAUAACAAGUAUACCAUAUUUAGAGAUAUUCAUAGCUAGGCAGUCCACUUUGGUUCAAGCUUCAGCUUAGGUUUCCGAUCUCAAGUUGGCCCAAUUCAACUUACUUUACUAUUUAAAAAUAUAAAUAUAUGUCUAUAAUUAAAUUUUCUGUGAAUAUUUUCUGAUAGAAUAUUUUCUGUGAAUGAGGUUACGAUUUCAAACAUUUCAGCUCGAUGAUUGAUUAGUUAUUGCACGAUGCCUUUGAAAAAUUGUUAAUAUGCUAUUUUAUAUUGGAUGUAAAAUACUAAACGUUUUGCAACUUUUCAAUAAAACAACUAGAGAUUUUCUUUCAUUAUAUUGUAAUGAUUUUUGUUGUUGUUUUUACGUAUGUUAAUUGAUGGAUUUGAUAAUUUUUUCUAAUUUUGAUACUUCAACUAUUUUUUUACAUUAAUCCUCAAAUUUGAAUUUCAGUCACACAUUUUAAUAUUAAAAAGUGAUAAUGUGGCACUCGCACAUCGUCGCCUAAUUUAUCUCUGAAAACCCUUACCAAAAUCUUCACAUUUCAAACUUGGAAGAUUGUGCCUCGUCAUUUUCCUCCGCAACCUCUCUUUUUCUUUCUUCUUAUUUUAAAAGUUUAUAAUUUGGUAUUAUUUUGUUUUUGUUAAUGCAGUUUUCAAAAAUUAUGGAGAUGAAGCAUUUAUCUUCAGUUGGAGUCAACCCUAAUUAAACUGUACCACCGUUUUCCUUUCAAAUGUAACUCAAGAGUGUGAGUUUUUAAGUGUUUUCUAAUGUUUAGAGUGACGGAUCUCUCUGUUGUUAAGAGCAGUUUUACCACAAUCGACUCCGAUCUUAACCUUCUCUUGUUACAAAGCGUGAUUGUCAAAACAUUAGAAAACAAAGUAGCCUGUGACACGCGGUUAUUAGUUAAUUACUAAAGUCGCUGCUUGAGUUGAAGAAACGUGAAAAUAACCCAAAUUAAAAUACUAGUAUAGUCAAUCCAACGCCUUAUUUUGGAUGAAACGAAGCUCUCAAUUUUAAGAUAAACGGGUCUUUAGGGUUAUUAAUGGAGGGCCUUUUCCACAAUUGCCAUCGUUAUUUGGGGGUGAUUCGGGGAUAAUAACUCCAACAUUUCUGUAUCACAUUUAAUUCAAUUCCACAUUCAAUUUUUAAGUUUUAGAGAGAUGAUUGGGUUACAACAAUGGUUUGAAGUGAAGAUGUUUCAAGUGAAGAUGAAUACUCUACCAAUAUAUAAGUCAUAAUUUAAAAUUCAGGUUAUGUUUCAUUUCAACGAAGUUAAAUGUUAAGAUUGAAGUUAAACCUUUUAGAGGUUGCUCACAAAAGGAUCAAACCUUUAUAAAAGUGCUUAAAUGAAGGCUAAACUUUUUAAAAUAGACAAAUAAGGCCCUAACAUUUUAAAAGGUGUUCAAAUAAAGGCUUCUCAAAUGUUGUAUAUCAGCUUAUGUGUUUUACUCUAAACAUAUCAGCAUUUAUCUAUAUUUUUUCUACAAAUUGGGUUGAAGUGCAUGAAAAAUCUUUAUUUCAGCACUUCUGUAAACGUUAAACUCUUAUUUGACAAUUUUGAAAGGUUUGAUCCUUAUGUGAGCAACCUUUAAAAGAUUAAGCACUAAUUUAACAAGUUGAGAAAUACCUAAAUUUGUUUUCAUGAAUCAAGAAAUUAAAAAAACAAGCAUGUUGAGAAAUAUUUUAGAGAUUCUUAGCCUUGACAAGUUCCCUCCACCAUCUCCCUGCCUCCAGUCCCACCUCUACUCUUAUGCUCCUUCCAGGUUCUUGCUUUUUGUGUGUUGAAAAUUCAAAGGAACAAAAUAUCAACCUACAUCAUAAGGCACGAAGGAAGACCAAAGAGUCUUGAGAUCUGACAACUUUAUUUCAUUUUCAUUUUCUUUGUUAUUUUCUAUGUUUCAUGUCAAAUACAAUGAAAGAAGAAGAUAGAAAAAUGUUGCCUAUUUAUUUCCCAAUCAUCAUGUAAAAAAUAUAUAAUGUCGGUAAUGACAAUAUAUCGCAAAGAAAAAUAGAAAUAGAAAAAUAAAGAACACACAGAUUUUACGUGGAAACCCUUUCGGGAAAAAACCAUGGGCAGAGGAGAAGAAAAUUCACUAUGUCAAAAACUUAAUUACAAGAGGAGUAGACUAUGCCUAUUUAUAGGCUUGUAAACCUUAUUCUAAUAGGAGUGAAACUCCUUAUUCAAAUAAUAUCAAAUAGAUGGAGUUUAAUAAGGUUUAGAAACAUUAUUUUAAAAUAAAAUAAAAGAAGUAUAAUUCUAUAGGGAUUUUACUUUUAUUUUAUUUUACCACAGUAUUUUAUUUCAAUAAGGAUUUGGGUCACUUAAUUCUAACACAUCACGAAAUUACUUGCCAUAGACUUAGAAUUUUCUCACAAAUUUUCAAGUAAUCUGACAUGAUUUCUCAAUCACAAUUAAUUGAAUUCAAGAUCUUUUUGGAUGACACAAACAUUUCAAUUUUAACACAAACUAAUAUUUAGGCUAUACUUCAGUGCUUGACAAGCACUUUCACAUUUGUGGGAUAAUAACUCUAGCAUUUUAGGAUCACAAUUAAUUCAAUUGCAUUUAAGACAUCAUGAUUUUAUUCUAUAAUUUGAGUCUUAUCAACCUUUUGGGAAAUAAUAAAACAUCGACAUUAAACUUUGUUGUUGAUGCAUUCAAUUUGAUUUUUUGAGGGGUCGUUGGAGUUAUAUGUGACUUUAGCUUUGAUUGACUUUUUUAGAAUUAAUCUUUUAUACCAAUUUAAUAACAUCCACAUGUUUUUGGGUUGGGUCGAGCAAAACCCAAUUAAAACCGAUGAUAUUGUCUUAAUUGACUCGGUCAAGUCCAUUAGAUGGAUAAAAUCAAUUUUAAAAUCAGUUAUAAUGGAUUAAGGUAACUAAUUAUCGAGUCAUGAAAUCCAUAAUCAAAUCAAUUGAUUUUGUUAGAAACUAAAAGAAAAUGGGAUAAGCUGAAAACUGAUUGCCCUUCAUUAAAAUUAAGGAAUUCACCUUUUACAUGUUAGAUAAUAUGAACAACCCAUAUAUAAUAAGAAAAAUUACUUACGAUUAUUUAUUAUCAUAAAUGGUUAGUUUAAAUUUAAAGUAAUCUAAUAUAUGUAUUGAACUUUAACUAUUACAUAAAGUAUAAGCUAAAUAUGUAUAAAUAUUCUAGAAAUCAUAUCUAACUGAUGAUAUUGUUUUAGUUGACUCGGUCAAGUCCAUUAGAUGGAUAAAAUCAAUUUUAAAAUCAGUUAUAAUGGAUUAAGGUAACUAAUUGUCGAGUAAUGAAAUCCAUAAUCAAAUCAAUUGAUUUUGUUAGAAACUAAAAGAAAAUGGGAUAAGCUGAAAAUUGAUUGCCCUUCAUUAAAAUUAAGGAAUUCGCCUUUUACAUGUUAGAUAAUAUGAACAUCCCAUAUAUAAUAAGAAAAAUUACUUACGAUUAUUUAUUAUCAUAAAUGGUUAGUUUAAAUUUAAAGUAAUCUAAUAUGUGUAUUGAACUUUAACUAUUACAUAAAGUAUAAGCUAAAUAUGUAUAAAUAUUCUAGAAACCAUUUCUAACUGAUGAUAGGCUAAUUCGAAAUUAAGAUUAAUAUAUAAAAACUAGAUAGUAGGGUUAUAGUCCUCAAACUAGAUAGUAAUAAUAUUAAUUUGAAGAUAUCACUUUUUGAAUCCAUAAGUUUUGUUUUGAUUUUUUUUUUGUAAAAAAGAUAUCAAGAGAUACCAAAAAUUAUUUUACUAAGAAAUUUUAAUUCACUCAAAAAGUAAGUGUUUUAUUUCAAGGGAUCACAAUUAAACAUUAGAUUUCUCAUUUUUAAUUUUUUUUUGUUUUUUUAACAACUACGUAAUUAACGAGUACCAAUUUUGGGUGUUGUAGGGGUACUAAUCGACUCUUGAACCCACUUUUUUCCUCUAGAAUUCAAUGCAAACCUUAAAUUUAUCUUUCUAAAAGAAUUUUAAAAUCUUUUUAUAAAAGACUAUUUUUUUUAGGUGACUAAUCACACUUAAUAAAAAAAAUCGGUGGUAAUUCUUUUCCAAUAAAUGUAAAAAACUUUUUAAACAAAAAAUAACAGACAUGUCUAUGUUUCCUAGGUUAUCUCAUAUUAAAAUCCAAAGAAAAUAAAAAGAUUCUAACAAUUAUUGCUUUUUAGUGUUGCUUUAGGGAAUUUAAAUGUAUUUAGUUAGAUUCCAAACCUACCCGUAGAUUCUUUCCUAUCCCAAGAUUAUUACGUAUAUUUAAAAUCAACAUUCAUUAUUUUCACCCUAAAAAAUAUUCUACAUUCAUUAUAUUACUAAAGUAGUGAUUAGAGUGAGUAAAAUCUGAUUUGAUUCAAAAAAAUCGAAAAGAAAUUCAAAAUUCGAGUUAAUUGAUUAAGUUAUUUGAUUCAACUCAAAUAAGUAAUUGGAGUUUUGAGUUCAAGUUGAGUAGAAUUUACAAUUCGAAUAAUAGAUUGGUGUAACCAUGUCAAUUUUGAAAUUGAGCAAAUUGAUCUCUCUCAACAAAAAUUACAAAAAAAUCAAAAUAAUUUUCAAAAAUUAAAAAUACGAUAAAAAUUCCAAAUUAUAUAUUUUUUAUAAAAAAAUUCUGAAAAAUAUAUAAAGAAAUUUAAAAUUUAAAAAAUUUUCUAAAAUAAUAAUUUUGGGGACUUAAAUAACUUAAUUAAUGAUUCAAUUUUAUCAUACUAAAAUAUAUUUUUUUAUUUUGCUUUGAAAAAGCUUUUAAAUAUAUACGAUUUCAAAUUUAUGUGCUUUAACAUGAGAUUAUUACAUAUUUAAAUACAUUUAAAUCCACGUCUAGAACUACACAUAUCUAGAACUACUCAUAGCCCCUCUCCAACCCAUAAAUAGGAUGAUAAUGCGUUUAAACGCACUUGAACCCAUGUCUUCCUGUAUUGAAAACAAUGUCCAUGUUAAUUGAGUUAAUACUCAAUUGACAAUUAGAAUUUGUAAAUUUAACUUUUAAUAUUUUAGACACAUAUAGUAAAUCUCAAUGUAUAUUUUAGCGUAAUGAAUUUCUAUUUGUUUAAAGAUGCUUACGGCUCUCAACUGAGAUGCCUGAUUUCCCAACAUAUAUUUUAACUUGAUUCCAGCCUUGUAAAAUGGGGCAAAAUUUAACCUUUUGUGACACAUUGGACAUCUUCUUACGAUACUUUUGAUAAAAUUGUGGCUACAUAAACCCACCAUUUUCAUGUUCUUUGCACUAAGAAAUAGUAUAAUUUCAAGGAUUAGUUAACAAAAGUAUAUGAAUAUGAAGGGUUUUCCCACUAUUUUUCUUUUUAUUUGCUUUGUUUUAGUUAUUACAAAUUGUUUCAUGGUGGAAGCAGAUACAUGCAAACCCAGCGGUAAGCUUAGAGGCAAAAAGCCUCCUCUAGGUAAAUGUAACAAAGGCCAUGAUUCUGAUUGUUGCCAAGAAGGCAAGUUUUAUAACACGUAUACAUGUUCGCCGCCGGUUUCAAGUCAUACCACGGCAACCCUAACUCUCAACGGAUUCGGUCCGAAGGAGGACGGUGGCGGUCCAUGUGAAUGCGACAACAACUAUCAUAAAGAUUCAGAAUUGAUCGUGGCACUUUCGACGGGGUGGUUCAACAAGAAAAAACGGUGUAUGAAUUAUAUUAACAUUCACGGUAAUGGAAAAACUGUUAAAGCUAAGGUAGUCGAUGAAUGUGACUCGACGGUGGGGUGUGAUGAUGAACACGAUUACCAGCCUCCGUGUGCCAACAACAUCGUCGAUGCCUCAGAUGCAGUUUGGGAUGCCUUGGGAGUGUAUGGAGAUAAACGUGGCGAAAUGGAGAUAUACUGGUCUGAUGCUUGAUUAUAUUUUUCUGCCUCUCCGUAUUUGCCAUUGUUUCAAGCAAGGGUUGUGGUUCGUUACUCUUUAGGCGCAUGAUAUGUGGUCCUUAAUUAUAUCUAAGGCCUGAAAAUAAAGUUUUAAUUUUAACUAUUUGGUCCUUAAUCUAGGACCUUGUCCCCUUGCUUAAAUGGUCUAAUUCUAUUUAUGCGCUAUUAAAAUACAAUACUUUAAUUUAGUUCAUUUUAACCACUUUUAUGAAUUUUUUUAUCUUUUUCCCUUUCUAAAAUUUUAAUUAUUCGAUUUAAAUCAUUUUAGGACCAAAUUUUUAAUUUGACCCUUAAAUUUUUAUUAUCAAUCACAUGCAACAUUAUAUGAAGGCAGUCUACUCAGCAUAUAUCCAAGUUUAUAGAUUUUAAUAGAAAAUACUUACAAUCCUAAUGGUAGGACUAAGUUUUUUAAACUAGAAAAGUAAGACGACUUAAUUUUUAACUUUUUAAGUACAAGGAUUAAAUUUUAAAUGUUGUCAAAGUACAAUCACUAACAAAAUAUUUUGAUCUAAUAAAUGUAAAAAACUUUUCAAACAAAAUAAGGUUGAAAUAAUUUAUUUGUCCUUAUACUUUGAUAAAAUUUGAGAUUUAGUCCUUAUACUUAAAAGGUUAAUAAUAAAGUCUUCUUGUUUUUAUUUAAAAAUCUUAGUCCUAUCGUUAAUUUUUUUUUGUCAACUUUACAUAUUAAUUAGUUUUCCCUUAUAUGUCGUGGUAUAUGACCUACACAAAAUAAGCAAGUUGAUAAAUUCUGACAAAAAAUAUCAAAGAUGAUAAUAAUUGGAUUAAAUUUUUUAAAUUGAAUUUAUAACCUUUAAGGUAUAAGGAAUGGAUAUCAAAUUUUUAUAGGAAUAAAGGGACUAACAACAUACUUUAACCACAAAAUAAUAUGAGUGAUUAGAAUGAAUCUAAAAGAGACUACCAACAUAUUUAUAACUUUGAAAUCUCCUUCGAUCAUCCUUUUUCUACGUUGAAAAAGAAAAUUAAUUAGCAUCUAAAGUGUCAAUUAGUGAAACCUUCAAAAGAAAAUGUAUAACUUAUAAUAUAUUUAAUUACAUUUAGUAAUUUAUCAAUCAAAACUUAAUUAACAUCCAUCAAUACUUCUAAAUUUUCCAUUUAACUCAGAUUUAACGGAAUUGAUUUUCCGGAAAAUCAUUUCCAACUUUUCCAGCGUUUGAUUGGCGGAAAACAUUUUCCAUUUGGAAAAUGAACUCCAAAACAAGGGAAAAUGGAUUACAUUUUAGGGAAAAUGUCUUACCCUUUCAAUUUCCGUAAGACAUUUUCCGUGCUCUCCUCUCUAUCGCCUCAUUCAUUCCUUCAUUUCCGGUAGAAAACUGCUUCUGUUUAUCGAUUUUCCAGUAACUUAUUUUUUUAAUUAUUCAAUACUUGUUUUUUAACACAAUUACAAAUAAUUUAUUUGAUAAUAGUUUUUUUCAAUUUAUAACGAUUAAUAUUGUAGCUUAAUAAUUGAGUAUUAUUAUAAAUAAAUCAUUGCAAUAUAUGUAAAAAUAAUUUAAAAUAUAAAAAUUUAUUAAUAUAUAUUAAUAUAUGUAAAAACAACUUUUUCAGAAAAUAUUUUCAGGGAAUCUGCCAAACAGCAGAAAAUAUUUUACACAGAUUCAAUCAAACACCAGAAAAUAUUUUCUAGUAAAUCAUUUUACAGAAAAGCAAAACAUUUUCCAGAAAUCAUUUUACGGAAAACAUUUUACUAGCAAUCAAACAGACCCUAAAUUUAAUUUGUUCAAUAUAGAUUUUGGUGACUUAAAACAAAAUUAAUAAAAAUUAUUCUUUCAGACAUCUUUUUAAUUUAUAAAAUAUACUUUCAUUUGACACAAGCCUCCAAGGCGAUGAACCACUGAUCAAAUUAAUUUGGAGAUAUCUUUUUUUCCAAAUAAAGUGAAUUUAUGAGUUUUGUUUUUAUUUUAAAAAUAUUUUUAAUAUUUUUGUGGAUAUCAAGCGGUACCAAAAAUUAUUUCACUAAGAAAUUUUAAUUCACUCGAAAAGUUAGUGUUUUAUUUUAGGGGUCAUAAUUAAUCAUUAGAUUUCUCAAUUAUAAAUUUUGAAUUUUUUGACAAUUGCAUAAUUAAUAAGUACCAAUUUUGAGUGUUGUAGGGCUAGUACAAUCUCCCUUACACAUAACCGACUCUUGAACCUACUCUUUUCUUUAGAAUUCAACGCAGACCUCAAAUUUAUCUUUUGAAAAGAAUUUUAAAAUCUCUAUAUAAAAGGUGUAAAAAUAUAUGUUUUAUUAAUUACUAUAUAUUCUUUUAUUUUCAGAAUAAUAAAUUGUUUAAAAUAUGCUAUUAGUCCCUAUAAUUUAAAAGUAUUUGGGUUCUUGAGUGCAUCAAAUUCCUCCUUUUAUUAUUAAAUGUUCUAUUUUAGUUACUCUAAUUAAAUAUAUCCAAAUUGUAAUAGAGUGAACAUUUAUUAUAUAAAAAAUAUUUUAAAUUUUUUUCAAUUGCAGUUUAAUUCUAGUAGAAAUAUUUCAUUUAUAAAAUCAUAAAACUUUAAAAUAUUAACUUUUUUAAAUAAAAAAUUAUUUUUUAACAGUAAAUGUUGACUUUAUUAACACAAAUGGGUCUUUAGGGUUAAACUUCAUAAAUUGACGAGCUCUUCCACAAACUGUGGAUGAUUUGGGGAUAAGAACUUUAAUAAUUAUGGAGUUAAAGUGUAAAUUUACCACUAUAUAUUAUAAGUAAAUAUUGAAAUUUAUCACUAUAUUUUAAUUGAUACUUGUCAUUACACUUUGAAAAUAUAAGUAAAUUUACCAUUUAACUCAUAUGUGAUUGAACUUUACAAGUAGACUUAAACUUUUAUUUAAUUUUGUCUCUAAAUUUGAUUUAUUUAAUUAAAUUUACAACUCAAUAUAGAUUUUGGUGACUUAAAACAAAAUUAAUAAAAAACUAUUCUUUCAGAUAAUUUUUAAUGUUUACUAAUAAGUCGAUUUAUAAAAUAUACUUUCAUUGGAUGCUUGAGCGGAAAUCAACAGAUACCAAAAAUUAUUUCACUAAGGAAUUAAUUAGUAUUUUAUUUUAAGGGUUCACAAUUAAAUAUUAGAUUUUUCAUUUUUAAAUUUUGAAUUUUUUGACAAUGCGUAAUUAACAAGUACUGAUUUAGGGUGUUUUAGGGUUAUUACAACCUUGCCUACACGUAACAGACUCUUAAACCUACUUUUUUCUCUAGAAGUCAACGCAAACCUCAAAUUUAUCUUUUUAAAAGAAUUUUAAAAUAUCUAUAUAAAAGAUGAUUUUUUCAGAUCACAUUUAACAAAAUUUUAAAAAUUAUUAAUUUUUUUAAAAUUUAGAGUGAUCUAAAAACAUAUUUUUAAGUGCUUUAGACCAUGCGGUGCUGAUUUCUUUAUUGUAUUAAAUGCUUGCAAUCACUCCUGAUAUCUUAUACUUCAGUUGUAACAGAGCCAAUUGUCAACGUGUCAUAAUGUUCUGUUGAUGCUGAAACUGAAGUUUUUGUUAUAUUAAUAGAGCUUAUCCUUCAACACGUAUAACGGGUGUUCGUUAUUUUUCCCUUCAAAUUGUAUGAUCUCAUUCAUUAAAUGAAUUAAUGAAUUUUCGUUUAAAAAUAUAAUUUUAAAAUUUAAAUACUUCAUAAGAUAUUUAAAACUAUUUAAAAAAUUGUAAUCGUUAAAACAAUCAACAAGAUAUAUUUUUCUCUAAAAAAUCAGUAAAAAUAUGUUUGAAAUUUUAUACGAAAGUAGUGUUGCUGAAGCAAUACUGAUUCACGACUGGUGUUCCAAAAAUUGGGAAGUCAAAUUUCGACAUAUUCAGCGAAAUGCCAGUAAAGUUGUUGAUUGCAUAGCUAAGGGAGAUGGAGGCAUAAUUGAGCAGCUGGUUAUCUUAGAAGAUCCACCGCAUUAUGUGAGAUGUUGGCUUGAAGAAGAUAUUAGACAGUCACUGGUCACUGAUGAUAAUUUUCAUUUGAAUUGAUGCUGGCUUAAUUUUCUAAGUUUAUGUUCAACCAGAAAAAAAAAUAUAUGUCUAAAUUGUAAUAGAAUUAAUAUUUAGUGUAUAAAAAAUAUCGUAAAAAUUAUUUUUUUUUCAAUUGCAAUUCAAUUCCACAAAUACUGACGAUGAACCCUGAAACGAACAUGAAAAUUACCAUAAGAAAAAAAACACAUCUAUCACAAACCAGCAAUCCAUGCCUAAACUUAAAUUAACAAAAUCUGUCACCGCAACCCGGUACACUAUUUUAUAUAAUAUAUAUACUAGAUUUAUUCUUGAUGCACAUGUUUUAUUAUUUUUAAAAAUUAAAAUAUAUGAUUGGCUGGGUUUUAGUUUAGUUAGUAUUAGUAUUAUUGUUAGUGUAGGAAAAAGUAAGUUUGAUCAUGCUCAAAUGUGUUUAUCCUCUAAUUCAAGAGUUGGGAAAAGGUUAUUGAUAAUUAAAUUAUACAAUAUUUAAAAAGCAUUUAUAAAUAAUAUAAGGAAAGAAAAAGAGAAACAUACUCAUAUCGAUGGGCUCUUUCAUUAUUAGACUUUUUUUUCUCUCACAAGUAAAAGUACUUAUGGAGAGGAUCAUGUAAAAUAAUGAAUAAUUUUAAAUGUUUCAUCAUUGCAAAAAUGAAAUAAUAGAAAAGAAAGACUAGCCAUUUUAUGAAUAUGGACGACCCAUUUUAUUUAUAAUUUUUUGUGUUUUUCUUUUUUUCCGACUUUUUCUAAUGUCAAGAGUUGGGAAAAAGUUAUUGAUAAUUAAAUUAUUUUACUAUGAAAUUUUAAUUUAACUGGAAAAUAAGUGGUUUAUUUAGAGGGAUUACAAUUAAACAUUAGCACUUCAGUAAAGGUUAAACUCUUAUUUGACCAUUUUGAAAGGUUUGAUCCUUAUGUGAGUAAUCUCUAAAAAAUUGAGCACUAAUUUGACAAGUUGAGAAAUACCAAAUUUGAUUUCAUGAAUCAAUAAAUUAAAAAAAAAUGUUGAGAAAUAUUUUAGAGAUUCUUAGCUUUGACAAGUUCCCUCCACCAUCUCCCUGCCUCCAGUCCCACCUCUUCUCUUAUGCUCCUUCCAGCUUCUUGCUUUUUGUGUUUGAAAAUUCAAAGGAACAAAAUAUCAACCUACAUCAUAAGGCACGAAGGCCGGAACUUUACUUUCUAGCCCGUCGAUCCGAUCCAAUGAAAGAAGAACAAAGAGUCUUGAGAUCUGACAACUUUAUUUCAUUUUCUUUUUCUUUGUCAUUUUCUAUGUUUCUUGUCAAAUACAUUUGAAAGAAGAACAUAGAAAAAUGUUGCCUAUUUAUUUCCCAAUCAUCAUGAAAUUACUUGCCAUAGACUUAGAAUUUUUUCACCAAUUUUCAAGCAAUCUGACAUUAUUUCUCGAUCACAAUUAAUUGAAUGCAAGAUCUUUUUGGAUGACACAAACAUUUCAAUUUUAACACAAACCAAUAUUUAGGUUAUACUUCAGUGCUUGACAAGCACUUUCACAUUUGUGGGAUAAGAACUCUAACAUUUUAGGAUCACAUUUAAUUCAAUUGCAUUUAAGACCUCAUGAUUUUAUUCUAUAAUUCAGUUUUAUCAACCUUUUCGAACUCAAUAAAACAUCGACAAUAAAUUUGUUGUUGAUGCAUUCAAUUUUUUGAGGGGUCUUUAGAGUUAUAUGUGACUUUAGCAUUGACUGAAUUUUUUAUAAUUAAUCUUUUAUAAUAAGGUAAAUAUAUCAAUUUUAAUAAUAUCGAUAUGUUUUUUAGUAGGGUCGAGCAAAACCCAAUUAAAACGAUGAUAUUGGCUUAGUUGACUCGGUCAAGUCCAUUAGAUUGAUAAAAUCAAUUUUAAAAUCAGUUAAUCAAAUCAAUUGAUUUUAUCAGGUUCAGGUUUCGUGUUUUAAUUAUGAGUUUGGGCCUGUCUCAUAUGGGCCCAAUGAUUGGGCCCGAUAAUUUUGGGCCAGCUGGGAUUGGGUAAUUGGGUUUAAUUUUGGAUUUGUUUGGGCUUUAGCCCAUUAGUGUUUUUGUUUUUUUUUAAUUUUAAUAAUAAUAAUAAAAAAAUAAUAAUAAUAAAUAAGAAAAAUACAAAAGUUAAAACUUACAUUUUGACUCCUAACUUUCCUAAAACUACAUUUUAACCCCCCUAACUUUCUUAAAAUUACAUUUGACCUCCAAUUUUCCUAAAAUUAUAUUUUGACCCCAAAUUUUCCUAAAAUUACAUUUUUCCCUAGAAGUUUUACAUCAUUUAUAAUUUGGUCCUUCUAGCACAAAAUCCCUAGCCGCCAGGUGCGAUUUGCGCACCUACCCCCCGAUUUUUCGGUGAUCAGCCUAGGGUGGUGGCCCUCCUCUCAAGCUACCUACUCCUUGAAAAAAUCAACAAUAAAAGGGGGGUUUUUUCCCCCAAAAAUUCGACAACCAAAGAGGAAAAAAGCAAGCAAAAAAAAAAAAACACAGCAAAAAAUUGAAACAAAAAAUAGGAAAAAAAACUUCAAAUUCGGUCGGCUUCCUCUUGAAUUGAUUCACGGUUGGUGUUCCAAAAAUUGGGAAGUCAAAUUUCGACAUAUUCAGCGAAAUGCCAGUAAAGUUGUUGAUUGCAUAGCUAAGGGAGAUGGAGGCAUAAUUGAGCAGCUGGUUAUCUUGGAAGAUCCACCACAUUAUGUGAGAUGUUGGCUUGAAGAAGAUAUUAGACAGUCGCUGGUCACUGAUGAUAAUUUCAUUUGAAUUGAUGUUGGCUUAAUUUUCUAAGUUUAUGUUCAACCAGAAAAAAAAAUUUGUCUAAACUGUAAUAGAAUUAACAUUUAGUGUAUAAAAAAUAUCUUAAAAAAUAUUUUUUUCAAUUGCAAUUCAAUUCCACAAAUACCAACGAUGAACCUUGAAACGGACAUGAAAAUUACAACAAGAAAAAAAGCACAUCUAUUAUCAAACUAGCAAUCCAUGACUAAACUGAAAUUAACAAAAUUCAUUAUGCAACCCGAUACACUAUUUUAUAUAAAUAAUAUAAGGGAAAAAAAGAGAAUCAUAUUCAUAUCGAUGGGCUCUAUCAUUAUUAGACUUUUUUUCGGCCAAAUUACCAAUAAAAGCACCUUUUUUAUCUAAAAUUACUGAAAUGGGACAGGUCCUAAAUUAACUAUCGGAAUGGGCCAAUUUCCACUAAAACGCGUCCAUGUCAGCGCGUUAUUAGGUGAAAAAUUAGGAAAACGCUUCCUCAAGGAAAUGCUUUGUCCACGUGGACACAAAGCGCGCCCUCAAGGACGCGUUUUGUGUCCACGUGAACAAAACGCUUCCUUGAGGAAGCAUUUUCGUCGUCCGUUUACAUUAUGGUUUUGGGUUUAGGGUUAGGGUUUUGGGUUGUUGAGUUUAGGAUUUUAAAGGAAAAAUUUAAAUAAGUAAGGUUUAGGGUUUAGGGUUUCUUAAUUAAAUUAAUUAUAAAAUUUUCAAAAUUAGAUUAGGGUUUCAAGUUUAUGGUUCUUAAGGAAAAAAUCAAAUAAAUUAGGGUUUAGGGUUGAUUAAAUUAAUUAUAAAUUUUUAAAAAAUUAGAUUAGGGUUUAAUGUUUAGGGUUUUUAAGGAAAAAACUCAAACAAAUUAGGGUUUGAUAUUUAGGGUUAAUUAAAUUAUUUGUUAAUUUAAAAAAGCUCCCACGUGGACGCUCUUUUGCUACAGUAGUUCCUGAAAAAUAAUUUUGAGAAAACGUUUCUGAGCAAAUAGUGGCAAAAAUGCUUUAAACAGGAUGCAUCGUCAGUAAAAGUACUGAAAGAAGCUCCCACGUGGACGCUCUUUUUCAACAGUAGCUCCUAAAAAAAUAAUUUCGAGUAGACGUUUCUGAGCAAAUAGUGUCAAAAAAGCUUUAAGCAGGAUGCAUUGUCAGCAAAAGUACUGAAAGAAACUCCCACGUAGACGUGCUUUUGCUACAGUAGCUCCUGAAAAAAUAAUUUCGAGUAGACGUUUCUGAGAAAAUAGUGUCAAAAACGCUUUAAGCAGGAUGCUUUGUCAGCAAAAGUACUGAAAGAAGCUCCCACGUGGAUGCUCUUUUCCUAUAGUAGCUCCUGUUUGGCCUGAGGCUAUAAAUGAGGAAAAUUUUUUUCUCAAAUUGCAUAAGUUAUAGCAAAAAAAAUUUAGAGAGGCUAAGAAGGAUAGGAAUUGUAGAUGAGUGAACGUAUUAGUGCUGUUAUUUACUAUGAUGGUGAGGUUCGUCACACCGAGAACGGUGUUGUUUUUUUAUUGGAGAAUACAGUGCGACUGGUUUUUAACCAGAACAUAGAUUUGACAGAACUUCGUAAAAGAAUUAGGCGUAAAAUAUUCAGAACGACGCCAAUGAAAGUUCUGUCUAUUACAUAUUGGUUUUAUUCUUCUGUUGAUCUGGUGACAUAUGACUCGUUCAACAUAAAAGGUGCUCAUAACUUGGAGGUAAUAGUGCAGACUCAUCUCACUAGUGGAGCAUCCUAUAUUUAGUUAUAUGUACAAUUUAUAUCGCCAAAUGAUGCACUAGUGACUGCUGUUCGAGAGGUAUACACGACCCUUGCCCGACACUUGGUUAGUGGGUUACAAAAUACAGAACAACCCAUGUUUGGUAGCGGUAUGGAAUACACAUCCCCAGCACGACACUCUGUCAGUGGAUGGGACAUGUACCUCGGUGGGUCGAUGUUUGAUGCUGGAAAUACGCACUGAGGAACGACAUCAACUUCUAGUGGUUGGCAAUCUACAUCCAAUUGAAGAUGUUAUGAAACGCCCAGAAGAAAGGGAUAAUGUACUCCCUACGACGUCUACUGAUGAGGGGACCUUGUACGUUACAGAUAAUGGUGGGUUAGAAGAUGACUCCGAUGUGGAUCCACCUCGAGAGCCAGAGCCCGAUGGUGCAGAAGUUGUAUUAUUUUCUAAACCAGAGCCUAUUCCAACCGAACUUGAAGAUGUUUAAGGGGGUUCAGAUGAAGAAGAAGAUUCACGAUUUAGGGCAUACUCGCCUCCAGCCCACAUGCAUAAUGUUGAUCUAUCUACAGAUGAUGCAUUAGAGUUUCCAGAUCUACCACACAGAAUGCGUGAUCAUACAAGUUUGUUAUUGGAUUCAGGUGAAUUUGAAGUUGGUAAGGAGUUUUCCAAUAAGGAUAGUUUUAUUGGUGCACUGAAACAACAUAACAUCAAUAACGGCAUUAACUACAACGUGGUUAAAUCCAAAGUUGAUAAGUUUGAGGCAAAGUGUGCAGUGCAAGACGGUACAUGUUCAUGGAAUAUCUACGCCUCGUUGAGGAAAAUGACAAGGUUGUGGGAGAUAAAAAAGUAUGAAGGUCCACAUACAUGUGCUGCAGGUACAAUAUUUAGGGUUUUUACAUUUGCUAUUAUUAUGUAAUGUUGCAUUAUUUAACGUACUUCGUUGACAGGUAUUUCACAAGAUCAUCCCAAGAUGGAUUCAGCUAUGUUAGCUAGCUUGAUACUACCAACGAUGAAGGCAGAUCCUAGGACUUCAGUGCCAGUCUUAAUUACCAAUAUUCGUAGCCAAAUGGGGUACACACCCUCUUAUCGCAAGGCUUGGAUAGCUAAGCAGAAGGCGUUGGAGAAGAUGUAUAGUGGGUGGGACGCUUCAUAUAAUGAAAUAUGGCAGUGGUGUCACGUGCUAGAGAGAUACGUCCCUGGUUGUAUAACAGACCUUGAAAUAGAACAUACGUACUACAACAACCGAUUACUACGUGGAUGCCAAGUGUUCAAACGACUGUUUUAAACCUUUAAGCAAUGUCGAGACGCAUUCUAUACUGCAAACCAUUGGUACAAAUUAACAGUACCUUUAUGUUUGGUAGAUAUACCCAUCGACUAUUGCUAGCAGUGACACAGGAUGGCAGUGGGAGAAUUAUUCCAAUUGCAUUUGUAAUAACAUUGGGGGAGUCAGCUGAUGACUGAGAUUUCUUUCUAUCUAGGUUAAGGAGGCAUGUAUGCCUCCAACCUGAUAUCUGUGUUAUUUUGGAUCGAGGCACUGGAAUACUAGCUGCAAACGAGCGACAGUGAAGCCUAUGGCAGUGCACACACCAUUAGUAUUGCCUAAGGCACAUUGCUUCUAACUACUACAGGCAAUAUCCAUCUAAAAGUGAACGAUGACAAGUGACCAACAUGGGUAUUUAGUCUCUAUUAAUAUAAUUUCGUUCCUCAUUUUGAAUUUAUUCUAAAUGAAAGAGUGGUAUGUAAUAUUCGCUAUGAACUUAUAUUGACAGGGUAUGAAAUAAGUAAAGACGUUUUUCAUGAGAUGUUGGCAGUUUUGCGUUCAGUUAACAGUGAAGGUGUGGACUACUUCUGUAACAUACCUUUCGAACAGUUGACACAAGCAUACAACGACGGCCUACGAUAUGGUCAUAUGACCUCAAACCUGGUUGAAUGCAUAAAUUAUGUUCUAAAAGGAACUCGACAUCUACCGAUAACAUCGAUUGUGCGAAGAAUAUUUUCACUUAGCGGCGUUAUUUCCAAAGUGAGCAGCGAGUUAUGCGACCCAAAUGCAAGGAGGCCAUGUAUGGUGCAGGAAGGUAUUGUAAGAAAUUAACAAGGUAAAGGCGAGGGCGAACACCAUGCACACAGUGUGUCACGAUCGAGACAACUUAUGGUUUCGCGUGACGGAGUUUGACAGACCGCACCAAGGUGUUAUUGGAGGGCAAUAUCGUGUUCACUUGCGAAAUAGGACUUGCGACUGUGAGAUGUUUGACACACUUCGUUAUCCAUGUGCUCAUAUAAUUUCAGGUUGUCAGAAUCUCUGACUGGAUUCCAUGAGCUAUGUCGACGAAGUGUACAAAUUAGAAAACAUGUACAACGUCUGGAGACACGUAUUCCUAUCGGUCCCAGAUGAACGCAAGUGGCCGUCUGUAUCGCUUGCUCCAUUUAAGUUGUUACCAGAUAGAGAAUUACGUCGCAAACCAAAGGGUCGACCUUGCUUGACUUGAAUACGUAACAAUAUGGAUAUCCGAGAAAUAGCCAAUCAACAGAAGUUGUGCUAAUGGUGUAGGAACCCAGGCCAUACAAGCAGAUCAUGUCCAAAUCGCAAUAGUUGAACGUUGUUGUAAAAAACUAUGUUGUAUUAUUUAUAUUUUAUUACAUGAAAUAAUAUAGAAAUAUUCAAAAUAUUACCUUUGUCGAAACCAUUUUUAAAUUUGAAAAAUAGGGAUCGACUUUUGAAAAUAAAAUGGGAGUCGCCACCGAUCUUUUAUUAAGGUGUGACCGGUUCACCGUUAAAAAUGAAUUUGGUCCGCAAAAUUUUGAGAAAAUAGAUUCCGGAGUCGAUUACGCACGAGGAAGCGUUAGCACCCUCGUAUGCCCAAAAUUGGUACCGAAUUGAUUGUUUGAUGUCUUAAUGUCAAAACUUUGAAAAGAUUCUAAAAUACGAUCCUUUGGUGAGAAAACUUGAAUAAACUAAAUUGAAUGAUAAGACACACUUAUCUCGCAGAAAUAAAUUGCCAUACUCAGUGAGUGAUGGGUGUCGAAUCCACCAAUAUAAACCUACGCCUUAGUUUGCAAAUUAUGCAGUAUAGGGAGUAGGGUCGAUCCCUCAGAGACUAGUUUACUAUAAAUUGUUGCUCGUUUGACCAGAUUAAUGUCGGGGCAGCUGUCGUGCCCAAGACAUUCGAGGGAUAAAAAUUUGGAAACCUGAAAUUAACAGAAAAAUAACGUCAAAAGUAAAAGUUGAAAACAGAAUAAUAAUAACUGUGAAAUAAAUAUUAAGAAAAAUUAAUUAGAAUGAGCUCAGCUUUAGGCGCGAAUUUUCCUCGUCUUUGAACCGAUCCUCGAAAUUGGAUGAACUCCUCUUUUCCAAUAAGCUAGUUAUAGCUACCAAGGACGCCUCGGACACCAACUCUUCCUUGUGUAAAUUAGUUAUGGAACGUCUAAUAACUAAUUCUUACUGAUUGAACAACCACGAAACGUUCGUGAUUUAGAACUCCGGCAGCUUUGCGUUCUAGAAGAGCCUAGCUCGAACCAAAGCCCUCAACCGCGUGGGACAUUUAAAUCCGGUUACUACCUCCCUUGACGGAACCAAACAGCAAUCUCCACUUGGCACGCCAAUGUGUUCACAGAAAACCGAUUAGAAACGUUCCUUUUGGAAUUCCAACUGUACGUCUAAUCACACUAAAUCAAACGACGUCUUUUUUGACUUAGUGUUGAUCUGACUUUAUGAGCUGACAAAAUCAUACUCUUAAUCCGGUGAAGUAAUAAGUACUGGAAUUUUAGGAGUUAAAUGGCUCGGGUUCGUAACUCACGGGUUUUAACGAGGCUAAUUUCGGCCUAAAGCUGAAAAUGAGUUUAGUUGGCUAAGGUUUGGGACAUGUUGGUAUUUGAUAAAUAAGGUAAAUGGGUGAAAAGGUGAGUGAUGUGAUUGAGUAUGGGGGUUGGAAUAUAUUAAAGUGGGAUGGUUGACUAUUUGGAAAAGAAUUGAAAAAGGAAUUGCAAAUGGCUUGAUAUGGUGAUUAGCAACUGGAAAUUAAAAUUUAAAGGAAAGGAAACUAAAGAAACAACAAAGCUACAUGAGAAAAGAGAGAAUGUAUUGAAAGAAGAAUGCUUGAUAUUUGAUUGAUGAUUUGAUGAACAAUACAUGCUCUAUUUAUACUAGAGGAUUUACUAAUUUAGGAGCCAACUAGUCAUAGAAAAUUAAGGAAAAAAAAUAUUCCAUGACCAAAAAUAUCCCAAAAUAAUCUCCCCCACUAAAUCAACAAAAUUUUCAGCUAAUUAAAAUUGGAAAAAUUCUACUUUUGCCCUCCUUCUUUGCUUCUUUCUUUAAUUUGGCCCAAUUGUUUCCUUUUUCUUCUAUUUAGCCCCAAAUUGCAUUCCUGCACAAAAUUCAAUAAAUAUGGCAAAGUUAGUGGUGCAUUCUCAUAAAUUAACCAAUUUAAUUUCAUAAAAUAUGUAACUUUAGCAUUUAAUCAGUGAGUUAGGGUGCAACAAUUCAAUCUUCGAAAUUAAAUUCGUCCCCUCUUUUUUUUUUAAGAAAAUCAUGUGUUUUAAGAAGGUUAUUCGAUUAUUUAAGUCAAUCGAAAAAUCAAAAUCCAGUAAGUUAGGGUUCAAUUUCUCGAAAUUCCUAAACAUCAAACAUUGCUUUUAUUUUAAAAUCGAGAUAACAAAAUGUUGUAUCCAGAAAGUUAGGAUCCAACAUUUUGAAGUCUCAAAAGCUUUAUUUUGAAGUUGUAUGGUUUUACCAAAAUAAACGCUUGGCUAUUCAAAUUCGUCGAGAAGAAUUGGAGCCCAGUAAGUUAGGGCACAAUUCUCUCGAGGGCUAUGAACACUAGGUCCUUUUGAAAUUUAUGAAAUAAAAAUGAUUGUAAUGCUCCAAUAAAAUACAAUUUUACAAAUGAGACAUAACUGAAGCAAUAUAUAAUGUAAAAAAUAAAUAACAACCCAAAUAUACACUAAUAAGUGGCAAACAAAUAGUAAGUAAAUGCAAAUAACCAUAAUGAUUUUAAUUAUAUUAUACAAACAUCGAUGUCAAUGUACAAAAACUAAAUAAAUUUAUCAUAAAUUCAAAAGAUACAUUAAGAUAAUAAAAAAAAACAAUACAUCCUAUGUAUGAAAGUUUUUAAAAUAAAUUACAUAUAUGAUCUUCAAAAUAGACACAAAAUAUAAUAAAACAUUAAAUAAUUGGUAUUUGAAAUAAAUUGGAAAUAAAUUUGAAAUAGACAAUAUACAUUUGUUAGUUUGAUAUAUAAAUAAUGCAUAUAAAAAUAUAAUAAUAAUGAUAUAUAUAUAUAUAUAUAUAUAUAUACUAGUAAAAAAAUAGAAUAGGGAAAGUAUAUUAUUGAAUUUAAAAUAUAUAUAUAUAUAUAUAAAACCGGUUUAAAAGACAUAUAUAAAUAAAAAUUUAAAACUAAUAAUCAUAAUGAAAUCAAAAUAUUAAUAUAUACUUAAGAAAAGAAUAAUUUCAUGAGUUAUAUAUAUUUAUAAAUAAUAGUAUUAUAAAAAAACAAAAAAAUUAUUAUGUAAGUAUUUAUUAUAUAGGAAUAUAUAAAAAGAUAAUUUUACAAAAUAAAACAUCAAAAACUUGUUUAAAUUUCCAUAAAGUAUAUAAAAUAAUCAAUGAUGAGGUAAAUAAUAAUAUGUUAAAUUUAAAACAAAAAAAUAUAUAGUAGGCUUAAAACAUUAAUGUAUGAUGAAUUUAAAUAAUGCUAAUAAUGAUUUUAAAAUAAUAAUAUAUCAUAUCUUAAAAUCGCACUAAUAAUAAAAUUAAAAAAUAAUAUCAAAUUUAAACAUUAAAAUAAGAUAAGUUGUUAAAAAUAAAUAUGUCAAACUAAGAAUUAAUUAGAAUUAGAAUUAAAUAAAAAAAAACUAAAUUUCUAGUAGAAUUAGAAAAACGAGCUAGAUUGAUAAUUGAUUCAAAACUGAGGGAUCAAAACAGAAUUAAACGCAAAUGCUAAGAUGUUCAAAUCCAAUCAGCGAAAAUGGCGGCGUUUAAAUAUGGAUCUAAAUGAAAUAAAAAUAAAAAUGCAAUAACAAUUUAAAAGAAUUGAAAGAAAACUGAAUCAAAAUGAAAGCCAAUACAGAGGGUUUCAAUGCGCAAAUUUCCCCUUAAUUUCAAAACGCGCAGAUCCUCCCUGAAUCAAGUCGGAUCAUCGGGUCAAGGCACCAAACAGUGCCGUUUUUUUGAAACAUUUAAAAGCGUAAAAAAAACCUAAAUCUAAAGAUUUUUGUUCAAAAUGCAAAAGAAAGUGGGAGCGCCGCUUUUGGUUUUUCAUCUACUAUCGCAACUCAACCUCUCAGAUCCCCAUCUGUUCCGAUUGCAACGAGAGAAACAGGGAUCCGACCGUCGCACUCUGAAGGUAAACUCUCAUCCUUAAGCCUCUCUUUUUCUUUGUUUAGUGUAUUCGUAGAGAAGCAAAAAGAGAAAGAAAACAGUGAAGAAAAACGAAAAAGGAAAAAAAAAUCAAUAUACCUCUUAAAUCUGCUCCUUUUCUCUUUUUCUUUUCAUCUUUUUUAUUUCAUAUCUCUCUCUAAAAAAAAAGCCCUCGAUCGAGUGCAUCCAUGGGGGUUUUUAUAACCCCAAAAUAGAAGAAAAAUAAAAAGAAUACAAAUUUCUUUUUUCUGCUUUUCUCUUGCUGUUUGUUUGUGUGUUGCACAGGUACGGCCGUACGGAGGUGGUGGCGUGGCGUGCGUAGAGAGGAAGACCGAAAGCGUUGGAAGCUGUGCGGCGCGAUAGGCUAGCUAGGGUUUCUGCUUGUGAUUCUUUUUGUUUUGGGCUUCAAUGUAAUUAGGCCGAGGUAUUUGGACCAUUGUUUGUAUAACUAGACAUUUGGACUUUAGUUAUAUAUAUUUUAUUUGGGUUUUAAUAUCCGUAUCGGGCCGGGCAAAUUUGGGCCAUUACAACCUUAUUUAAAAGAAUUUCUAUUUUAUUAAAAUUAUAAAAGUAAAUUUCAAUUACUUUAUUCAAAAUAACCUUUUAUUUUAUUACAUGAAAUAACAUAGAAAUAUUCAAAAUAUUGCCUUAUUUAAAAGAAUUUCUAUUUUAUUACAUGAAAUAAUAUAAAAAUAUUCAAAAUGUUUGUACAAAUAUGUUAAAAUAAAAAUCAAUCUCCGUGCCCGCCGGAUUUAGUGUCACAUGGCGGUCGUUGACGGUUACGCGCUGGGUUCCUCCUUUGUCUAGCUUCUGGUGGGGGUUGUGGUUGCUCUGGUGGGGAUUCUAGUUACUCUGGUAGGGGAUCGAGUUGCCAGUGUUGGGAGGAUGACCUACCUUGAUAGAAUAGUGAAUCUUGCGGUGUUUGCAUCACGAACGGCGAAGGCGUUUGAAACCCAUAAGGUGAUGGGGAUUGGUAAAAAGAAGAGCUCCCCGACGGCCCCUCGUGCGAUCCAUGUUGCGACUGUGGCCUAUAGAUUGGCAGUCCACUCGGCGACAUUGAUAAUGGAGAUGAACUGGGCCAUGGAUUCCAACCUGCCAUAGGACUAGAAAAAGGAAACAUAUAAGGGUUAGGAUACAAAAAAGGGCUACAAUACGCACCUGGCAUCAUCUGAAAAGGCUGUGUUGUAGGUGUCGUUGGUUGAAGUGUUGGGUCGGGUGACUGUGACGGUGUUGUUGCUGGGCCUGGUGAUUGUUUGGGAGCUGUUGAUGCGCUUACGUCGUCGUCCGUUCUUCUUGGAUUUAAAGGGCCAUGUCGUUCCCUUUGGACACGUAACUACCGCUGCCUCUCCUCUGCCGACAGUAAAUACGGCUUGCUAUGGAUCCUAAACCAUGGGAUGUAUUCCGCCAUGCAGCUAACUCUAGAACGAUGAUUGGUUCCCAAGUUGGUAUAUAAUCAUACUAAUCUUCCCACAUUUGGAUGUACUGUGACCAGAAUCUUGGCCAAUCUGUAUGCAAUUGCCGUAGGUCGAUUUUGUGAUGGUCAUCCAACACCUCAGGUGCCACGGGAAUCAGUUGUCAAAAUCCAAAUUGCCGUAAUACUCUGUCCAUACUCUGUGCGACUGGUGCAUCUCCAUGGUCGCUAAGUUGACCAAUGGGACUUUUACAUGCCAAGCGUUUGGAUUUUGGAAGUACUCAUCUGGAAUUACUGCCCGAAUUGCCAGAUCCUCGUAUGGUGUCCAUUGAAACUAUAUGAACAUGAUGGAAAUAUUAGUUAUAUACAUAAUACAUAAUACUAAAUACUAAAUACUAAAUACCGAUCGACUAUCUCAUGAUGGAAAUAUCUAUUUUAUUUAAUACUUACUUGUGCUUCUGACUGUUGGUCUAAUAGAAACCGUAUAUCUUCAAGAGAGGUAGGAAAUCCAACAUAACUUGUCGAAUGGUUCCACCUAAUUAAAUAAAUUUUUAGCAUACAAUUAUAUUUUAAAUCUACGUAAUAAUUGUAAAAUCUAAUAUAAAAUUUACCUCGUUAUGUGUGGGAAGGUAUAUGGGUGGUCCACUCGAGGACAUAAAAAUGGAAAGCGAAAUCGUGCCCAUGACUGCAGUAGUGAGAGACAACCUCCGAUUUUCGCUUUAUUCGGUCGCUUCGGCCCACACAUCUCCAGGUACAAUGUUGCCAACACGGUAAACCCCUAACUAAAUUCACCAGCUGCUCUAAAAUCAACGAGUUUCAGCAGCCAUCUUAGAUGUACAAGGUUCCGUGACAAGUCCGGCAUCAGAUAACCUCCAAUUAUCGGAAGAAUGUAUGCCCGAGCAUAUCUGAUUCUUUCUAGUUCGAUAGAAUCAUCAUCCGGCUCUAGGAAUGUGUCUCGUAACCAGCCUAUCUCGAUCCGACCUCCGUUGAUAUUAUCCGAAAUAGCGCCUAAAAGCUCGUAGCAUACCGCUCCCCAAUCACCAGAUUGAACAUACCCAGUGACUACGUACCCGUCCACCGGCAAUCCCAAUUGCAAAUUUACGUCUUCCAAAGUGAUAGUACACUCUCCACAUGGAAUAUGGAAUGUGUGCGUCUCGAGUCUCCACCUCUCAAUCAACGCACUAAUGAGCUUCGGUUCCAACUUGCAUCCCCGACCUACCAUUGCCACGUGCCAAAAACCCGCUUCCCGUAGGUAAUUCUCUACCAACGGUGAUGGAGGACCAUGCAUAUUACAGAUAUAGCAUUGCAAUAUCCGAUCUAUAGACUUUUAUAAGAAAUAAUAAAAUAAAAAUUAUUUAAAAUUUCAUAAAUCAAAAAAAUCUUAAAUAAUAUUUAAAAGUUAAAUUUAACACUUAUCAUUUUCAUUUGUUCGAUGGAUAUGUGCUUGUUAUCGAAACAAAUUAAUUCUCCGGCCAUUGAGAGGAAUUUGAGAGGAAAUUUUUAUGAUUUAAAAAAAAUAAGAGAAAUUUAAAAAAAAUUAUGAUUUAAAAAAAUUCAAAAAAAAUUAAAUUAAAGCUUUUUUUAGAAUAACUAAAAAAAUUAAAGCUUUUUUUGAGAGGAAUUUGAGAGAAUAUUGGAGAGAAAUUGAGAGAAAGGAUUUAGGGGUGAAAAAAAUGAAAGGGGGAGUUUAUAGUUUUUUUUUUUUUUUUUACCAUUGGGGGUGGUCACCAACGGUAAAAAAACUAGCCGUUGGUACUGUUCACGCGCGGGGAAAACGCUUCCCCAAGGAAGCUAUUUGUCCACGUGGAUGCGCUUUCUAGGAAUUGGCCCAUUCUAGUAAUUAAUUUUUCACCGGGCCUAUUUCAGUAAUUUAAAAAAAAUGGACUUUUAUUGGUUUUUGGCCCCUUUUUUUCUCUCACAAGUAAAAGUACUUAUGGAGAGGAUCAUGUAAAAUAAUGACCUGAAUAAUUUUAACCGUUUCAUCAUUGCAAAAAUGAAAUAAUAGAAAAGAAAGACUAGCCAUUUUAUGAAAUAUAAAUUUUAAGAAUAUGGACUAGCCAUUUUAUUUAUAAUUUUCUGUGAUUUUCUUCUUCUCUAACUUUUUUUUAAUGUCAAGAGUUGGGAAAAAGUUAUUAAUAAUUAAAUUAUUUUACUAUGAAAUUUUAAUUUAACUAGAAAAUAAGUGGUUUAUUUAGAGGGAUUACAAUUAAACAUUACCUUUUCAAAUUUUAAAAAUAAAAUUUUCUUUACAACUGCAUAAUUAAUAAGAUAUCAAUUUUGAGUGUUAUAACCUUCUCAACGCAUAACCAACUCUUGAAUUCACUUUUUUCUCUAAAAUUCUACGUAGAACACAAAUUAAUUUUUAAAAUGAAUUUUAAAAUCUCGCGAUUUUUUUAGGUGAUUCACCAAAGAAUAAAAAGAAGGGAGGUGAUUCCUCCUUUUUAAUAAAACCUUGUGCUUUUGCAAACACCAAAUUAUUGCUAAGCUUUACAUUAAUAUACAUGAUUUAUUUGUUUGUUAUUAUUAUUUAUAUGGUUAUAAUUUUAUACUUAUCGGACUAUAAUCAUUACCAUGGUUAUUAUCAUUCAAUAAAAAGAAAUAAGUGUUGAGUGUAAUGGCAAUGUACAUUACACUCUUACUAGGAGAUCAGGGUUUUGGACAAAGAAACAAUAUGAUUCGAAUUUUGGAGACAACAUCCUUAAAAUGAGCAACCACAAAGCCCGAUUAUGAACCAUAAAACGAACAUGAAAAGUACAAAAAAACACAUCUAUUAUCAAAUUAGUAAUCCAUCCCAAGGCUUAAAUUAACAAAAUUCACCAUGCAACCGUGUAGACUAUUUUAUGUAUAUACUAUAUUUAUUCUUCAUGCAAAUGUUUAUUAUAUUUAAAAAUUAAAAUAUAUGGUUGAUUGAGUUUUAGUUGAAUUAAUAUCGAUAUUGUUGUUAGUGCAGAAGAAUGUGAGUUCAAUCAUGUUUAAACGCGUUUUUCUUCCAAUUCAGAAGUUGGUGAGGAUUCUCAAUAGUUAAAUUAUAUAAGUUUUUGUCUAUUUAAAAUUGAUUUAUAAACAAUAUAAAUAAAAAGAUUUAAAAAAAUAUAUAUAUAUAUAUAUAUAUUCAUAUUGAUGGGCUUUUUCAUUACUAGACUUUUUUCCUUACAGGUAAAAGUAUUUAUGGACAGGAUGAUGUAAAAUAAUGACCUGAAUAAUUUUAAACGUUUCAUCACUGCAAAAAUGAAAAUAAUAGAAAUGAAAGACUAGCCAUUGUAUGAAAUUUAUAAUUGAACUGUCAACAAAAUUGGGAGAAAUUUUUAAAUUUUAUGAAAUUUUAAAAUUAAACUGUCAAUAAUAGAAAAUUGUGCGCCUGAGUGACUUGGGAUAAGAGGUUGAACAUUUCUGGAUCACAUUACAUUUAAGAUGGGUCUUUAAGGUUAUACUUUAGUUAUUGAGAACAUUUUCCACAAUUUGCCAUCGUUAUUUGUGGGGUAAGUGGUUGAACACUUAUGGAUCACAUUGCAUUUAGGACGGGUCUUUGGAGUUAUAUGAUACUUUAACAUAGACUGACUUUUCUAUAAUUAGUCCUUGGUUUACCUUGGGUGGAUUCUUCCAACUAGUCCAAGAAUUAUUGUACAAUUACAAUUAAUCUUUUUAAAUGAGACAAACAUUUCAAAUUUGUCAUUACUAUUUGUGAGUGAUUUGGGGGUAAGAAGUUUAACACUUCUGGAUGUCUUAUAAAAUUGUGAUUAUACUGUUUGAGUAUUGACUCAGUUUUCCACAAUUGUGGGUCUCUAUUUGAGCAAAACAAUUUCAACAUUUCUUCAUCUCGUUUAAUCCAAAUGCAUUUAUGCAUUUCUUAUACCAUUAAAUUGGCUGUUUCACAUUCAAUUUUUGGACAAGUAGAAUUUUCUAACCUAGUUUCCAUCAACUUCAAUUGAAUUUUCAAUCAAAAUCAGUUGCAUUCAAGAGCACCACAUCCUUUUGGAUGAAACAAAAUUUCAAUUUUAGGAUAAACGGGUCUUUAGGGUUAUACUUCAUUUAUUGAGGGCCUUUUAAUUUCCACAAUUGUCAUCACUAUUUGCGGGUGAUUUGGGGAUAAUAACUUGAACAUUUCUGGAUCACAUUUAAUUCAAUUUUUAAAUUUUAGAGAGGUGUUUGGGUUACAACAAUUGUCAUCAUUAUCCUUAAUAGAACAUUUGGGAGGAAAAUGAGCAAAAAAUGAGCGAAAACCGAAAAAUGGGGGCAAACUAUAGGACCCAAACGGGCUGACCUAUUCCACACGACCGUGUGACCCACACGGUCGUGUGGCAAGCCAUGUCAAGUUCGUAGAUUUGCACUCUGAACUACGAAAAAAUAUGAAUUUUAGGUUUUGCGGGCAUUCUAAGAUGUAUAUAUGACCAAAAAAAAAAAAAGAAGAUAGGAGAGAACCUUCCUAGAAUAUUCAAGAAAACAACUCUAAAGACACCACUAAAGCCGACUCUAAAGCAGAUUUUCAUUAAGAUUGAAGAUUCCUAAUUGAUUUCUUAGGAGAUUAUCAUGAGUUUCUUUAUUUCUUUCAGUUAUACUGCCCUUUGGAUGUUUUUAUUUUUAGAUUAACUAAUUUUCUAAAUACCUAAGAGAGAUGAGCCCUAUGAUAGACUGUGACACGCCAAAGUCGACCGGGAUAGACUGGCCUGAAUUCGAAGCAUUACAUUAGCCACCUAAGUGACUCUCCAGCUAACUACCACCCAAGACAAACCCCGACCUUAUAACACCUCAAUCUUAUCUAAUUAUUAAUUAUUUAUUAAUGCCGACGUAAAUUAUGAGCCAAUUUUAAACUUUUUCUAGGUAAUUUAACCUAAGGGCAUUUAUGUCAUUUUACCACUUAUGGUAAAACUAACUCGGUUUUAGAUCUAAGUGUUUUUUGACUUCUUUUAGUCAAAUUAUGCAAGUCUAAAAUUUUUAGGUUAAUUUGAGUUCGUUUACUAUGUCAAAUUCAAGUUUUAUUAUUAAGGACUAAAUUGUAACUUAAACAAAUUUGAAUACCAAUUUAAAGUAAUAAAAAUUCAAAACCCUAAAACCCACACGGGCAUGUGGGCAAGUGACACGGGCGUGUGGAGACUGGAGCUAUCACACACAAGCAUGUGAGUUGAAAAAUAUGAAAUAAAUUAAUCCAUUCAAUUUUCCAACAACCAUGCUAUACUACCAAACCAAAAAACGCUUGAAGCUUUGAAAAGGGGUGAAUCUAAAAAAAAAAAAUUAGAAGAAUUAGAAUUAAAUUAUAAAAUUUUGAGAAUUAAAAUAUAAUUUUAUCAUGUAUUAAUUUAUUAUUUUUAAAGGGUCUUAAUAGAGUUUUUUUUCCAUAUUGGUUGGACCAAUACCUCUACCUGCCUCUUUAAAUUUGCUCCAACCCUAAACCCAAUAUUCGAUUGGAUUAACAACAAUAUAUAGGUUAGUAUUUUUAGAGGUUUAAAUUAUAAAUUUUUGAAAGAUUAAAAUAAAUUUGUAUUUUUUUAUUAAGAAAAUAUAAAAGAAAAAAAUAUGUUUACACAAGCCAAGAGACCUUUGGGAUCAUGCGGGUGAUUUUGAUGAUGUUAAUGGUUAUUUUGGUGGAGAGAGUGAAAAAGAAACAAAUGAUUCAUUAUAUAUAAUAUAAUUAUGAAAUUCAAGCCAUAUAUUGUAUGUUUCAUACAUAAAAAUUUCAUGGGAGGUCCAAAGGUAAUAAAUGACUUGUAGGCUUGCUGAAUUCCUUUGAAAGGCCCAAAGGCAAUUUAACAUUCACAAAAUAAUCUCUAAAUACUGUAAAGACAAAUCAAAUCCACAGCAGCAUUAGAGUUGAUUAAGCUAAGCAUUGGCAAAUAUUACUUUGAUUUGGCGUGCAAUAUUGGGAAAACCCCCUCUUACAUUAGAAAAACAACAUAAUCCAUGAAACAUUGAUAGCCCAAUACAGAAGUGUUUAUAUAUGUGUUUGAGACUAGUUAUAUUUGGCUUAAUUGAAAUAGAUUAUAUAUGUUUUUAUGACUAUUUAUUUGCUUAAGACUUACUAAGCUUUUAAAAGCUUGCUUUGUGUGUGUUCUUUCCCUAUUUUAUAGAUAGUCGAAGCUAGCUCGAGCUCGAAGAUCGUCAAGAAUUGUCGUCACACUAUCGAUCGUCAUUUUAGUACUUUUGAAACUUGUAAAAAUAGUAUAUGGCAUGUAUAGGCUAGUAAUCAUGUGAUAUGUUUUUGGGUUGUGGUUUUAGCCAUAUAAGUUGGUUUGUAAAUGGUGUAGUUGUUGGAAGUUACUUUAGCUAUGCAAAUGAGCUUAUUUUAUGAAUUGACAAAUGGUAGGUGAUGUUUAUUUGGCAAACUUGGUAUAGUCAUGUGGUUAAUUAUUCGGUUAGAUGUUAAUGUUAGUAUGUGUUCAUAUUUACUAUGUGAUGACUAUGCUAUGCCAUGUAAAUUUGACUAUUUGGUGUGGAUUAUUAUUAACCUAUGCUAUGCCAUGUAAAUUUGACUAUUUAGUGUGGAUUAUUAUUAACCUAUGUGAUGUAUAAAUUAACCUAUUUGGUGUGGAUUAUUAUUAACCGGCGACGUAUUCAGGUUAGGGGUGUUACAUGAGGCGCUUUUGGUAAAUACAUUACUGAGUUGGUGACCUGAUUGAGGGUAACACCAACUCAAUAAAACUCUUAAAUAUUGACUACAAAUCCUAUCACACACUUAUGAGUAUGAAAACACAAAUUUAGAAUACAAAGAUGUGUUUAAAAAUAACAUAGAAUAAAGAAUGAAAUUUAUGGUUUGAAACUAAUUAAUAAUAACACAUGAAAUAGAAUGAAAUUUAUGGUUUGAAACUAAUUAAUAAUAACACAUGAAAUAUGUAUGAUAUCAAAAUGAAAAAAAAAAGAUUAAAUUGUGCAUAAAACAAAAUUUUUUCCUGUUACAUCAAUAAAGUUAUAUUUAUUACCCUCGCCAAUUGUUUGUCAUUAAGAACAUUAAAGUAUCCUUGAAUGAUAUAACUGAUUCUAAAUAGAGUUGAUGUAUGGUUGGCUUAGGAUACCAAGUCAGUUAGGGGCUUAAGAUUAUUAAAAUAUUCUUAUUUUAAAGGGAAAUUAAUAUUAUUAUAAGUGUAUUUUCACCUUUUCAUACUUUUAUAUAAUCUUCAAGUAAAACAAUUGAAAAAUAUUAUGUGAGGCUCAAACACAAGACUAAAAAAAUUCAUAUAGAAAACGCUUACCACUCCACUAAUAAUCAUUUGUUAAUGUAUUUUUGGUAAAAAGACCUCUCCAAUCCCUCUUAAUUUCACAAUUGCGCAAAUUAGUCCCUCUCAAAAAAAAUGGAGCAAUUUAAUCCCUAUCAAUUUUGAAAGUGAGUAACUAAGGACAAUUAAUUAUGGUGUUAAAUUCUUCCAUCAAUUGUACAUAAUUUUGAUUAGUACAGUUAUAAAUUUAACUUUCAAUGUUUAUAUAUUUUGUCAUUUUGGCCUUAAUUUUUAAAAAAAUUUAAGAAAUUCAACCUCAACAUUUACAUAUUUACACAAACGUUGCAGGAAAACUUUGUUAAAUUAAGACCAAAUUGCAAAGUGUGUAAAUUUUGAGGGCUAAAUUUAUUAAUAAACCAGCCAAAAUCAUGUACAUUUUAUGGAAUGUUAACAUCUUGAUUAAUUAUUCUUAGUUGCUCACUUUCAAAAUUAAUAGGGACUAAAUUGCUCUGACUUUUUUAGGGUAACCAAUUUCCUCAAUUUGGAAAUUGAGAGAGACUAUUGAGAUCUUUUUAAUAUAAAAUUAAUAUAUUUUUUUUAUAAACAAUAAAAGAACGUUGACAUUGAAUUUGCUGUUUCACAUUCAAUUUACAGAGAAGAAGAAUUUUCUAACUUAUUUUCCAUCAACUUCACUCCAAUUUUCAAUCACAAUCAAUUGCAUCAAGAGCACCACAUCUUUUUGGAUGAAACAAACCUCUCAAUUUUAAGAUAAACGGGUCUUUAGGGUUAUUAGUUGAGGGCUAUUUCCACAAUUGCCAUCACACACGGGAGUGUGGGAUUGAAAAAUAUGAAAUAAAUUAUUUCACUCAAUUUUCCAACACCCAUGCUAUACUACCAAAUUAAAAAAAGGCUUGACGCUUUGAAUAGGGAAGAAUUAGAAUUAAAUUAUAAAAUUUUGAGAAGUUAAAAUAUAAUUUUAUCAUGUAUUAAUUUAUUAUUUUUAAAGGGUCUUAAUAGAAUUUUUUUCCCAUUUUGGUUGGGCCAAUACCUCUGUCUGCCUCUUUAAAUAUGCUUCAACCCUAAACCCAAUAUUCAAUUUGGAUUAACAACAAUAUAUAGGUUAGUAUUUGUGGAAGUUUGACGAAUAAAAUUGCUUUUUUAGAUGUUUAAAUUAUAAAUUUUUGAACGUUUAAAGUAAAUUUGUAUUUUUUUAUUAACAAAAUAUAAAAAAAAAAACAUGUUUAGACAAGCCAAGAAACCUUUGGGAUCAUACGGAUGAUUUUGAUGAUGAUAAUGGUUAUUUUGGUGGAGAGGGUGAAAAAGAAACAAAUAAUUCAUUAUAUAUAAUAUAAUUAUGAAAUUCAUGCCAUAUAUUGUAUGUUUCAUACAUAAAAAUUUCAUGGGAGGUCCAAAGGUAAUUAAAUGACUUGUAGGCUUGCUGAAUUUCUUUGAAAGGCCCAAAGGCAAUUUAACAUUCACAAAAUAAUCUCUAAAUACUGUAAAGGCAAAUCAAAUCCACAGCAGCAUUGGCAAAUAUUACUUUGAUUUUGUAUGCAAUAUUACAUUAGAAAAACAACAUAAUCCAUGAAACAUUGAUAGCCCAAUACAAAUUUCAUCGAGAAAAAAGUCUCUUUGUUUUGUAGAACAUGAUAGUAAAGAUGUGUUUAGUUUUCCUUGAUCAACAACCACUUGCCAAAAACACAAUUAGAUUAGAUUAUGAAUGAUACUUUCAACUAUGACAAUAUUAAAUACUAAACAUUCCAAAUAACUCUAAAUAAAUGGAAUGUAGCAAAUUACCUGAUGAGGCAAGCUAGCUCAAUUAAGACCAUUGUGUUAUACUUGUCUCUAAAUUGAAAAAUUUAGAAGAAAAUAAAGAGAAAGAGUUAGCAAAUACUUGAAAACCGAUAAAACUUAUAUGUCAUUGAUUGGAUAAACUACGAUCACCCAUAAUAGCCUUUACCUUGCAACCAUCUACAUGAACCCAUAAGACUCUUAGCGGAAUCAAGAGACAAGACCCUAACAUGAGAACAAUACCAUUUGUUGAUGCCUUUAUUAAUAGGGCCGUACCUAGGAGAGUUGGCAGGGGUCCCGACCCUCCUUAAAAUAAAAAAAUUUCUAUUUAGGCCCUUUAAAAUUUUUAAAAUUUUAAAUUAAUAAACGUAAAAUUGUACUUUGGCCCCCCAAAAAAUUAUAAAACUUUGAUUUAAUCCUUUAAAAAUUAUAAAAAUAUUGGCUAUUAAAAUGGUGAAAUUACAUUUUUACUAUUGUAAAAAUUACAAUUUAAUUUCACCCCUAAAAAGAUUUUCUGGCUUCGCCCCUAAUAAAAUCAUUGGCAAAAGAUUAAAAUAAAAUUAUAUCAUAAAUAAUAAAAAAACUAAGAAAAUCCAAUCUAACAAAGAAAAUAACUUGAUGUCGAAAUUUAAUGCAUUUUAUUGGUUUCCAUUUUGAUAUUGCAAAAGAAGUUUGAAUUUUGAAGAGAGCCUAGUACGUGAGAGCAAAAGAAAAAAAAUGGUUUAUUAAUUUUUACGAAUACCGACAUAUUAUAUAUAUGAUUAAAAUUCCAGAAUAGAUUAAAAAUGUUGAAUUAAUGAUAAAAUUAAGUGUGAAAUAAUAACCACAAGUGUACUCUUUACUCACCAUCUCUGUUAAAAAUGUUGGAUGUUGUUUAGCAACCUUUGUUUGAUUUUCUUCAGCUCAACCACAACAUCUUUCAUAUCUUUUCUUUCUUCUGGUAACUCAGCUGAACAAUUCAAAGCCAACUCCAUGAUAGAUGAAAUACAAUUUGCUUUAACAACAAUGUACUCAUCCUCUCUUCUUAAUAAAUCAACAUCUGCAAUUUCUAUCGCUCCUUUAGGCAAUGAACUUUCCAUCCAAUGCCUUAUAGUCUCUUCUUCAACAAAAACAUUAUCAGUUGGCUUUUUCUUCGUGAAAGUUUCUAUAAGGACGAUCCCAUAACUAUAGACGUCAGAUUUUAUAGAAACAAUUCCUGCUGAUCCAAAUUCUGCAUUUCAAGUAUAAUUAGAACAUCAUUCAUCCUCAAUUAUUUCUAAAACGCUUAUUCAAAUAUAUAUCCACAUACACGUGAAACAAAAAUAUAAAAUGCAAAUUAGUAAAAUAAUCAUACAAAAAUAAAAAAGAAUUCACCUGGUGCCAUAUACCCAAUAGUUGCAAGAGUCAUGGUUUGCUUCAUUACUUCACCUUCUCCCAACAAUUUGGCAACGCCAAAAUCUCCAACAUGUGCAACCAUGUCUUCAUCUAGUAAAAUAUUGCUUGGUUUUAUGUCACAAUGAAUUAUAGGUGUUGGAUGUCCAUUGUGGAGGUGUUCUAUAGCUACCGCAACAUCUAUCAUUAUGUCGACCCUUUGUAUGAUAUUAAGGAAACAAUUUUCAGAAUGUAACCAUUUCUCAAGGUUUCCGUUAGAUAUGUAAUCAAGCACCAAGGCUUUGAAGUCAACACUUGAGCAGCAAGUAAUGACCUUCACAAUAUUACGAUGAACUAUAUUACACAUAGCAUCACAUUCAAUGUCAAAACUCCUAAAUGCUCCCUCUGUUUGCAAAUUGAAAACUUUUAUUGCAACUUCCAUUCCAUCUGAAAGCCUCCCUUUAUAUACAUAUCCAAAACUCCCUGAACCAAGCAUAUUGCUUUCCUCAAAUCCAUUAGUUGCUCGUGAAAGUUCAGCAUGUGAAAUUCUUCUCGGUGUUUUCAAAGACAACAAAUCAUCUUUAAUUGUUAGAGUUGUACUCCUUCUUUGGCAUCUUCUAUACAUAAUAGUUAAGACUAUUAGUACUACGACAAUACCAAUUGUUGGUAAACCAUACCUAAAAGCAUGCAAUAUAAUCAUUUGGGAGUUUUUGUGGAUGUCGUUUUUGCAGGGUGG
Molecule: long non-coding RNA, 134718 nt
Filed under: Gossypium raimondii (Peruvian cotton)
Lineage: Eukaryota; Viridiplantae; Streptophyta; Magnoliopsida; Malvales; Malvaceae
Description: long non-coding RNA (GRAI_LNC007578)
Rfam family: MIR7486 microRNA precursor family (bases 114709-114795)
Source: RNAcentral